RNAcentral lists this long non-coding RNA (120949 nucleotides) under Gossypium raimondii (Peruvian cotton). RNAcentral describes it as "long non-coding RNA (GRAI_LNC005965)". Lineage: Eukaryota; Viridiplantae; Streptophyta; Magnoliopsida; Malvales; Malvaceae. The record is from RNAcentral.
CCUCCAUUUCUAGAAAAAAAUAUGAUGUUUUCUUGAGUUUCAGAGGUGAAGAUACCCGCAACAACUUUACCGAUCAUCUCUAUGAUGCUCUAAGUAGGAGUGGGAUCGUCACUUUCAGAGAUGAUCCAAAGCUGGAGGCCGGCGAAGAGAUCGCACCUGAACUCUUUAAAGCAAUUCACCAAUCAUGGUGCUCAGUAAUCGUUUUUUCACAAACUUAUGCCUUUUCAAGUUGGUGCUUGGAGGAGCUUGCUGAGAUUGUUAAACAACAUAACAACGACGGCCAUAAAGUGUUUCCAAUUUUUUANNNNNNNNNNNNNNNNNNNNNNNNNNNNNNNNNNNNNNNNNNNNNNNNNNNNNNNNNNNNNNNNNNNNNNNNNNNNNNNNNNNNNNNNNNNNNNNNNNNNNNNNNNNNNNNNNNNNNNNNNNNNNNNNNNNNNNNNNNNNNNNNNNNNNNNNNNNNNNNNNNNNNNNNNNNNNNNNNNNNNNNNNNNNNNNNNNNNNNNNNNNNNNNNNNNNNNNNNNNNNNNNNNNNNNNNNNNNNNNNNNNNNNNNNNNNNNNNNNNNNNNNNNNNNNNNNNNNNNNNNNNNNNNNNNNNNNNNNNNNNNNNNNNNNNNNNNNNNNNNNNNNNNNNNNNNNNNNNNNNNNNNNNNNNNUUAAAAUUUCUUUUUCUUUAGGCAUGAAUCAGAAUUUAUUAAAGACAUUGUCAAGAAGAUAUCAGCAAAACUAUGUCAGACAUAUCCAGCUACUCAUAGCGACUUGGUUGGAAUUAGUAAACGUUUGGAGGAUUUAUAUUUGAAAAUAAACAUUGGGGAAGAUGAUGUCCGAGUUAUAGGAAUUUGCGGAAUGGGUGGUAUCGGUAAAACGACACUCGCAAGAGCUGCUUACACUCAAAUGUCAUCUCAUUUUGAAGGUAAAAGCUUUAUUGCUGAUAUUCGAGAAGUUUCAGACAAAUGCGGACUAGUUUCUUUACAGAAACAACUUCUUUCACAGAUCUUUCAUGGUGAAUGCUUCAACUUUUUCGAUGUUCAUGAAGGGAGCGACAUAAUUAGCCAUAGGUUGUCUCACAAAAAGGUUCUUGUUGUUCUUGAUAAUGUUGAUAACAUACAACACUUAAAAUGCUUGGUUGGAAGGCACGAUUGGUUCGGAUUAGGAAGUAGAAUCGUUGUAACAACAAGAGAAGAACAUUUGCUUCGAUCUUGGCCAGUUGAUGAUAUGUAUGAGCCCACAACAUUGAAUCCCAAAGAUGCGCUUCAACUUUUCAGUCUGAAAGCUUUUCAUAGUGAUACAGUGCAGAAAGAUGAUUUCAUUGAGCUUUCUAAACAUGUUGUAAAUUAUGCUGGCGGACUCCCUUUAGCUCUUGAAGUUUUGGGUUCCUUCUUGUGCGGUAGAGAUGCGACUCAAUGGAGAAGUGCGAUUGAAAGACUUAAAAGAGAUUCUAAUAAAGAAAUUUUCGAUAAACUUCGAAUCAGUUUUGAUGGACUGGAAGAAAGGGAGAAGAAUAUAUUUUUAGAUAUAGCAUGCUUCUUCAAUGGGGAGAAUAAAGAUUUUGUAAUCAAAGUAUUGGAUGGUUGUGAGUUUUUUCCUGAUAUUGGAAUUGAUGUUCCCGUUAAAAAAUCUCUCGUAAAAGUCGAUAAACACAACAAAAAUUUGAAGAUGCAUGACUUGUUACAAGAGAUGGGAAGAACAAUUGUUAGAGAAAAAUGUAUUGAUGAACCUGGAAAACGUUGCAGAUUGUGGGAGGAAAGAGACGUCCAUCAUGUCCUAACAAAAAACACUGUAAGUCAUUCAACAAUAGUUACAUACUUUUUUUUUCUAUCCUACAUUAUUCACCAUUUAUUUUAUUUUCUUAUUAUCUGUCGUUGAUCUUUUUUAGGCUACAAAAUUGGUUGAAGGCAUAAUCAUUGAUAUUAAAAGGUAAGAAGACACACAUAAACUUAUAUCUAUGUGUACUGUAAAUAAUUAUUAUUUUUAAAUAUGAUAAAAAAAACUAUAACAAAACUUUUGACAUUCAAUAUUUCAAUGUUUAAUUAUGAAAUUUAUCUAGCAACAUAUUUACUUUUUCAAAAGAGAAAUGUAUGUAUUUUUGAAAUAUUAAUGGUAUAUUUUUUUGUGAAAAUUAAUGCUAUAUAUUUAAUGUACUAAAAGUGUAUAUCAACAAAUUAAAUUAUAACAUGUCAUCAAAAUUUUUUUAAUGAAAAUGGUUUUUUUUAAUUAUGUGUCAUUGUUUGGUUCAUUAACUUGUAAAUUAUGCAUUGUUUGCGGACCAAAUAUAAAUCAACAUAUUAAUUCAAUUUUUUAGGAUUAGGUAAUUUAACAUUGGAUGUGAUUGUUAGAUAUAAGUAUCUCUUUAAUAUGGGUAUAUUCAAAAAAAAUUUAAAAAUUAUUUUUUUCACGUAUUUAAAAAGGUUCUUAAAGGAUCAUAUCUUAAUACCCAUAUACGAAUGUGCAUUAGAUAUAAGUAUUGGAUACGAGUACUUAAAAAACAAUAUCGAUGCAACAUUUCUUUUAGAUAUUGAAUGCUUUUGUAUAUUUUGAAGCUCAUUUUUGUUUUGCUCAUGGACAUUAGGGAAUCGAACAAGAUGCUCAAUUUGAGUGUGGAUAGCUUCUUGAAGAUGAAAAAACUGAGAUUGCUCAAAGUGCUUUGCCUUUCAAAUUGUGAUGAUCUUAAAUAUCUUUCUAAUGAAUUACGAUUUUUAGAUUGGACAGGAUACCCUUUAAGAUACUUGCCUUCAAGCUUUCAACCGAACAACCUUAUUGCGCUUCUUUUACCAUAUAGUCACAUUCAACAACUAUGGAAGGGAAAUAGAGUAAGAAUUUACUCAUCUUAUCCUUGUGUUUUAGCUUAUUUUAAUAUAAAUUAUUAAAAUUUGAUUAAGGUAAAACAAAAAAAAAAAAAGAAGCAAAAAUGAGCAUUAUUAUGUUUUCUCAUUUAUUUCUAAUUUAUUAUGGUCUUCAACAGCCCUUGUUUAACAUGAAAAUAAUGAACCUCAGAGGGUCUCAAAACCUGAUCAAGACACCAGACUUCACAACAGCAUCAAAUCUUGAAGUUUUGAUUUUGGAAGGUUGUACCAAAUUAGUGGAUGUUCAUCCAUCAAUCCGGAUGCUUAAGAGCCUUAAACUUUUGAAUUUAAGAGAUUGCAAAAGUCUUACGACUCUUCCAACCAAAAUCGGAAUGGAAUCUCUAGAAACAUUAAUUCUUUCGGGUUGCUCAAGUCUUGUAAGGUUUCCGGAGAUUGAUGGGAAAAUGGAACGUUUAAAAACUCUAAAUCUUUCCGGUUGUUAUAGAGUGGAAAAUUUAUCGGAGAAUUUGCAGCAAGCAAAGUUUUUGGAAGAGCUCGACUUGAGUGAAACAGCCAUAACAGAACCACCAUCCUUCAUUUUUCAAUUUAAAAAUCCUAAAGUUCUGUCUUUCAAUGGGCGCAAGGGACCAUCAUAUAAGUUACUACCAAAUUUGCCUUCUCUUUUCAAGGUAAUCCAAGGAAGAAGGACGAAUCCCAUGGCUCGGAUGUUGCCUUUGUUGUCAUGUUUGAGUUCUUUAAGAGAGCUAAAACUAAAGGACUGCAAUCUUUGUGAAGGAGAUAUUCCACGUGAUCUUUCUAGUCUAUCCUGUUUGGAAGAACUUGAUCUUAGUGGUAACAAUUUCAUCAGCAUACCUGCAUCUCUUACUCGACUCUCCAAGCUUGAAGAGCUUAGAUUGUCAAAUUGCAACAUGUGCACUCUUGGUGAAGCAGAUAUUCAUGGUCUAUCCUCUUUGAAACGACUUUUUCUUGACGGUAACAAUUUCAUCACCGUUCCUUCGGCUCUGACUCAACUUUCCAAGCUUAAAUUGCUUGCAUUAUCAAAUUGCAUGAAGCUUAACUCGUUGCCUGAGCUACCAACAAGUAUAGAAGAUGGGUGGCUAGAUAGUUGUUCUUCACUUGAAGUAGUUGCAAGUCCAUCAAAAGUAUGCAAUUUAGUGUGUUGUGGUGACAUUAGUGCCAUUAACUGCUUCAAAUUGGCUGAGAAAAUCAAUGUAUUAACACUGCUGAAAGAACAUAUUAAGGUCGAUUAAUCUAUUUUUUUCUCCCUUACAAAAUCUCAUACUUGAGAAUAUAUGGUUUUAGUUACCAAACGACUUGUGUUUUAUUUUGCAGGCAUUUCCAAAAUCAAGAAAAUUUUUUGAUGAUGGCUUCUUUGAUAUUAUGAUGCCCGGAAGUGAAAUCCCAGAAUGGUUUAGCCAACAAAAAAGUGACUCUUCAAUUAAGAUACCACUUCGGAAAGAUAGUGAAUGGAUUGGAGUUGCUUGUUGCUGCAUUUUUGUCAAUAAUGAUGCUUCAAGGAAUAAGGAGUCUAUCAGCUGUAAUGGAUCUAGAGUUUUUCGAGGUAGAAAUUGUAGACCAAUUGAUUGGAGAAACCGGUGGGUAGGUCGAUACUUUCGCAAGCCCAUAAUGAAAGAUCACCUUUUUCUUCGUUAUUUUCCGCGUGAUAAAUAUGGUGACUGUGAAACCAAUAAUUUAUGGACGACAGAUUGCUUAGAUCAAAUAUGCGAUGAGCCUGAGUUGUCUUUCAGUACCUUUUUUGGACCAAAUUACCGUUGUGUUAAGGUGAAGAAGUGUGGUGUUAGAAUAGUGUAUGAGAAAGAUUUGGAAGAAAUGAAAGAGUUGCAGUGCGAUACCACUCAAUCUUCUCCAAAUUUUGAGCACAUCCACCAACACUCUGCUCACAACCAUGGAUCAGUAGGUAGCACUUCUCACAUAAAACGGAAACGUAAUAUCUAUGAAGAAAUGGAGGAAGAAGAGCCGCAACCAAAACUGAUGCAAAAUUUUUUCAAUUUUGUAAUGGACCAAUCAAGAAAGAAGCAUUAACUGAGGUAAACUACUUAACCAACUUUGUCCUAUUAAUUUUUGUUUACACAUCUUGUAUUUCAUUUAAACAAUUCUUCUAGACUUGUUUUACAUAUGAGAUAUGAUCCUUCCAUUAUAUGCCAAAACAUUUUAAAAAAUUUUAUUCAUAUUCAUAUUCAACGUCUACAUAUCUCAAAUGUUGAUAACAUUGUUUUUUAUACCAUUUAAAAUUUUAGUCACUUAAUUCAUUCCUUUUUACAUAAUCGAAAUGUGUAUAUUUUGAUUGGUUUCAUCUUUUUUUUUUUUAUUAAAAUUUUAUUUUCAUUAUAUAUAUAUAUUCACUUACAUUUAUAUUUUAUUUAUAGGUUGAAGAUGAGGUAAAUUAAAACAAAAUUGUGAGACAAAAAUAAAGACGAAGCAAGUAAUGAUAAAAUGAAAACCCUUUAAUAAGGAUCAAUCAUAAUUUCAACUGAGUUAAAAAUUAUUUUAUUUUUAUUGGAGACCAACAUAUAUUUAAUCAGUCAAAACUGUUUUUAUGUAUUACUGAGCUUAGUGGAAGAAAAUGAUGGGAAAAUGAAAUACAGAUGCGAUCCUAAGCAACAAAUACAGCUUUGCAUGAGAACCUAAUCCCAUCACCAGACUAUUUUAAGUGCUUGGAACUUGAAAAUGAGAGCUCUUGUUUAUCCUGCUCUAUCUCCUGCGACUAAUGUAAAAGAGUUACAACAAUGCAUACACAAACAAAACGAAUAUGGCGGCCUUCAGCUUCAUCAAUACACUAAAUACGCCUAGGUGAUCAAGAUGGAGGGCUAUACUUAAGAUGUUGCUCAUUGAAGCUGAUUAACUGAAAGGGAAGGAAAAAAACAAAAGAAGUGCAAGAAUUGUCAGCUCUUUGAGUCAAUUUAAUGAAGGAAAAGAUCAGGCAAGAAAAUGAUCCAUUACCAGCAGUGGAUUGUUAGCUUGAAGAUAUUGGUUGUCCACCAGAACCUCUUUUCCAUCGGACCUGUCAAAAUGUGACAAACAAAAUUUAUCAUCGACAACAUGAACUUCAAGAAAGUGCAGCAUAAAUUUGAGGACUCUCAGAGACUCCAACAAAAGAAUCACAUCUAAGAUCAGCAAGCUAAAAAUUUUAGUUAUCUAGCAGUUCAUGUCCUAAAUUACUUGCUAUGUAAGGGGCCAUAAGUGAUAGCAUCAUCAAUUUCUGGGAAAUAAAAUCCUAGGGAAUGAAACAAAAAACUGUUAUUUGAAGGUAGAAAGAAUAUUCCGAAAGCCAAAAAGAAAUGUCUAUAUCAGGUCAUACAUACUCAAUCAGCACAUAGUGCUUAUGAAGUGUAGGACAUUCUCCCAAAUCGAGAACUAAAGAAAAACAUGAUGAUUUCUAAGAAACUACAUCCAAAAACAUGUGCAAACAUGAUAGUUACAACAUAAAAGAGUACAUAAAAUGCCCCAACAACCACCGAAACUCUAAAGAGCGACAUGAAAGUACAUUAAGUGCUCAUACAUCGCAACAUGAUAAGUUGAUAACUUUGACAUUUCGUGUAUCAACUCUUUGAUUCCUGAAAUUAGGCAGAUUAAUACUUUUAUCCUUAAUCCCUUACUCUUUUAUUUUUAUUUAUUCAUCUAUAUAUCUUUGAUUAGUUUGAUUUUCGUGGAAAAGAAUUAUUGGAAUUUGGAAUCCAGGUCGCUGGUUCUGGAAGUAAUUGAGCUUGUGCAAAUCCCAAAUGUUUAAGAUAUUUGAGAAAUUUGAGUGUCUUUUGUCUACUCUCACCUUCUUGGAGUCUUCCCGGGAACAACAUCUAUAACCCCGAAUUUCCACACCUACUCCCUUUCAUUUCGAAAACUAAUGUUUUUAAUUAUUGUCUUUCAUUGUCAAGUACAUAAAAUACAAACCGUCCAACAUUUUUAACUCUCACCUUCAUGGAAAGAACAUAUCACCCGGCCCUCUUCUAUUUUUCAUAUGUUUUUCCUCAUAUAUUCAUUCUUUUCUGAUUUUGAGCACCAGAUUGAAAUAUCCUUCGCCUUUCAUACAUCCUCAUGUUAUCGUUACCUUCAACUUCUUCCUCCAUUUCUAGAAAAAAAAAAUGAUGUUUUCUUGAGUUAAAUCGGAUUUGUAGUCGAAUUGGAUAGGUUAUUAGUUUGGUGGUCCAAUGAUUUAAAAAUUAUUAAAAUUUAAAAAAGUUAAAAUAGAGUUUCGAUUCAUUUAGUUUUUAACAGGUUGAAUCAGUUCGUAUCAAUUUUCAAUCUAAUCAAUUCAAAAUCACUCAUCGAACUAAUUCUUUGUCGGCUCUUGAUCUAAUCGAUCGUUCAAUCCGAUUCAAGCAAGACUGAAUCAAUAGAUAAAAGAUGAGAAUAAUUCUUAACAACAACCUGCAAACUAUGAGAUUAAUUAUAUCUCAAAUUGAUCCAACAUAAAACAGAUAACAUACUUACUUUGUCGGCCCCUAAUUUCCACCCCUAUGCUCAUAUACUUGCUUUUCUAGUUUCUUUGUGGGUAUUGGACGAUAUAUUUUCUGAUUUUUAACACCACAUUGAGAUAUUCUUCUCCUUUCAUACAUACUCAUGUUGUCCUUACCUUCAACUUCUUCCUCCAUUUCUAAAAAGAAAUAUGAUGUUUUCUUGAGUUUUAGAGGUGAAGAUACUCGCAACAACUUCACAGAUCAUGUUUAUGAUGCUACAACUAAUAGAAAAGUCAACAAUAUUAAUUAUAUGUCUAACUAAUAACAUUAUAAAAAUAUAUGAUUAAAUUAGGUUAGAAAUUAAAUCUUAAAUUUAGGCAUAAUUAAAAAAAAAACUAAAAUUGAAAUUCUAACAUUUUCUUAUAAUGUAAAAGAAACAAUAUCCUAUACAUUAAAUUAAUAAAUUGUAUUCAUACAUAAAAUUUUAUGAUACUGAGUAGAUAUAAGUUAUUUUAGUCUGCACCUAAUGAACAUUUUAGAUGCUUCAAAUAGAACUUAAUCAUAUAAAAGGCAAAAUGUGAGGGACCGAAUUUAAAAUAACGCAUUGUCCUCCCUGACAGGUGUCUCCAAAUACUUCUUUAAUAUAUAGUUAUAUAGACAAUUAUAUGAUUAUGUAAAUGAAAGUAAAAGACAAACCGUCCAACACUCUACUUAUUACUUAGAAUUAUUGUAGGCUCCAUUUUGUCUACACCCACCUUCUUGGAUUCUUCCUGGAAAGAACAUGCAUCACCCAAUGUCCACACCUACUCGUAUUCAUUUCGAAAAUGAAAAGGUUAAAAAGAUUAAAAGAAAUUGCUUAGAAACUUCCUUUAUUCUUCCCUGAAAUUUUCAUCUGUUUUUCUCAAUCUUCACUUUCAUAUACUUACUGUUUCUAAUUUCUUUCUGGCGUAUUGAGCGAUCAAUUUUCUGAUUUUGAACACUACAUCCACAUAUGUAUUUUUCUUCUCAAACAUCGUCAUGUUGUCAUUACCUUCAUCUUCCUCAUACAUUUCUAGAAAGAAAUAUGAUGUUUUCUUGAGUUUUAGAGGUGAAGAUACUCGCAAAAACUUCACCGAUCAUCUCUAUGCUGCUCUAAAGAGGAGUGGGAUCGUCACUUUCAGGGAUGAUCCCAAGCUGGAGGCCGGUGAAGAGAUCGCGCCAGAACUCUUUAAAGCAAUUCAGCAAUCAUGGUGCUCGGUAAUUGUUUUUUCAGAAACUUAUGCCUUUUCAAGUUGGUGCUUGGAGGAGCUUGCUGAGAUUGUUCAACAACAUAACAACGACGGCCAUAAAGUGUUUCCAAUUUUUUACGAUGUUGAUCCAUCUGAUUUAAGAAAACAAAAAGGGAAAGUGGAAGAAGCCUUUGCCAGACAUGAAGAGAGAUACAAAGAAGAAAGUGAGAAGAUCCAAAGGUGGCGAAAUGCUUUAAUUCAAGNNNNNNNNNNNNNNNNNNNNNNNNNNNNNNNNNNNNNNNNNNNNNNNNNNNNNNNNNNNNNNNNNNNNNNNNNNNNNNNNNNNNNNNNNNNNNNNNNNNNNNNNNNNNNNNNNNNNNNNNNNNNNNNNNNNNNNNNNNNNNNNNNNNNNNNNNNNNNNNNNNNNNNNNNNNNNNNNNNNNNNNNNNNNNNNNNNNNNNNNNNNNNNNNNNNNNNNNNNNNNNNNNNNNNNNNNNNNNNNNNNNNNNNNNNNNNNNNNNNNNNNNNNNNNNAAACAUAUCAACAAAAUUUUACUCAAAACAUUAAAAUUUCUUUUUUUUAGGCAUGAAUCAGAAAUUAUUAGAGACAUUGUUAAGAAGAUAUCAGCAAAACUAUGUCAGACAUAUCCAGUUACUCAUAGCGACUUGGUUGGUAUUAGUGAACGCUUGGAGGAUUUGUAUUUGAAAAUAAACAUUGGGGAAGAUGAUGUCCGCGUUAUAGGAAUUUGCGGAAUGGGUGGCAUCGGUAAAACGACACUCGCAAGAGUUGCUUACACUCAAAUGUCACCUCAUUUUGAAGGUAAAAGCUUUAUUGCCGAUAUUCGAGAAGUUUCAGACAAAUGCGGCCUAGUUUCUUUACAGAAACAACUUCUUUCACAGAUCUUUCAUGGUGAAUGCUUCAACUUUUUCAAUGUUCAUGAAGGAAAUAAAAUAAUUAGCCAUAGGUUGUCUCACAAAAAGGUUCUUGUUGUUCUUGAUAAUGUUGAUAACAUACAACACCUAAAAUGCUUGAUUGGAAGGCAUGAUUGAUUCGGAUUAGGUAGCAGAAUCAUUGUAACAACAAGAGACGAACAUUUGCUUCGAUGUUGCCAAGUUAAUGAUGUGUAUAUGCCCACAACACUUAAUCCCAAAGAGGCGCUUCAACUUUUCAGUCUGAAAGCUUUUCAUAGUGAUACAGUGCAUAAAGAUGAUUUCAUUGAACUUUCUAAACAUGUUGUAAAUUAUGCUGGUGGACUCCCUUUAGCUCUUGAAGUUUUGGGCUCCUUUUUGUGCGGUAGAGAUGCGACUCAAUGGAGAAGUGCGAUUGAAAGACUUAAAAGAGAUUCUAAUAAAGAAAUUCUCGAUAAACUUCGAAUCAGUUUUGAUGGACUGGAAGAAAGGGAGAAGAAUAUAUUUUUAGAUAUAGCAUGCUUCUUCAACGGGGAGAAGAAAGAUUUUGUAAUGAAAGUAUUAGAUGGUUGUGAGUUUUUUCCCGAUAUUGGAAUUGAUGUUUUCAUUAAGAAAUCUUUAAUAAAAGUCAAUGAUGUCAACCAAUAUUUGUGGAUGCAUAGUUUGUUGCAAGAAAUGGGAAGAAAAAUUGUUAGAGAAAAAUGUGUUGAUGAACCUGGAAAACGUUGCAGAUUGUGGGAGGGAAGUGACGUCCAUCAUGUCCUAACAAAAAACACUGUAAGUCAUUCAACAAAAGUCACAUACUAUUUCUUUUCUAUCCUACAUUAUUCACCAUUUAUUUUAUUUUCUUAUUGUCUGUUCUUAAUCUUUUUUAGGCUACAGAAAUGAUUGAAGCCAUAAUCAUCGAUAAUAAAAAGUAAGAAGACACACAUAAACUUAUAUCUAUGUGUACUGUAAAUAAUUAUUAUUUUUAAAUAUGAUAAAAAAACUAUAGCAAAACUUUUGACAUUUAAUAUUUCAAUGUUCAAUUAUGAAAUUUAUCAACUAACAUAUUUACUUUUUCAAAAGAAUCAAAAGAGAAAUGUAUGUAUUUUUGAAAUAUUAAUGGUAUAUAUAUAUUUUUUGUGAAUAUUAAUGGUAUAUAUUUAAUGUACUAAAAGUGUAUAUCAGCGAAUUAGAUUAUAACAUGUCAUCAAAAUUUUUUAAUGAAAAUGGUUUCAUUUUUAAUUAUGUGUCAUUGUUUGGUUCAUUAACUUGUAAAUUAUGCAUUGUUUGCAGACCAAAUAUAAAUCAACAUAUUAAUUCAAUUUUUUAGGAUUAGGUAAUUUAACAUCGGAUGUGAUUGUUAGAUAUAAAUAUCUCUUUAAUAUGGGUAUAUUCAAAAAAAAUUUAAAAAUUAGUUUUUUCACGUAUUUAAAGGUUCUUAAAGAAUCAUAUCUUAAUACUCAUAUACGAAUGUGCAUUAGAUAUAAGUACCGGAUACGAGUACUUAAAAAACAAUAUCAAUGCAACAUUUCUUUUAGAUAUUGAAUGUUUUUGUAUAUUUUGAAGCUCAUUUUUGUUUUGCUCAUGGAUAUUAGGGAAUCGAACAAGAUGAUCAAUUUAAGUGUGGAUACCUUCUUGAAGAUGAAAAAAUUGAGAUUGCUCAAAGUGCUUUGCCUUUUAAAUUGUGAUGAUCUCAAGUAUCUUUCUAAUGAACUACGACUUUUAGAUUGGACAGGAUACCCUUUAAGAUACUUGCCUUCAAGCUUUCAACCGGAUAACCUUGUCGCACUUCUUUUACCAUAUAGUCACGUUCAACAACUAUGGAAGGGAAAUAUAGUAAGAAUUAACUCAUCUUAUCCUUGUGUUUUAGCUUAUUUUAAUAUAAAUUAUUAAACUUUGAUUAAGGUAAAACAAAAAAACAAAAAUGAGCAUUAUUAUGUUUUCUCAUUUGUUUCUAAUUUAUUAUGGUCUUCAACAGCCCUUGUUUAACUUGAAAAUAAUGAACCUCAGAGGGUCUCAAAACCUGAUCAAGACACCAGACUUCACAACCGCAUCAAAUCUUGAAGUUUUGAUUUUGGAAGGUUGUACCAAAUUAGUGGAUGUUCAUCCAUCAAUCCGGGUGCUUAAGAGCCUUAAACUUUUGAAUUUAAGAGAUUGCAAAAGUCUUAGGACUCUUCCAACCAAAAUUGGAAUGGAAUCUCUUGAAACAUUAAUUCUUUCGGGUUGCUCAAGCCUUGUAAGGUUUCCAGAGAUUGAUAGAAAAAUGGAACGUCUAAAAACUCUAGAUCUUUCUGGUUGUUAUAGAGUUGAAAAUUUAUCAGAGAAUUUGCAGCAAGCAAAGUUACGACCAAAUUUGUCUUCUCUUUUCAAGGUAAUCGUAGGAAGAAGGAAGAAUCCCAUGCCUCGUAUGUUGCCUUCGCUGUUAGGUUUGAGUUCAUUAAGAGAGCUAAAACUAAGGGACUGCAAUCUUUGUGAAGGAGAUAUUCCACGAGAUAUUUCUGGUCUAUCCUCUUUGAGACGUCUUGAUCUUAGUGGUAAUAAUUUCAUCAGCAUACCUGCAUCUCUUACUCGACUCUCGAAGCUUUCGUCUCUUGAUUUGUCAAAUUGCAACAUGGGCACUCUUGGUGAAGCAGAAAUUCACGGUCUAUCCUCUUUGAAAUGUCUUCGUCUUUGUGGUAACAAUUUCAUCACCAUUCGUUUGGCUCUUACUCAACUUUCCAGGCUUGAAUCACUUGUAUUAUCAAAUUGCAUGAAGCUUAAAUUGUUGUCUGAGCUACCGAUUAGUUUAGCAUGUGUGAUUAUAGAUGGUUGUUCUUCACUUGAAGUAGUUACAAGUCUAUCAAAAAUAUGCAAUUCAGUUAUAGCCAUUAACUGCUUCAAACUGGCUGCGAAUAUCAAUGCAAUAACACUGCUGAAAAAAUAUCUUAAGGUCGAUUAAUCUCUUAUCUCUUAUUUCUCCCUUACAAAAUCCCAUACUUGAGAAUUUACAGUUUUAGUUACCAAACGACUUGUGUUUUGUUUUGCAGGCGUUUGGAAAUUCUAGAAAAAUGUUUCAAGUAAUUAUCCCAGGAAGUGAAAUCCCAGAUUGGUUUAGCGAACAAAAAAGUGAGUCGAGUCUUCAAUUAAGGUACCCCUACCUAUCAACCUUCGAAAAGAUAGUCAAUGGGUUGGAGUUGCUUGUUGCUGCAUUUUCGUUAAUACUCAUGUUUCAACGGAUGUCCAACAUAUCGUGUUCGGAGAAUCUAUUUUUCGAGGUAGAAUUCGUCAACAGAUUAAAUGGAGAGGCAAGUUGGCGGGUAAAGGAUAUAACCAGCCCAUAAUGAAAGAUCACCUUUUUCUUUGUUAUUGGUCGCGUGAUGUAUUAGAUGUAUUUGCCUAUAAAUAUGGUUACAGUGAAACCAAUAAUUUAUGGACAACAGAUUGCUCAGAUGAGGAAUGCAAUAUGUUUGAGGUGGCGUUCACAGCUCCAGCUGGAUACAAAGCUAAGGUGAAGAAGUGUGGUGUUAGAUUAGUGUAUGAAAAAGAUUUGAAAGAAAUAAAAGAGUUGCAGUGCCAUACCACUCAAUCUUCUCCAAAUUUUGAACACAUGCACCAAUACUCUCCUCACAAUGAUGGAACAGUAGGUAGCAUUCCUCACAUAAAACGAAAACGUAACAUCUACGAGGAAGUGGAGGAAGAAGUGCCACAACCAAAACGGAUGCAAAAUUUUUUCAAUUUUAUAAUGGACCAAUCCGGGAAGAAGCACUAACUGUGGUAAACUACUCAACCAAUCUUGUCCUAUUAGUUGGUUAUUUAUUUAUUUAUUUACAUAUCUACGUUGUUUACAUCUUUUGUUUCAUUCAUUCUAGAUUUAUUUGCGUAUGAGAUAUAAUCCUUCUUAUAUUCUAUACAUUUCUUAUAUGAAUGUUGAAAUGUGUAUUCUUUUUACAUAAUUGAAAUGUGUACAUUUUGAUUGGUAUUUUUUUUCUUAAAAUUUUAUUUUCAUUAUAUAUGUUAGACCUGUCCAUGGGCCGGGCGGCCCGGCCCGGCCCGAAAUAUGGGAGGGUUUGGGUAAAAAUAUAGGCCCGAAAUAUGGGCUUGGGCAAAAUUUUAGGCCCGUUUAAAAAAUGGGCCGGGCCUCAGGCAAGUUUUUUUGGCCCGGGCCUGGCCUGGCCCAGCCCGAAAAAUAUUAAAUAUAUUUUUUUUAUUUUUAAAAUAUAAUAGUUUUUUAUUUUAAGUUUAUUUACUUUCAUUUCCUUGACUAGUGUUACAAAAUAAUAAUAAUAAAACAUCAAGUUUGUUUUACUAAUCAAAUGUUAGAUUUUGUUACAACAAUUAAUACAAUUAAUACAAUUAAUAAUUUGAUAAAUUUACUAAUCAAAUGUUAGAUUUUAUUACAACAAUUAAUACAAUUAACAAUUAAUAAUUUGAUAAUUUUACUAACAAUUAAAUUUAAUAACAAUUAGUUUUAAUUUUAUUAAAAAAUAAUUUUAAUUUUAAUUUUAAUUAAAAACGGGACGGGCCGGGCUCGGGCCUCAUAUUUUUUCUUCUGGCCGGGCCUGGGCAAAAUCUCAAGCCCAUAUUUCGGGCCCGGGCCUAAUAAAUGGGCUGAAAUUUUUGUGGGCCCGGCCCGAACCCGGCCCGGCCAGGCCCAUGGACAGGUCAAAUAUAUGUACACUUACAUUUAUAUUUUAUUUGUAACUUGAGACAGAAAUGUGGAGAAAAAUGGAUAGCUUUGGUAACAAAGCAGAUAAUAAUAACAUGAAAAUAUUUUAAUGAGGAUUAGAUCAUAAUUUCAGUUGAUUUAAAAAUCAUUUCAUUUUUAUUUGUGAUCAACUUAUAUGUUCAAUUUACUCAAUCAAAAUUGUUUUUAUAUAUUUGGAAGAUAAAAUAUAAGUCCUUACUAAUAUUUAAAUAGGUUUAAUUCCUUCUAAUAAAUAUACCAUUAAAAUUUUAAUCUAAAAUGAAAAUAAAAGAUAGGAGAACAUACAUGUACAUUUAUACACGAGUAUUAUCGAUCUUUUUUUUGUUAAAAAUGUCCAAUAAAAAACAAUGUCAAAAACCUUUAAUGCUUCAUAUUUCAAUGUUUACAUUUAUGAAAUUAAUCUACCAAUGCAUUACUUCUUCAAAAAAUGGUAUGAAUGUCCUUUAUAUUUUCGAUAACAAAAUAAAUUAUUACAAAUGUCUAUUCAAAUCUAAAGAAUUUCAUCAAUUAAAUGAAGACCUCAUUGUUAUCUAAAGUCAACUUAGCAAUAUAAUUAACUUCUAGAUUCCUUUCAUGUGAAAUAUAUUUAAAUUUUCAGUGACUAAUAUUGUCUAUCAAGUCUUGCUGAAUAUGUUGGACAAGUGCGGAGGAAGAUGUCUUUGAGAAGGAUUCUUGAAUAGCUUGAAUAGCUUCUUGACUCUACUUAUCCAAACCCUAAACAUAUUCAAUACAGCAUCACCUUUACCAAAUAAUUUUUUCUGAUCGUCUUAAAAGGAGAGCAAAAUAACUUGUGUCCGCGACAAAACUGACUAGAACCCUCAAUCUCUAUUGUAUUUCCUUUUUCUUGUGUGUGUAAUAAUGUCUUGUUUGAUCAUGCUUGUGUUGCUUUUCCUCCUGAACCUUGUAUCUUCAGAUAUCAAUCAGGGUCAGUUCUGUUUCGAUGGUUACUUGAAUGUUGAUGGAGUUGCAGGCGUAGAUUCAAGUGGGCUCUUUAAACUGACUAAUUUUACAAGGCAAACAGAAAGUCACAUCUUCUACAAGAAUCCAAUCCAAUUCAAGAACUCCACAAAUGGUAGUGUUUUCUCUUUUCCCGCCACAUCCAUUUUUGCAAUUGUAUUGAAUACCCUACUUUGUCUGGCCAUGGAUUAGCCUUUGUAGUCUCGCCUAACAAUGGAAUUCCUGGAGCUCUUCCCAGCCAGUAUCUUGGUCUUUUCAAUCAAUCAAACAACGGUAACAGAUCAAAUCAUAUUGUGGCGGUCGAGCUGGACAUAAUUAUGAGCAGCGAAUUCGAUGACAUAAACGACAACCAUGUUGGCAUCGAUAUCAAUGGCCUAAACUCAAUGGUAUCUUCUCCUGCAAGGUAUUUCACUGAUGAGGGAAAGUUCAUAAAUGUCAGCCUUAUAAGAGAGGAUCCACUGCAAAUUUGGGUUGAAUACAGUGGGACUAAAAAACGACUCCACUUUUAUCCUUGAAUCGGGAUUUGUCUCCAUAUAUUUAUGACUCUAUGUAUGUAGGUUUCUCAUCUUCCACAGGUUCUGUUUUAUCAUCACACUACAUAUUGGCAUGGAGUUUCAAGAUGAAUGGCUCAGCUGAGGAGCUAGACUUGUCUCACCUUCCAAAAGUUCCACGAUUUGUUAAUGAUAAUAAUCGAGGAAUCAAGCAAUUGAAGAAGAUUUUGGCUAUCGCCAUUUUUUUCACAGGUCUCACUUUAGUCCUCGUAUUGGUUUUCAGGUUUGUGUUGAUCUCAAGGAAGAAGAGAUUCAUGGAGAUUCUGGAGGAUUAGGAGGUUCAGUACGGGCCUCAUAGAUUCUCAUAUAAAGAUCUAUUCAAAGCAACAAAGGGGUUUAAAGAAAAGGAAGUUCUAGGGAGAGGUGGAUUUGGUAAGGUGCAUAAGGGUGUUUUACCAUCUUCCAACAUACAAAUUACCGUCAAAAGGAUCUCUCAUAAUUCAAGGCAAGGUAUGAGAGAAUUCGUGGCUGAGAUUGCAACCAUCGGUCGCCUCAGACAUCCGAAUUUGGUUAGACUUCUCGGUUAUUGCAGGCGCAAGCACGAGUUGCUUUUGGUUUAUGACUGCAUGCCUAAUGGAAGUCUUGACAAUUUUCUUUACCACCAACCUAAUAGGAGCCUUAAGUGGACACAAAGGUUUAAUAUCAUCAAGGACGUAGCGUCCGCGUUGUUCUAUCUGCACCAACAGUGGGUGCAAGUCAUCAUUCACAGAGAUAUCAAGCCUGCCAAUAUGCUGACAGUUACAUGAACGCCCGACUAGGAGAUUUCGGGCUGGCAAAAACUAUGCGACCUUGGAAAUGAUCCUCAAACCUCGCAUGUAAUAGGUGAUGGAUCCGUUCUUGACAUUUAUAGAAACUAGGCGAAACAAUAAAUUGAACCUUUUUAAAAAAUUAUAAAAUGUAAUAUAAUAAAAUAAAAUCAUAUACUAGUAAUUUCAUUAAAUAAUAUCUUUUAUGACAUUAAGCAAAUAAAAUAUUUUUCCAACAAAAUUAAAAAAAUUCUUCAAUCUACUCCUAUGUUAUCAACUACAAGAACACAAAAAAUCAUAAAUAAAAAAAUGGGCUCUACGAGCAUUCUGAGAUACAAAAUUAUUAAUGAUAACACCAACACCAAUGUUUUCCAAAAAAAUCAUUCUCGAUUGAUAAAAUUGCCAGACCAUUCAACCGUUCUUGUGACAUUGACGACCACAAGAUUCAUUUCUCUUAUAGACCCCUUUUCAACUAAAAUGUCUCUUGUUUUGUUAUCAAGACUAGCUCAAUUUCUAGGAUCAUAAAUAUCCAAAAAAGAAAUUAUUUGUUCUUCAACAAUGCUAAUAUUAGGAGGAAUUAUUUGUUCUUCAUUAAGAAUAAGAUUUUCAAUACCGGAUACAUUUAACACAUCAUUAGGUUCAUUUGGGUCAUUAAUUUCAUCAUUCUCAUUGAUAUCAUUAUGCAAACUUUCAUUUAAUUGAUCCUAUUUUUCAUUAAAAAUUACUUUAAAAAAUUAUCAAUAGCAUAUUGUUGUGAUUAUUUUAACUCUUUAGCAUGUUUUCUCUUUUUACUUUUUUCACUUUCAGAUAAAUAAUUUUUAGGCAACAUUAUAUAUAAAAGAUAAAUUAGAUACUCAAGUAACACAAGAAAAUAAAACAAUAGUACUUGAUAGAAGAAUUUCAAGUUGAAUAUUUACUUUUACAUUUGUUAAUUUCAAAAGUCAAAUUGAGCCACUAAAAUUCUAUAAAUAUAAUUAUAAAAAUCAAUUACAAAUAAACACUGUAAUUAACAAUAUCCAAUUAUUUGUGAGGAAAAUACAACUUAAAAAUUAAAUGAGUAGCAAAAACAAUUAAAAUUUCAAUUGUAUAAAGGCAUAAAGAAAAGGUAUGUAGUAGUAUGUUGUACUAUGAUUAAUCAAAGAAUGAAUUAGGGGGAGAAACUAAAUAUAAUGAUGAAUUAAUGACUUUAUUAGUUAAAAUCCAAAAAUGUCAUCAAAUUAAGAAUGAAAAGGUUACAAGAAAGAAGAGAAAGGAGGUAAAAUUAUACCUACAACAAUGGUAGAUUCGACAAACCGCGGAUGAGAGGUUCUAAAUCUUUCAAAUAUAAAAUAAAAAUUAAUAACUUUAAUUUAUUAAUGCUAAUGACGGAUGAAUGAUAUAUUACUCAAAUCAAAUUUGGUCCUAUUUAAUUUGUAGAAAAUUUCUCCCACUGCCAUGGUUAUGAGAAAAUAAAUAAGGUUGAAUGCUAGUAACGAUUGAUUUUUUUGAGAAAAAUUAAAAUUAUUUUUUAACUUUAAAGAUAGGAGUUGAAAUUUGAGAAUUAGAAGAGGUUUGGAGAAGCAAAUGAGUUGAUGAUGAAAUAAGGUUGAUUGGUGGGGCUAUAUUUUGUUGACAGGUAGGAAUCAGACCAUAACGAAAGAUCACCUUUUUCUUCGUUAUUGGUCGCGUGAUAAAUUAUUUCCAUUUUCAUUGGAGGAUAAAUAUGGUGACUGUGAGCUUGAGGUGUCUUUCUUACAUCCAUGUAAACCCAAUGCUAAGGUGAAGUGUGGUGUCAGAAUAAUGUAUGAGAAAGAUUUGGAAGAAAUAAAAGAGUUGCAGUGCCAUACCACUCUAUCUUCUCUAAAUUUCGAACACAUCCACCAACACUCUGCUCACAACCAUAGAUCAGUAGGUAGCACUUCCCACAUCAAACAGAAAAUGUAACAUCUACGAGGAAGCAGAGGAAGAAGGGCCGCAACCAAAAUGGAUGCAAAAAUAUUUCAAUUUUAUGAUGGACCAAUCGGGGAAGAAGCAUUGAUUGUGGUAAAGUACUUAACCAACCAUGUACUAUUACUUCUAUUUCAUUUGAAAUAAUCAUUUUAAAUUUAUUUAAGUAUAAGAUAUGAUCUUUUUAAUAUAUAUUAAAAAAAUAUAAAAUUUUUAGCCGUACAAUAGUAUUGAAUAUGUACAUAUCUCAAAUGUUGAUAAUAUAAUUUUUUAUACCAUUUAAAAUUUGUCACUUAAUUUACAAUUUUUUACUAUUUAAAAUUUUAGUCGUUCAAUUCAUUCCUUUUUACAUGAUUGAAAUGUGUACAUUUUAACUAGUUUUAUUUAUUUAUUAAAAUUUUGUCUUCAUUAUAUAUAUUCACUUACAUUUAUAUUUUAUUUGUAGGUUGAAGUAAAUAUAAUCAAUUUGAGAUAGAGAGAUGUGAAGAAAAAUGGAUCGUUUCAUGACAAUGCAUGUAAUAAUAAAGUUAAAAAUCCUUUAAUGAGAAUAAGAUCAUAAUUUAUGCUGAGUUAAAAACUAUUUCAUUUUUGUUUUGAGACUAAUUUAUGUGUUCAAUUUAAUCAAUCAAAAUUAUUUUUAUAUAUUUGGAAUAUUAAAUAUAAGUCAUUUACAAUACUCAAAUAGGUUUAAUUUCUUAUAAUAAAAGUAUCAUUUAAAUUUCAUGGCUUGAAGUACAAAUAAUAUUAUUCUAACUCUUUCUUUUAUAAAGUAUAUUUUAUGUUUAGACAUUUAUUUUUAACACUUAUUCAAAUAUGAAUAUAAAGAGUAUGCUCCUUUAAUUAAUUGGAAGAUCUUUUUCGUGUGAGACACGUCACAUUCAUAUCUAAUAUUUUAAAAAAAUUUAAAAGAUUCAUUUUUUGUUCAUUCUAAUAUUAGGGUUUAGAGAUAUGAUUUUGGUUGACAUGAGCAAGAUUUUCAACGGUUGUGUUUUUUAUGAUAUCAAGAAAAAUUUCUCAAUUUGAGAUAAGUUAAUAUAUGAGCGAUAUAGAUUAAUCUUUUUUCGUGAUAUCAACAAUAAAUUUUUAAUAUUAUUUUUAAUACUAUAAAAAUAUUGAAGGGUCCUACUUAUAUUUUUAGGAGAGUUAUAAUAUAUACAAAGGAGGAAAUUACAAAAAUUUUAAGCCUUAGGGGGCCUACUUAUAUUUUUGGGAGGGUCAUAUUAUAUUUACAAAGGACAAAAUUACAAAAAAAUUAAAUUUUGAAGGGCUAUGGCCCAUGGGCCUCUACAUGGCUCCGUCGUUGCAUCAAUGCAAAAUCGAGAAAGAAAUGAAUAAGACGAUCUUCUAACUCCCUACCCCAAGCCCUAAUAUAAGCAAGGGGGAAGUCAGGAAAUUUUUGAGAGGGAUCGAAAUUAAAUUGUAUUUUUUAUGAUAGUAAAAUUGCAAUUUUACCAUUUUAAUAGUUAUAUAUUUAUAAUUUUUAAAGGAUUAAAACAAAUUUUUAUCAUUUUUAGGGGAGCCAAAGUAUAAUUUUAUCAUUACAAAUUUAAAAUUUUAAGGGCCCUAAAAGGAAAAUUUCCAUUUUAGUCCUCAUCCAUUCUGUAAGUUGAUCUUAUUUAACCAUCAAAUUUUAUAAAAAAAUUUAUUUUAGUCAUUUAUUUAAUUUUUUUAUCUUUUUAGCUUUUUAACUUGUGUUUUCUAUCAAAUCACCCUAAAAUUUGAUGAAUAAGUUAAAUUUUUUAACUUUACUGAUAUAGCAUACAUGUAUAUUGCCACAUGGAUGACAUAUCAUCAUUUAAUUUAUUUUUUAAAAUUUCAAAAAAUAAAAAAUAUAUUUUUAAAAAUUAAAAUAUUAAAAAUUUAAAAAAUAUUUUUAAAAUUUAAAAUAUUAAUUAAAUACUAACAUGUUAUCUGUAUGGUAAUCCGUAAAGUGAAUAAACAUUAAUUUUUUUAUCUAUUUUAAUGAGACCGAAAAUUCAUUUUUUUUCUUUUUAAAAUUACAUGACCGAAAAUUCAUUAUGACUUAUUUAUAUUCAGCGGAAGAAAAUUAAUUUGGGUUUGUGAUAAGAAAAAUAAUUGGUGAAGCCGUGAAGGUGACAUCAUUCAUUACACAACUCCUUUUUCCUUCAAUGGGAACGUUUUGUUGCGGCCAUAAUUCAUUGUCGGUGGUAGAGGUGUUGAUGGUGGAGUGGUCAUUCGAAACCAUUGCCUAAUUGUGACUAAUUAGGUAAGGAAUUCACUCAAAGUAAUUAUUCUAGGGUCCAUUUUAUCAACACCCACCUUCUUGGAUUCACAUGCAUCACUCAUUUAUGACCCCCCAAUUACCACAACUACUCGCGUUCAUUUGGAAAAUGAAAAGGUUAUAGAAAAAUUGCUUAGAAACCACCUUCAUUCUUCCCUGGAAAUUUGAUCUGUUUCUACUUUCUUUCAGCCGUAUUGAGCGAUCAGUUUUCUGAUUUUCAACACUACAUCCACAUAUAUAUUUUUUUCUCGCACAUUGUCAUGUCGUCAUUACCUUCAACUUCUUCGUCCAAUUCAAGAAAGAAAUAUGAUGUUUUCUUGAGUUUUAGAGGUGAAGAUACCCGCAACAACUUUACCGAUCAUCUCUAUGAUGCUUUAAGUAGGAGUGGGAUCGUCACUUUCAGGGAUGAUCCAAAGCUGGAGGCCGGCGAAGAGAUCUCGCCAGAACUCUUUACAGCAAUUCAGCAGUCAUGGUGUUCGGUAAUCGUUUUUUCACAAACUUAUGCCUUUUCAAGUUGGUGCUUGGAGGAGCUUGCUGAGAUUGUUAAACAACAUAACAACGACGGCCAUAAAGUGUUUCCAAUUUUUUACGAUGUUGAUCCAUCUGAUUUAAGAAGACAAAAAGAGAAAGUGGAAGAAGCCUUCGCUAAACAUGAAAAGAGAUACAGAGAAGAUAGUGAGAAGAUCCAAAGGUGGCGAAAUGCUUUAAUUCAAGUGGCUGGAAUCAAGGGAUGGCAUUUAAAUAACAGGUAACUCUUUCUUUUCUUCUCUAUUUUCUAUUUUGGGAUAUAUAUGUAUAACUUUGUUUUUUCUUUCUAAUCCUAUGUGUUUAAUUGAAAAGUGUCUUGGUUGUUGUUUGCUUCGAAACUAUAGUAUGUUUCACGAUUCAUUGAAAAAGAAAGUGCAUUUGAUAAUAUGAAACAAAAAUUAUUCAAAAAAUUAAAAUUUCAUUUCUUGUAGGCAUGAAUCAGAAUUUAUUAGAGAGAUUAUUAAGAAGAUAUCAGCAAAACUAUGUCACCCAGUUACUCAUAGUGACUUGGUUGGAAUGACUGAACGCUUGGAGGAUUUAUAUUUGAAAAUAAACAUUGGGGAAAAUGAUGUCCGCAUUAUAGGGAUUUGCGGAAUGGGUGGUAUCGGUAAAACAACACUCGCAAGACUUGCUUAUAAUCAAAUGUCACAUCAUUUUGAAAGUAAAAGCUUUAUUGCUGAUAUUCGAGAAGUUUCAGACAAAUGUGGAUUAGUUUCUUUACAGAAACAGCUUCUUUCGGAGAUUUUUCAUGAUGAAUGCUUCGAAUUUUUCAAUGUUCAUGAAGGGAAUGAUAUAAUUAGUCAUAUGUUGUCUCGCAAAAAGGUUCUUGUUGUUCUUGAUGAUGUUGAUAACAUUCAACACUUAAAAUGCUUGGUUGGAGGGCAUGAUUGGUUCGGAUUAGGGAGUAGAAUCAUUGUAACAACAAGAGACGAACAUUUGCUUCAAUCUUGCCAAGUUGACGAUGUGUAUAUACCCACAACAUUGAAUACCACAGAUGCGAUUCAACUUUUCAAUUUGAAAACUUUCCGUAGUGAUACAGUGCCGAAAGAUGAUUUUAUUGAGCUUUCUUACCAUGUUGUAAGUUAUGCUGGUGGGCUCCCGUUAGCUCUUGAAGUUUUAGGUUCCUUUUUGUGCGGUAGAGAUGCUGCUCAAUGGAGAAGUGCGAUUGAAAGACUUAAAAGAGAUUCUAAUAAAGAAAUUCUUAAUAAACUUCGGAUCAGUUUUGAUGGAUUGGAAGAAAGAGAGAAAAAUAUAUUUCUAGAUAUAGCAUGCUUCUUCAACGGGGAGAAGAAAGAUUUUGUAAUGAAAGUAUUGGAUGGUUGUGAGUUUUUCCCCGAUAUUGGAAUUGAUGUUCUCAUUAAGAAAUCUUUAAUAAAAGUCGAUGAUGGCAACCAAUAUUUGUGGAUGCAUGACUUGUUGCAAGAAAUGGGAAGAAAAAUUGUUAGAGAAAAAUCUAUUGAUGAACCUGGAAAAUGUUGCAGAUUGUGGGAGGAAACAGAUGUCCAUCAUAUCCUAACAAAAAACACGGUAAGUUACUCAACAAAAGUUACAUACUAUUUUUUUUUAUAGAAUAUCUAAUAAUAUAUGAUAUAAAUUCAAAGCUUAGUAUAAUUGGUUGAUACAACAUCCAUAAAAAGUGUUAUUUGGUACUUUUGAGAUAAAUUAUGUUUGAUGUUUACAAAUGUUAACAAAAAUUUAUAGAAAAAAAAUUUAAUUUCAUUGCAUUACCCUCAUUAGAAACUGUUUUACUUUGUUUAAAAUGCUUUAUUUAUUAUAUUUCGAGCAUAAUAAUGCUAGAAGUUUAAUUUUACAUUAUACACCAUUUAUUUUAUUUUCUUAUUUUCAAUUCUAAAUUUUUUUAGGCCACAGAAAUGAUUGAAGGCAUAUUCAUCAAUAAUAAAAGGUAAGAAAGUGCAUAUAAGUUUAUAUCUUUGUGUAUUAUAAAUGAUGAUUUUAUUUAUUUUAAAUGUGAUAAGAAACUAUAGCAAAACCUUUGACAUUCAAUAUUUUCAAUGUUUAAUUAUGAAAUUUAUCUAGCACAUAUUACUCUUUUAAAAGAAUCAAUAUUGAAAUGUGUAUAUCUUUGUGAAAUAUUAUGGUAUAUAUUUAAUGCACUAAUAGUGUAUACACCAAUGAAUUAGAUUGUAACAUGUCAUCCAAAUUUUUUUUAAAAUGAAUAUGGUUUUAUUUUUAAUUAUGUAUCAUUGAACCAUAUAGAAUUAUGCAUUGUUGGCUGACCAAAUAUAAAUCAAAAUAUUAAUUCACAUUUUUUAGGGUUUGGUAAUAUAACGUCAGAUGUGUGGUUGUUAGAUAUGUGUAUAUCUUCAGUAUUGGUACAUUCAAUUUUUUAAAGAAUUUUUUCAUGGAUUUAAAGAGUUCUUAAAGGAUCUUAAUAUCGAUAUUCGGAUAUGCAUUAGAUAAAAGUAUAGGAUACGGGUACAUAAAAAAACGACAUCGAUACAACAUAGCUCUUAGAUAUUGAAUGUUUUAAUUUCUAUACUCUUAAGCUCAUUUUUGUUUUCCUCAUGGAUAAAAGUAUUGGAUACAGGUACUUAAAAACAAUAUCAAUGCCACAUAGCUUUUAGAUAUUGAAUGUUUUUGUAUAUUCUAAAGCUCGUUUUUAUUUUGUUCAUGGCUAUUAGGGAAUCAAGCAAGGUGCUCAGCUUGAGUGUCAAUGCCUUCUCAAAGAUGAAAAAAUUGAGAUUGCUCAAAGUGCUUUGCCUCUCAAAUUGUGAUGAUCUCAAAUAUCUUUCUAAUGAACUACGACUUUUAGAUUGGAAAGGAUGCCCUUUACGAUCGUUGCCCUCAAGCUUCCAACCAGACAACCUUGUCGCACUUCUUUUACCAUAUAGUAACAUUAAACAACUAUGGAAGGAAAAUAGAGUAAGAAUUAACUCAUUUGGUCAUUGUGUUUUAGCUUAUUAUAAUAUAAAUGAUUAAAUUUUGAUUAAGAUAAAAAAUAAAAAUGAGCAUUAUUAUAUUAUCUCAUUUGUUUCUAAUUUAUUAUGGUCUUCAACAGCCCUUGUAUAAGUUGAAAAUGAUGAACCUUGAAGGGUCCCAAAACCUGAUCAAGACACCAGACUUCACAACAGCACCAAAACUUGAAGCUUUGAUCAUGAAAGGUUGCACCAAAUUAGUGGAUUUUCAUCCAUCAAUUGGAAUGCUUAAGAGCCUUAAACUUUUGAAUUUAAGAGAUUGCAAAAGUCUUAGGACUCUUCCGACGAUAAUUGGAAUGGAAUCUCUUGAAACAUUAAUUCUUUCGGAUUGCUCAAGUCUUGUAAGGUUUCCAGAGAUUGAUGGGAAAAUGGAACGUCUAAAAACUCUAGAUCUUUCUGGUUGUUAUAGAGUUGAAAAUUUAUCGGAGAAUUUGCUGCAAGCAAAGUUUUUGGAAGAGCUCGACUUGAGUGAAACAGCCAUAACAGAACCACCAUCCUUCAUUUUUCAAUUUAAAAAUCUUAAAGUUCUGUCUUUCAAUGGGUGCAAGGGACCAUCAUAUAAGUUACGACUAAAUUUGCCUUCUCUUUUCAAGGUAAUCCAAGGCAGAAGGACGAAUCCCAUGGCUCGGAUGUUACCUUCAUUGUCAGGUUUGAGUUCAUUAAGAGAGUUGAAUCUAAGGGACUGCAAUCUUUGUGAAGGAGAUCUUCCACGUGAUAUUUCUGGUCUAUCUUCUUUGAUACAUCUUGAUCUUAGUGGUAACAAUUUCAUCAGCAUACCUGUAUCUUUUACUCGACUCUCAAAGCUUAAAUUGCUUGCAUUAUCAGACUGCUUGAAUCUUAAAUCGUUGCCUGAACUUCUAAAAAGUAUAAAAACGGUGUGGAUAGAUGGUUGUGCUUCACUUGAAGUAGUUGCAAGUCCAUCAAAAGUAAGCAAUUUAGUGGAUUCGGCUGCCGUUAGCGCCAUUAACUGCUUCAAAUUGUCUGAGAAUAUCUAUGCAUUAACACUGCUGAAAACACAUCUUAAGGUCGAUUAAUCUCCUUAUUUUCCCUUACAAAAUCUCAUACCAGAGAAUUUAUGGUUUUAGUUACCAAACGACUUGUGUUUUAUUUUGCAGGCAUUUGCAAAUUCAAGGAAAAGGUUUGAUAUUACUAUGCCUGGAAGUGAAAUCCCAGAAUGGUUUGAUAUUAUUAUGCCCGGAAGUGGAAUCUCAGAAUGGUUUAGCCAACAAAAAAGCGACUCUUCAAUUGAUUCUAUUAAGAUACUCCUACCUAUCAACCUUCGGAAAGAUAGUGAAUGGAUUGGAGUUGCUUGUUGCUGCAUUUUUGUUAAUAAUGAUGCUUCAACGGAUGACGAGCUUCUCAAUUGUAGAGCAUCUGUCAAUUGUGGAGAGAUUAGUCGGAAACGCUGGAAUAUGGGUAAACGAUUUAACGAGCCCAUAAUGAAAGAUCACCUUUUUCUUCGUUAUUGGUCGCGUGAUAAACUAUAUCCAUUUUCAUUUGAGGAUGAAUAUGGUGACUUUGAAACCAAUCAUUUAUGCGAUGAUGAGCUUGAGGUGUCUUUCAGUGGAAGCAGUGCUAAGGUGAAGAAGUGUGCUUUUAGAAUAGUGUAUAAGAAAGAUUUGGAAGAAAUAAAUGAGUUGCAGUGCCAUAGCACUCAAUCUUCUCCAAAAUUUGAACACAUCCACCAACACUCUGCUCGCAACGAUGGAUCAAUAGGUAGCAUUUCCUACACAAAACGAAAACGUAAUAUCUACGAGGAAGCGGAGGAAGAAAGGCCGCAACCAAAAUGGAUGCAAAAAAUUUUCAAUUUUAUAAUGGGCAAUUCGAAGAAGAAGCAUCAAUUGUUGUAAACUACUUAUCUCACCUUGUCCUAUUACCUUUUUUUUUACACAUUUACGUUUUUCCAUCUUUUAUUUCAUUUAAAAUAAUCAUUCUAGACUUAUUUGGAUAUGAGAUAUGAUUCUUCUAUUAUAUAUCUUUUAUUCUUACUCAUAUUUUGUACAUAUCCCAAAUGCUUCGGUGACAAAAAGUAAUAAUAAGGUGAAAAUCCUUUAAUGAGGAUUGAAUUAUAAUUUGGGCCACCUUAAAAAUCAUUCCAUUUUUAUUUAAGAUCAACUUAUGUGUUUAAUUUAAUUAGUCAAUUUAUAUAUAUAUAUUUGAAAGAUUAAAUAUAGUCCUUAAUAGUAUUUAAAUAGGUUUAAUUCCUUCUAAUAAAAGUACCACUUAAAUUUCGUGAUUUGAUUUACAAAUAAUAUUAUUUCAACUCUUCGAUAUAUAAUUUUUAUUAAGUAUUUAUGAUUUUUGGUCGACAUGAUUGUGUUUCCUAUAUCAAUAAAAAUUCCUCAAUUUGAGAUAAUUAAGUUAAUAUGCUAGUGAUAUAAAUGAUCUAAAUGCAACCAAAAUAAUCUUGGUGUUUUAUGUUUGUCCCUAGACCAAUAGAAGCAUGGCAGGCUCAAAGGAUCAUACAAGUGAGGGGCCAACAGAAGUCAGGUUGAAAUGGAAGUGGAUACUUUAGCAUUUAUAGGCUCAAUGAAUUAAUUAGGGAAUUAGGAUUUCGAGAAAUAGAUUAUGAUAUUAUAUAAUUAGUUGCUUUUUACAUGUAGUGUAAUGUAAUGCAAGUUAUACUAUUUUAAACCAACUUUUUGAAUUUGUUGUUUGUAAAAUGUAAUUCAAAUAGUAAUUUAAUUGUAAGGUCAAUAAUACCUUUUGAAUUAAGUGGUGUAGUCGUAAACUAAUUAAUUGAGAACAAAAUUUAAGUAUUUAUUGCAUAAAACAGAAAUUAAAAGAUAGAAUUCAUCAUAAGGUUCAUCUCCCCUAGGUAUUUAGAAAAUUAGUUCAUAAUUGCAAAUAAAAACAUUCAAAAGAUAGUAUAACCACAAGAAACAAAGAAACUCAUAAUAAACUUCAAAGAAAUCAAAAAUUUUAAUAGUUUAUAUAUUUAUAAUUUUUAUCAUUUUAAUAGUUUAUAUAUUUAUAAUUUUUAAAAGAUUAAAUUAAAAUUUUAUUAUUUUUAAGGGAGCCAAAGUGUAAUUUUAUCAUUACAAAUUUAAAAUUUUAAGGGCCCUAAAAGGAAAAUUUCCAUUUUAAGGGGUCGGUGCCAUCUAAAAAGAAAAGAGAAUAUAAAUAAAAAAUAAAAAACAAAAAACCAUUCACGGCUUAGUCCUCAUCAUUCUGUAAGACCUCCAGGUCGAAUGAUUUAUUUAAGCAUCAAAUUUUAUUAAAAAAUUAUUUUAGUCAUUUAUUUAAUUUUUUUUAUAUUUUUAGUUUUUUAAUUUGUAUUUUUUAUCAAAUCACCCCAAAAUUUGAUGAAAAAGUUAAUUUUUUAAUUUACUGAUAUAACAUACAUGUAUAUUACCAUAUGAAUGACAUAUCUUCAUUUAAUUAAUUUUUUAAAAUUUAAAAAAAUUAAUUAAAUACUAACAUGUCAUCCGCGUGGUAAUUCACGAGUAUACCAUAUCAAUAAAGAGAAUAAAUAUUAAUUUUUUAUUUAUUUUAAAGUAAUUUCACAAAAAAUUCAAAUUCCAGAGUUAUAGAGAAAGCAAGUAAAGCACACACUUAAGAACAGUUGCAAUUAUUGUAGGCUCCAUUUUAUCAACACCCACCUUGUUGGAUUCAUAUGCAUCACUCAUUUAUGGCCCCCCACUUUCCACAACUACGCGCAUUCAUUUGGAAAGUGAAAAGGUUAUAGAGAAAUUGCUUAGAAACCACCUUUAUUCUUCCCUGGAAAUUUGAUCUGAUUCUAGUUUCUUUCAGACGUAUUGAGCUAUCAGUUUUCUGAUUUUCAACACUACAUCCACAUUUUUUUUUCUCUCACAUCGUCAUGUCGUCAUUACCUUCAACUUCUUCGUCCAAUUCUAGAAAGAAAUAUGAUGUUUUCUUGAGUUUUAGAGGUGAAGAUACCCGCACCAACUUUACCGAUCAUCUCUAUGAUGCUUUAAGUAGGAGUGGGAUCGUCACUUUCAGGGAUGAUCCAAAGCUGGAGGCCGGUGAAGAGAUCGCGCCAGAACUCUUUACAGCAAUUCAGCAAUCAUGGUGUUCGGUAAUCGUUUUUUCACAAACUUAUGCCUUUUCAAGUUGGUGCUUGGAGGAGCUUGCUGAGAUUGUUAAACAACAUAACAACGACGGCCAUAAGGUGUUUCCAAUUUUUUACGAUGUUGAUCCAUCUGAUUUAAGAAAACAAAAAGAGAAAGUGGAAGAAGCCUUUGCUAGACAUGAAGAGAGAUACAAAGAAGAUAGGGAGAAGAUCCAAAGGUGGCGAAAUGCUUUAAUUCAAGUGGCUGGAAUCAAGGGAUGGCAUUUAAAUAACAGGUAACUCUUUCUUUUCUUCUCUAUUUUCUAUUUUUUGGGAUAUAUAUGUAUAAACUUUUUUCUUUCUUUCUAAUCCUAUGUGUUUAAUUGAAAAGUGUCUUGGUUCUUGUUUGCUUCCAAACUAUAUAAUGUUUCAUGAUUCAUUGAAAAAGAAAGUGCAUUUGAUAAUAUGAAACAAAAAUUAUUCAAAAAAUUAAAAUUUCUUUUCUUGUAGGCAUGAAUCGGAAUUUAUUAGAGAGAUUAUUAAGAAUAUAUCAGCAAAACUAUGUCACCCAGUGACUCAUAGUGACUUGGUUGGAAUGACUGAACGCUUGGAGGAUUUAUAUUUGAAAAUAAACAUUGGGGAAAAUGAUGUCCGCAUUAUAGGGAUUUGCGGAAUGGGUGGUAUCGGUAAAACCACACUCGCAAGACUUGCUUAUAAUCAAAUGUCACAUCAUUUUGAAAGUAAAAGCUUUAUUGCUGAUGUUCGAGAAGUUUCAGACAAAUGUGGAUUAGUUUCUUUACAGAAACAACUUCUUUCGGAGAUUUUUCAUGAUGAAUGCUUCAAAUUUUUCAAUGUUCAUGAAGGGAACGAUAUAAUUAGUCAUAUGUUGUCUCGCAAAAAGGUUCUUGUUGUUCUUGAUGAUGUUGAUAACAUUCAACACUUAAAAUGCUUGGUUGGAAGGCAUGAUUGGUUCGGAUUAGGGAGUAGAAUCAUUGUAACAACAAGAGAAGAACAUUUGCUUCGAUCUUGGCCAGUUGAUGAUAUGUAUGAGCCCACAACAUUGAAUCCCAAAGAUGCUCUUCAACUUUUCAGUCUGAAAGCUUUUCAUGGUGAUACAGUGCCGAGAGAUGAUUUCAUUGAGCUUUCUUACCAUGUUGUAAAAUAUGCUGGUGGGCUCCCGUUAGCUCUUGAAAUUUUGGGUUGCUUUUUAUGCGGUAGAGAUGCUACUCAAUGGAGAAGUGCAAUUGAAAGACUUAAAAGAGAUUCUAAUAAAGAAAUUCUCGAUAAACUUCGAAUCAGUUUUGAUGGACUGGAAGAAAGGGAGAAGAAUAUAUUUCUAGAUAUAGCAUGCUUCUUCAAUGGGGAGGAGAAAGAUUUUGUAAUGAAAGUAUUGGAUGGUUGUGAGUUUUUCCCAGAUAUUGGCAUUGAUGCUCUCAUUAAAAAAUCUCUCAUAAAAGUCGAUGAACACAAAUAUUUGUGGAUGCAUAACUUGUUGCAAGAAAUGGGAAGAAAAAUUGUUAAAGAAAAAUGUGUUGAUGAACCUGGAAAACGUUGCAGAUUAUGGGAGGAAAGAGACGUCUAUCAUGUCCUAACAAAAAACACUGUAAGUCAUUUAACAAAAGUUACAUACUAUUUCUAUUUUGUUAUAUAAUAUCAAAUCAAUAUAUGAUAUAAACCCAAAGCUUAGUCUAAUUGGUUGAUACAACUAUUCUUAAAAAGUGAUCUUUAGUAAUUUUGAGAUUACAAAUAUUAAAAAGGAUUUGUAGAAAUAAAUAUUUAAUUUCAUUGCAUUGCCCUCUUUAGAGGAUAUAUAAUAUUUGUAGAAAUUGUUUUACUUCGUUUAAAAUGCUUUAUUUAUUAUAUUUAGAAUAUAAUAAUGCUAAAUAAAAAUGUAAGUUUUUAAAAGUUUUAUCCUACAUUAUACACCAUUUAUUUUGUUUUCUUAUUUUCUAUUCUUGAUUUUUCUUAGGGUACAAAAAUGAUUGAAGGUAUAAUCAUCAAUAAUAAAAGGUAAGAAGACACAUAAAACUUAUAUUUAUGUGUACUGUAAAUAAUUAUUUUGUUUUCUUAAAUAUGAUAAGAAAUUAUAGCAAAAUCUUUGAUACUCAAUAUUUCAAUGUUUAAUUAUGAAAUUUAUUUAGUAGCGUAUUACUCUUUCAAAAGAAUCAAUAGAGAAAUGUAUGUCUUUUUGAAAUAUUAAUAGUAUAUCAAUGAAUUAGAUUAUAACAUAACUUUUAGAUAUUGAAUGUUUUUGUAUAUUGUGAAGCUCAUUUUCAUUUUGUUUUAUUCAUGAUUAUUAGGGAAUCGAGCAAGAUGCUCAACUUGAGUGUCGAUGCCUUCUCAAAAAUGAAAAAGUUGAGAUUGCUCAAAGUGCUUUGCCUAUCAAAUUGUGAUGAUCUCAAAUUUCUUUCUAAUGAGCUACGGCUUUUAGAUUGGAAAGGAUACCCUUUAAGAUCGUUGCCUUCAAGCUUCCAACCGGACAACCUUGUUGCACUUCUGUUACCAUAUAGUCGCAUUCAACAACUAUGGAAGGGAAAUAGAGUAAGAAUUAACUCAUCUCAUCCUUGUAUUUUAGCUUAUUUUAAUAUAAAUGAUUAAACUUUGAUUAAGGUAAAAAGACAAAAAUAAGCAUUAUUAUGUUUUCUCAUUUGUUUCUAAUUUAUUGUGAUCUUCAACAGCCCUUGUGUAAGUUGAAAAUCAUGAACCUGGAAGGGUCCCAAAACCUGAUCAAGACACCAGACUUCACAACGGCAUCAAAUCUUGAAGUUCUAAUAUUGAAAGGUUGUACCAAAUUAGUGGAUGUUCAUCCAUCAAUCGCAGUACUUAAGAGCCUUAAAGUUUUGAAUUUAAGAGAUUGCAAAAGUCUUAGGAGUCUUCCGACCAUAAUUGGAAUGGAAUCUCUUGAAACAUUAAUUCUUUCCGGUUGCUCAAGUCUUGUAAGGUUUCCGGAGAUUGAUGGGAAAAUGGAACGUCUAAAAACUCUAGAUCUUUCCGGUUGUUUUAGAGUUGAAAAUCUAUCGGAGAAUUUGCAGCAUGCAGAGUUUUUGGAAGAGCUCGACUUGAGUGAAACAGCCAUAACAGAACUACCAUCCUUCAUUUUUCAAUUUAAAAAUCUUAAAGUUCUGUCUUUCAAUGGAUUCGAAAGAGGAAGGACAAAUUCCAUCGCUCCGAUGUUGCCUUUGUUGUCAGGUUUGAGUUCAUUAAGUAAGCUAAAACUAAGGGACUGCUAUCUUUGUGAAGGAGAUAUUCCAAGUGAUAUUUCUGGUCUAUCCUGUUUGAAAGAACUUGAUCUUAGUGGUAACAAUUUCAUCAGCAUACCUGCAUCUCUUACUCGACUCUCCAAGCUUGAAGAGCUUAUAUUGUCAAAUUGUAACAUCUGCACUCUUGGUGAAGCAGAUAUUCAUGGUCUAUCCUCUUUGAAAUGGCUUUUUCUUAACGGUAACAAUUUCAUCACCGUUCCUUUGCCUCUGACUCAACUUUCCAAGCUUAAAUUGCUUGCAUUAUCAAAUUGCAUGAAGCUUAACUCGUUGCCUCAGCUACCAACAAGUAUAGAAGAUGUGUGGCUAGAUGGUUGUUCUUCACUUGAAGUAGUUGCAAGUCCAUCAAAAGUAUGCAAUUUAGUGGAUUCGGCUGCUAUUUUACCCUUUAACUGCUUCAAAUUGGCUGAGAAUAGCAAUGCAUUAACACUGCUGAGAAAACAUCUUAAGGUCGAUUAAUCUCUCUUUUUCUCACUUACAAAAUCUCAUACUUGAGAAUUUAUGGUUUUAGUUACCUAACGACUUGUGUUUUAUUUUGCAGGCAUUUGCAAAUUCAAGAAAAAUGUUUGAUAUUAUCAUGCCAGGAAGUGAAAUCCCAGAAUGGUUUAGCCAACAAAAAGGUGACUUCUUUAUUAAGAUUCCCUUACCGAUUAACCUUCAAGAGGAUAGUGAAUGGAUUGGAGUUGCUUGUUGCUGCAUUUUUGUCAAUAAUGAUGCUUCAAGGGAUGUGGCCUUUAUCGACUGUGGAGCGUUAAUGUAUGGUAGAAACCGUCGGCAGAUUGAGAGGAGAGGCUAUUUGGUGGGUAAACGAUACAACAAGCCCAUAAUGAAAGAUCACAUUUUUCUUCGUUAUUGGUCGCGUGAUAAAUUAUAUCCAGUUUCCUUGAAGGAUAAAUAUGGUGGCUGUGAAACCAAUAAUUUACGGACAACAGAUUGCUUAGAUCAUAAACAUGAUGGGCUUCAUGUGUUUUUCAAUGGUCAUAGCCUUAAAGUGAAGAAGUGUGGUGUUAGAAUAGUGUAUGAGAAAGAUUUGGAAGAAAUGAAAGAGUUGCAGUGCGAUACCACUCAAUCUUCUCCAAAUUUUGAGCACAUCCACCAACACUCUGCUCACAACCAUGGAACAGUAGGUAGCAGUUCUCACAUAAAACGGAAACGUAAUAUCUAUGAGGAAAUGGUGGAAGAAGAGCCGCAACCAAAACGGAUGCAAAAUUUUUUCAAUUUUAUAAUGGGCCAAUCAGGGAAGAAGCAUUAACUGUGGUAAACUACUUAACCAUCCUUCUUACAUACCAAAAACUUAUAAAUCUUUUACUUAUAUUCAACAGGAGCUCAUAUUCCGUACAUAUCACAAUUGUUGAUAACAUAGUUUAUAUAUAUCAUUUAAAAUUUUAGUCGCUUAAUUCAUUCCUUUUUAUAUAACUGAAAUGUGUAAAUUUUGAUGGUUUCAUUUUUUAUUAAAAUUGUAUUUUCAUUAUAUAUACACUUACAUCUAUAUUUUAUUUGUAGGUUGAAAUAAAUAUAAUCAACUUGAGAUAGAAAUGUUGAGAAAAAUGGAUAGUUUCCGUGACAAAACAGGUAACAAUAAGGUGAAAUCCUUUAAUAAAGGCCAGAUCAUGAUUUUCAACUGUUGUGUUUUUUGUGAUAUUAACAAAAUUUUCUUGAUUUGAGGUAAGUUAAUAUACCGGUGAUAGAGAAAGGAUUAUAUGAAACUAUGGUUCCACGUCAUUCCUAUACAUUUUCAAUAGGAGAAUGACAACUCAAAAUUUUAGUAUUUUUAGUUGAAUUUGAAUUUGUCGGGAGGAAAAAGUUGAAAAUCGGGAGGAAAAAUCUGUUUUGUUAUUCUUCUAUUAGAAGGUGAUAUGAAUGAUUUAAAAUCACAGUUUCAUAAAAUCCCUUAAAAUCCCUUCUCACCAGUGAUGUAGAUGAUCUCAAUGCAACAAAAAUAACCUUGGUGUUUUAUGUUUGUCCCCUAGGCUAAUAGAAGUAUGAAAGUUUGGUCAAAGGAUCAUGCAAGUGAGGGACCAACAAAAGUCUUCAAGCUGAAAUGAAAGCGGACACUUUAGCAAUUAUAGGCUGGGAUGAAUUUAGAGAAAUAGAUUAUGUUAUUACAUAAUUAGUUGUUUUUUUACAUGUAAUGUAAAUUAUAGUAUUUUAAAUCGACCUUUUGAAUUUGUAAUGUAAAUUCAAAUAGUAAUUUAAUUGUAAUGUAAAUAAAACCUUUUAAAUUAGGCAUAAUGACAAAAAAGGUUCUUAGUGUUUAUAAAAUUUGACAAUUUAACCCUUAUUUUUUUAAGCAAUUUAGCUCUUAACAUUUUAUUUUGAGUCAAAUUAUGGAUUUUUUAAUGCAAAAUGCUUAUUGAACUAUUAACAGUGUUGACUUGACAUGAAUAGUGAAUUCAUUCCUUUUUACAAAUUUUAGUCACUCAAUUCAUUCCUUUUUACAUAAAUGAAAUGUGUACUUUUUUUUAAUUUUAUUAUAUAUAUAUAUAUAUAUAUAUAUUAACUUACAUGUAGGUUGAAGUUAAUCUAAUCAACUUAAUACUGAAAUAUUAAAAAAAAUGGAUAUCUUUUGUGACGAAGCAGGCAAAAAUAAAAUGAAUCCUUUAAUAAGGAUUAAUCAUUAUUUCAGCUGAGUUAAAAAUCAUUUCAUUUUUAUUAGAGAUUAAUUUAUGUGUUCAAUUUAAUCAGUCAAAAUUAUUUUUAUAUAUUGGGAAGAUUAAAUAUAAGUCCUUAAUAGUACUUAAAUAGGUUUAAUUCCUUCUAAUAAAAGUAACAUUUAAAUUUCAUGGCUUGAAGUACAAAUAAUAGUAUUCCAACUCUUUUAGUUUAUAUUGUUUAUACAGUAUUUAUAUUUAAACAUUUAUUUUUAACACUGAUUCAAACAUGAAAAUAAAGUAUGCUCUUUUAAUUAAUUGGAAAAUAUUUUUUGCGUGUGAGGCUUAUUCAACCUUUUUUUUUUUUUUACUUCAAUAGAUUUAUUUUUUGUUCUUGUCUAAUUUCCCUUUUCUGUUCUUGACAGUGGUUGUGUUUUCUGUAAUAUCAACAAAACUUUCUCAAUUUGAGGUAAGUUAAUAUACCAAUGAUAAUGAUGAUAUCAAUGCAACAAAAAUAAUUUUGGUGUUUUAUGUUUGUCCCCUAGACCGGUAGAAGCAUGGCUCAAAGGAUAAUGCAAGUAAGGAAUCGACAAAAGUCAAGUUGAAAUGGAAGUCAACACUUUCGCAUUUGGAUGAAUUUAGAAAAUUACGAUUUCAAAAAAUAGAUUAUGUUAUUAUAUAAUUUGUUAUUUUUUACUUGUAAUGUAAUGUAAACUAUACUAUUUUAAAUGGGGUUUUUGAAUUUUUUGCUUGUAACAUAUAAAUUUAAUUGUAAUGUUAAUAAAACCUUUUAAAUAGGUAUAAUGACAAAAAAAUGUUCUUAGCAUUUAUAAGAUUUUAUUUUGAGUUAAACUAUAAAUUUUUUUAUUGCAAAAUGCUGAUUAAACCGUUGACGUGAUAUGAAUAGUAAACUCUUUUUAAGGUUGGUCUCAAUUGGAUCAUCUUUCACAAUAGCCUUAUUUAUGUUUAUUAUGUUUUCUCAUUUGUUUCUAAUUUAUGAUGGUCUUCAACAGCUCUUGUAUAAGUUGAAAUGCGGCUGAGAUGGGAUUGCAUGUGGGAUUCUCGAGGGUGGAGAUCGAAGGAGACUCCUUAUCUGUGAUUCGGAAGCUGCAAAUAAAGGGAGUUGAAAGGUCAGUGAUAGGAGCCUAUAUCUCAAGUAGAGGGAUAUCAAAUCUGUGUCUUUAAACAUGUGCCAAAACAAGCAAACGGAGUUGGACAUCUAUUGGCUAUAGAGGGAUUAAAGAGAGAUGAAGAAACUUAUCUUGUUGGUGCGGUUCCUUCAUACACGAAAGUGGCAGCGGAAGAGGACCGUCAACAGUUGGGCCCACUAUGUCCAGCAGGUCAAAGAUCCACUGCUUAGAAAGAAGAUAAAAUGGGAUUUUACUGUGGGCAAACAGAUCGGAGAAUAGAUGGACUACUGGGUUUCUCAGUUUCAACGGAAGAUUGGUGUUUUGAAGUGAUGAAAUGCAGAGUUUAGCCAGACCUGAAGGGUUUCUGUUGAAAAAGACAGCAGCAACUAAGCAAAAUUCAAACAGCCAAGACUAAAGCUCAUUAACAGCAAAACAAAACAAAAAGAACAAACUGAAAAUCCAAAGAGAAGCAACAAGUAACCGAAUGAGAAAGUCCUAGCUUUCAUUUCCAUUUCAAAAUAUAAAGGGGUUACAAAAAUAAUAAUAAUAAGUUAGUUACCUAAACUGUAACUGCUCUUAACAAAUUUGGCAAGUUGCCAACUAAAAUAUUACAAAAGAAAAGCUGAAAAAAUUCAGCUGUUACAUCCAUCAAUUUCAAAUCUAAAAAUAUUAGCUUUAGAUAUCAAGCAACUUGCCAACUUGUUAAUAUAAAAAAAAUACAAAAUUUAAACAAAAGAAAGUUGCUUCUAGUUCAAUCUUCAAACAGACAUGCUGCUGCUGCUCACGAUGCUGGUAGUUUGUUGCAUUGCAGACCAAUGCUCAACACUCCUCCUUGGACUGUAGGCAACAAACACCAAUCGAAUCUCGUAAGAAUUCAAACCUGAUUGUGCCAAGAGGCUUUGUCAAAAUGUCAGCCAAUUGAUCUUGUGAGCUGCAAUGUAUAAGACACACUUCUUUGGAUUGAACAACUUCUCGAACAAAGUAAAACUUGAGCUUAAAAUGUUUGGUUUUUCCAUGAAAAACAGGAUUUUUGGAGAUGGCAACUGCUGACUGAUUAUCCACCAUAAUUUCAGUAGGCUCAAGCUGUUCUUCAUUCAAAUCACAUAGCAACUUCCUAAGCCAAAUGGCUUGAUUCACUGCUGCAGCUGCUGCUAUGUAUUCUGCUUCAGCAGUAGACUAAGCAACAGUUUGUUGCUUCUUUGAACUCCAACUGAAAACUCCCGAACCAAGUGUAAAGAAGUAGCCUGAAGUACUUCUCAUAUCAUCAACUGAUCCACCCCAGUCACUAUCUGAGUAGCCAGUUAAUUUCAGCUCACUUCCUUUCUUGAACAUUACACCAAACUUCAAAGUACCUUUGACAUACCUGAGUAUUCUCUUUGCUGCUUUCAAAUGAGUUGUAUUGCAGCUAUGCAUGAAUCUAGACAGUAGACUAACUGAAUGCAUAAGGUCAGGUCUGGUUGCUGUCAAGUAUAGUAAACAACCAAUCAGGCUUCUAUACUCCUUUUCAUCUACCUUUUCUUCAUUUCCAAAGCUGCUUAGUUUCGAUCCCACAUCUAAUGGUGUGCUCACUGGUUUGCAGUUUUCCAUAUGAAACUUAGUGAGAAUUUUCAAGGCAAAUGCAUGCUGGCUAAUAAAAAUGCCUUGAUCAGACUGGUCUACUUCCAUACCAAGGAAGUAAGUCAUGAUUCUCAAGUUUGUCAUGUCAAACAUGUCUUGCAUAUUCUUCUUGAACUCCUGAAUCAAAUUGACCCUGCUUCCAGUCACAAAUAGAUCAUCCACAUAUAUUGAGACAAUCAGCAAAGUCUCAUCUUUGGACUUCUUUAUAAACAAAGUUGGCUCACUCAAACUUUUCUCGAAAUUGAGCCUAGACAGGUAAGCAUCUAUCUUGUCAUACCAGACUCGAGGAGCCUGUUUUAGUCCAUAGAGUGCCUUCUUCAGCUUGUAAACCUUGUCCUCCUUUCCUUGGACUUUAAAUCCAUCAGGCUGUUCAACAUAAAUUUCUUCUUUAAGAAAACCAUUCAGGAAAGCUGACUUGACAUCAAGUUGAUGGACCCUCCACUGCUUUUGUGCUGCGAAGGCAAACAGAAGCUUUAUGGUAUCCAGCCUUGCCACUGGAGCAAAUGUCUCCUCAAAAUCAAUGUCAAACUGUUGAUUGUACCCUUUCACCACAAGCCUUGCCUUGUGUUUGUUCAAAGAGCCAUCAGCAUUGAAUUUGGCCCUGAAAACCCAUUUGACACCUAUGACCUUCUUCUGAUCAGGUCUGUCUACCAGAUCCCAAGUGUCAUUUUUGUGGAUCAUGUCAAUUUCAACCUCCAUAGCCUUCUUCCAGCUCUUGCUUCUUGCAGCUUCUUCAUAGCUUGAAGGCUCAACAAUGGCCACAUUGCAUCUUUGGUAGAUAUCAGCAAUAGACCUGGUCCCCCUCACAGGAGCAUCAUCUACAUUGGCAUUACUGACUUCAUUUUCUGCCAAUUCCAGAUUGCUGUCAAUCUGCUCUUCUUCAAACUAACUUGUGUUAGAGCCAUCUAGACUCCAAAACCUUCCUUCAUCAAAUUUGACAUCCCUGCUUACCAAAAUCUUCUUGGUUGAAGGAUCAAAUACUCUGUAGCCCUUCUUGCAGCUACUGUAGCCAACAAAUAUACCAGGAACUGACCUCUUCUCGAGCUUGGUUCUUCUUUCUGCAGGGACAAGUACAAAACACAUGCAACCAAACACUUUUAAAUGGGAAACAGUUGGUUUGAGAUCAUACCAUGCUUCAAAAGGAGUUUUAUCAUUCACAGCAUGUGUUGGUAGCCUAUUGAGCAGGUACACUGAGGUGUUGACACCUUCAGCCCAAAAAAUUCUUGGAAGCUUGCUUUGAAACAACAAACACCUGGUCAUGUUCAUCACUGUUCUGUUCUUCCUUUCACAUACUCCAUUUUGUUGAGGAGUAUACACUGAGGUCAAUUGAUGAUGAAUCCCAGCCUGCUCACAUAGCUUCUGAAAUAUUUCAGACAAGUAUUCAGAACCAUUGUCUGUCCUCAAGGCCUUAAUCCUGCAGCCUGUUUGAUUUUCUGCCAAUGUCUUGAACUUUCCAAAAACUUCAAACACUUCUGACUUCUGUUUCAUGAAAUAAACCCAGCAAAAUCUGGUCAGAUCAUCAAUAAACAGUAUAAAAUACUUACUGCCAUUCAGUGAAGGCGUCUUCAUUGGUCCACAGACAUCUGAGUGCACCAACUCAAGUCUUUCUUGAGCCCUCCAUGCUUGGUUUACUGGAAAAGGCAACCUGGCCUGCUUACCAAGCUGGCACACUUCACAAACAGACUCAUUUGCAUCAACCUUAAUCAUGUCCUCUGUCAAACUUAUAUUGUGUAGCAAAUUGAGUGACCUGAAAUUGACAUGGCCAAAUCUUCUAUGCCACAUAUCAGCAUUGUCAACUGAACUUGUAUAGGCUCUUCUCUCAAGUUGGCUCACAUCCAGCAUGAAACACCUAUCUGCCAUUGGUGCUGAAACAACUUCUCUACCAAGAACAUCAUUAAUAACACAAGAAUCAUUCUUGAAAACUAGAGAGUAGCCUUUCUUAACCAGCUGACCUACACUAAGUAGAUUUUGAUCUAUUUCAGGUACAUAGAGCACAUCUGUAAUAACCUUUUUACCUGAACCAGUGUUGAUCACAACAUCACCUCUGCCUUUAGCUUCAAUCAGAUUCUCAUUGCCUAUCCUGACCUUUGAAGUAAAACUCCUGUUAAGGUCCUUGAAUAGGCUCUCAUCUGAUGCCAUGUGAUGUGAGCAGCCACUAUCCACAAGCCAACUGCAUUUGGAUUUGCUUGUGGUUGCAGAACAUGAGGCAGUGAAGACAUGCUCCUCCUGAGCUUGAAGAUCUUCAGCAGUCUUGGCUUGUACUGGCAGAGUUUGUGCCUUUUCUUGAUUUCUACAAAUCUUUUCAUGGUGACCAUACUGCUUGCAACUCUUGCAUUGGAUGUUUGGUCUGUUCCAGCAAUACUUCUCUAAAUGAUUAGUCUUCUUGCAGUGAACACAUGGUGGAAACCUCCUUCUACCAGCAUCUUUCUUUGAUCUUUCCCUCUUUUCAAACCAAGGCUUCUUAGCUUUCUGACUUGAGCUGGAGCCUUCUCUGACCUUUGCUUGAAAAACACCUUCAGGACUCUCCUCCUGCCUACUUGCUCUUCUCUGCUCAAGUGCAUAGAGUGAGUUAGCCAACUCAGACAAAGAAAUGAUUGUGAGAUCUCUCGAGUCCUCUAAUGAGCAGAUUUUUGACUCAAACCUUUCAGGUAAGGUGGUAAUAACCUUCUCAACAACCCUGCUGUCACUGAAAUCUUCUCCAAGGAGUCUGAUAUUAUUGACAGUAGCCAUAAUUCUAUCAGAAUAUUGCUUGAUAGUUUCUGACUCCUUCAUCUUCAAAUUUUCAAACUCCCUUCUAAGAUUUGUAGCGACCUAAAAAUUUGGGGUACGGGCGCUAGUCGAAAUAAUUAUUGAAAAUUUAAAAACAGCGUCUCGAUUUUAUUUGCAAAAGGAGUUGCCACUGAUCUUUUUUUAGGUGUGAUCGGACACCUAAUAAAUUCUAUUUUUAGAAGAAAAAUUUAUUUUUAAAUUUUCCUAAAAAAGAGGUAAUUUUAGGUCUGCGUGAAAAUCCAGAUAAAAUUAAGGUUCGGGAGUCGGUUACGCGCGAGGAAGGUAUUAGCACCCUCGCGACACCCAAAAUUGGUAUCUCGUUAAACGCACGUCGUCUUAAUUUUCAAAAAUACGAGUUCAAUUUAAUAUUUACUCGUGAUCCAAUUGAAACAUGAGAAUUUUUUUAAAACACGAGAAUUUUGCAGCACCAAUUUUUAAAAAAAACGAAAAUUUUUGAAACAUGAGAAAUUUUUUUAAAAACACAAAAAUUUUUGAAACACGAAAAUUUUAAAAAACACGAAAAUUUUUAAAACACAGCAAUUUUUGAAACACGAUAAUUUUUCAAAACACAAAUUUUUUUAAAGAACAUGACAAUUUGUGAAACACUAGAGUCAUUGAAAACACGGAAAUUUGUGAAAAAACAAAAAUUUAUGAAACACAGAAAUUUAAAAAAAAACACAGAUUUUUGAAACACCGAAAUUUUUGAAAACACGAAGAUUUUUGAAACACGAAAAUUUUUGAAAAUACGAAUUUUUUUUAAAUACAGAAAUUUUUAAACACGGGGAUUUUUGAAACAUGGAAUUUUUUUAAACGUGAAAAUUUUUGAAACACAAUUUUUUUUAAGAAGUGCCGUAUUUAACACGAAUCAAUAAUAUUCAUCCCUACAUGGCGAUGAAAUCAUCGAAUUAGUGCCAAAUCGAUUCAACUUAAUAUUUAAUCGUGAUUUUAUUAAAACACGAGAAUUUUAAAAAAACAUGAGAAUUUUAGAAUAUUUUCGAUUUUUUUUAAAAGGGCGUAUCGUGUUUAACACAAACCGAUGGUAUUCACCCAACAUAGCGAUGAAAUCAACAAUUGAAUGUUAAAUCGAUUCGUUGCCUUAUUUAUUAAAAUUACUUAAAAUAAAAUAAAAUUGAAAUUGAAUUAAAUUAAAAAUAUAAAUGCAAAAAUAUAAAAAUGCAUAAAAGUACAAAUAAUACUAAAACGGAAUAGCAUAAAAAUACGGGUAUUAAAUUAAAAGUGAAAUAAACGAAAUUACCAGAAAUAUCCAAAACACGAGCUUAGUCGAACGGGUUACCAAAUUGAACCCUUUUCUUUUUUUCUUUUUUCUUUUUCUUUUUUUCUUCCUUUUUUUUCUGCUGCUGGGCCGGCCUGUUGGACUGCUGGGCAAACUGGGCCUGGCGCUGUGGGCCUUCUGGGCUGGUCUGGUGCUGCCUAGAUGCCUGCUGGGCCUUUGCUGGAAAUGGGCUGCUGUUGGCCUGCUAACAAAAAUGGCCUGCUGUGUUUUUUUUUGCUGUUUGCUGUUUUUUUAGGGGCUGCUCUUUUUUUGGGCUGCUGGGCUGCUGUUUUUUAUUUGGGCUUCUCGGAUGAUGCGGGUCGGGCCUGGUGCGGGUCGGGUCGGGUCGACNNNNNNNNNNNNNNNNNNNNNNNNNNNNNNNNNNNNNNNNNNNNNNNNNNNNNNNNNNNNNNNNNNNNNNNNNNNNNNNNNNNNNNCUUUUUUCUUUCUUCUUCGGGUCACCCCUAGCCCCCACGCCGUCGCCGACCCCCCCUCCGUCCGGUGUUGCGGUGGCCGACGCGACUCCCUUCUCCUCUCUUCCUCCCUUUCUUUUCUCUUCUCUUUUCUUCCUUUUUCCUUUGGGUUGCUGUUUUUUUUUGCUUAUUGCUUUUUAUUUUCUCUUUGCUUGUGUUGUAGGUGUUGGGACGGUAGUGGCGGUGCUGUCGUGGUGGUGGGGACGGUGGCGCGCGGUGGAGCUGCUGUUUUCCUUGUGUUUUGCUGCCUUUUUUUUCAUUUUUUCUCUGCUGUUUUUUUGGUUUUUUUGGCUGCCGAAAAAAUCCCCCCAUUUCUCUCCAAUUUCCUCCUUUUUAAUCCCCUAAUUUUGUCAUCUUCUUCUUGUUUGCAGGUGGCAGAGGAGGGCAUCAUGGCCUAGGGAGGCUGCUGGAGUAGCUCGGCUGGGGAAGGGUACGUUCGGCUGCUGAUUGCAGCGAUUUGACAAGUCCAGAAGGACUAAAUUGCAUGGGAUGCAAAGCUUCUGCGGUAAAAGUGUAAUUUUAGCAAAAAUAUGGGCCAAAAUGUAAUUUCUUGAGAGUUUAGGGGUCAAAGUGAAAUUUUUAGAAAGUCUAAAGGUCGAAAUGUAAUUUUAGAAAGUUUUGGGGUUAAAAUGUAAAUUUUGGAAAAGUUUGGGGUCAAAAUGUAAAUUUUGAAAAGUACAGGGGUUAAAAUAUAAAAAAAACUUUUUUUGAAACACGAAAUUAAUCCCGGACAAAAUUCAGUGAUUACAAGAUUAAUUACUUGUUGCUGCCUUGUCUUGUUUGAUCCCAUGAACUCCUCUUUCAGCCUAUCUCAUGCUUGUUUGGGUGAGUCACAGGCCAUGAUGCGAGUAAAAAUCAUAUCAGACACUCCAUUCUGUAGGCAGGCCAUGGCUUUAUGCUUCUUGGCUCGCUCCUCACCAUGUUGCCUGAUCUGAGCAAUGGUUGGAUUUGCUCUCAAUAGUGGUGGCUCGACAUCAUUUUCAACUGCACUCCACAGAUCAAGUGCUUGGAGGUAAGUUUUCAUUUUAACUACCCAAAUGUGGUAGUUUUCUCCAGCAAAAACUGGUGGUGGAGGAGGUGCAAAGCUCAUGUUGUUGGAACUGGUUUGACAAACACGAUUUUUGAGUUUAUUUUGAAACAAAAAAAUUUAAACAACAGAGGUCCUCAAAGACAAGAGGCUCUGAGAAAAAGACAGCAGCAACUAAGCAAAAUUCAAACAGCCAAGACUAAAGCUCAUUAACAGCAAAACAAAACAAAAAGAACAAACUGAAAAUCCAAAGAGAAGCAGCGAGUAACCGAAUGAGAAAGUCCUAGCUUUCAUUUCCAUUUCAAAAUAUAAAGGGAUUACAAAAAUAAUAAUAAUAAGUUAGUUACCUAAACUGUAACUGCUCCUACCAAAUUUGGUAAGUUGCCAACUAAAAUAUUACAAAAGAAAAGCUGAAAAAAUUCAACUGUUACAUCCAUCAAUUUCAAAUCUAAAAAUACUAGUUUUAGAUAUCAAGCAACUUGCCAACUUGUUAAUAUCAAAAAAAUACAAAAUUUAAACAAAAGAAAGUUGCUUCUGGUUCAAUCUUCAAACAGACAUGCUGCUGCUGCUCACGAUGCUGGUAGUUUGUUGCAUUGCAGACCAAUGCUCAACAGUUUCUUCCACUUGCAUCGGAAAGAUCUAGCAGACAUUUUGGUGGUUAUCAACAAAACAGAGAAGGCAUCUGAAGGGUUUCGCUUUCUCAGAUGUCUAGGGAAAAGGAAAGUCUGCCUGGGUGUUUGGAUUAUCCUGCUUUUAUUUAACGUUUGUUUAUUGCAUAUUUUCUGUUUUGUCUAGGCUCUAAAUGAUUUGGAAUUUGUUUUAUUAAUAUAAUCCAGCCAUUCAUAUUUCAAAAAAUAAAAAUAAUAAUGGGUCCAAACCUGAUCAAUUCACUAGACUACACACAAACAUCAAAUCUUGAACUUCUGAUUUUUGAAAGGUUGUACCAAAUUAGUGGAUGUUCAUCCAUCAAUUAGAGUGCUUAGGAACCUUAAACUUUUGAAUUUAAGAGAUUGUAAAAGUCUCAAGAGUCUUCCGACUGAAAUUGGAAUGGAAUCUCUAGAAACAUUAAUUCUUUCGGGUUGCUCAGGUCUUGUAAGGUUUCCGGAGAUUGAUGGGAAAAUGGAACGUCUAAAAACUCUAGAUCUUUCUGGUUGUUAUAGAGUGGAAAAUUGAUCGGAGAAUUUGCAGCAAGCAAAGUUUUUGGAGCUCGACUUGAGUGAAACAGCCAUAGCAGAACCACCAUCCUUUAUUUUUCAAUUUAAAAAUCUUAAAGUUCUUUCUUUCAAUGGGCGCAAGGGACCAUCAUAUAAGUUACUACCAAAUUUGCCUUCUCUUUUCAAGGUAAUCCAAGGAAGAAGGACGAAUCCCAUGGCUCAGAUGUUGCCUUUGUUGUCAGGUUUGAGUUCUUUAAGAGAGCUAAAACUAAGGGACUGCAAUCUUUGUGAAGGAGAUCUUCCACGUGAUAUUUAUGGUCUAUCCUCUUUGUGGCCUCUUGAUCUUAGUGGUAACAAUUUCAUCAGCAUACUUGCAUCUCUUACUCGACUCUCGAAGCUCGGAAAUCUUAUAUUGUCAAAUUGCAACAUGUGCACUCUUGGUGAAGCAGAUAUUCAUGGUGAUAUUUCUGGUAUAUCCUCUUUGAUACGUUUUGAUCUUAGUGGUAAGAAUUUCAUCACCAUUCCUUUGGCUCUUACUCAACUUUCCAGGCUCAAAUUGCUUAAAUUGUCAGGUUGCAAGAUGCUUAAAUCGUUGCCUGAGCUACCAACAAGUAUAGCAGCUGUGCAUAUAGAUGGUUGUUCUUGACUUGAAGUAGUUGCAAGUCCAUCAAAAGUAUGCAAUUUAGUGGGCUGUGAUGACAUUAGUGCCAUUAACUGCUUCAAAUUGGCUGAGAAAAUCAAUGCAUUAACUCAAAGUUGGGAAUUCCGGUAAUUGCAAAAAUGGAAGUGGUGGAAAAAGAGAAAACACUACCAUCUGUGGAGUUCUUGAAUUGGAUUGGAUUCUUGUAGAAGAUGUGACCUUUUGUAUGGGUUGUAAAAUUAGUCAGUUUAAAGAGCCCACUUGAACCUACGCCCGCAAGUUCGCCAACAUUCAAGUAACCAUUGAAACUGAAGUACUGACCCUGAUUGAUAUCUGAAGAUGCAGGAGGAAAAGCAACACACGCAUGAUCAAACACACAAAAAAAUAUAUACAAUAGACAUUUAGAUAACCAAUCAGUUAGGUAAUGAGCAGCCUUGAUUUCAUAAUCAUCAAACCCAACAUUUAGAUCAUACAAAGAGAGAAAUUUUAUAAGGGUACAGUAGAACCUGUCUUUUGUUGACUGAGCUGCAGUGAAAAUGCAUUCGCAAGAACGAUCUUUUCGAUUCUAAGGAGCUCAUAGAGAAGUAUUCCACGAAUAUAUUUGAUUUUCAACCUGGAAAAAAAAAUAAUUACUACUAUAAUUAUAAUUGACAGCAAUAAAUGCACGUACACUUUUUCAACAAAUCAUAAGGCAUGGUACGAGGUAAACUCCAAUUUGAAUUCACAUCCCUUAGAACCCCUUCAAUCACCGUGACACCAAUAUUAAUGUCGGUUGUCUCAUUCGAAUUAAGCUGAACCCAACCUUCCUUGGGAUGUCACCAUUGCUUUGCAGCUCUGGAGAUCAUUGUAACAAAAAUAUUAGAAGACCCUAUGUGAGUUGAACUUUUAGCCCAAGAUAGACUAGACAUAACAACUUCCCCAUUGCUGUUACUUGCAUCUUUAAACACAAAAGCAUUACGACACUUCCAAAGACAUCAACAAAUAAUAGGAAACAAAGUCGACCAGUCUAUUCCCUCAACAUCAAUCUGCCCAAUAUUCUUUAAUUUCCAAAUAAGUUAAUCCUUAAUAUGCAAAAACCUGCUAAGAUCAUCUGGAACAAGAUUAUUCCAAACAUUAAUCUUAGCAAAAGAAAAAUCCCUCAAAACUUGUAUGGUUGCCUCAGCCUGCUCACAUCUUGAGUAACUAGUGUCAGCUGUCACAUGUCAUCAAGCUCUCUCCUCAUUCGCUAACAAAUGUCCCUUAAAAUGAAUUCAAAGAAAAUGUCUUAUUCAUUGAAGACCUUUGCAUUUCCUGACCAUAUUCCAAUCCUCACUUGCCACAUCCCAUUCAUCUCUUGCAACUGAUCUGUAAGUUGUUGCCUCUCAGGAUGUUGGAGUUCGACAAGGACCCAUUGAGGUUCGACCAGAACCUAGGUAUACCCCCACCUUAUAAAACAAUGACAAUCCUUGUAUGUAAUUGUAGAGUGGUGAAGCAUGAUGUACUGUAAUUUGAAAUGUUAAAUUAGGCUUUCCUGUAACAAGCUUGUUCUCAAGUAGUUUAAGAGUAUUUUUAUGUUUUUUUAUCGAUUUUUAACUUUUAGUUUCAAUGCUAACUUUUAUCACAUUUUAUCACUUUUGAAACCCAAAUUGAUAAAACUAUGUCAUUAGAGGUCUAAUGAUUAAUUUGAGCUUGUAUAAGGAGGUGAUUGAGGCUAAACAUCAAGGAGGAAUUCAACUGUUGCGGAGGACGCAACACAAGUGAUUCACAGAGUUUAGAAUUUGAUUUAAAAGAAUUUGGAUGCGUAGAAGAGUAUACGGAAAAAGACAAAUGAAUCAUAUAAUUUUGUUGUUACAGAUUUAAGGCAUGUUCUAAAAACUCUAAAAUUUUUAUUCAAAGUUUUAUAAUGUAGUGAUUAAACAAAGCAUGGAUUAAUUGUAUUUUAAUUAAAUUGUUUUUAAAAAUUAAAUUGUUUUUUAGAUCCUAAUGGAAUUUUUAUUUUUUAUAUUGAAGUCCUUACUAUGUAGAUUUCAAUUGAUUCAAUCUGUUCCUUAAUUUAACAUUCCAAAAUGAAUAGUCGUAUGAAUUUUUAUUUUUCAUAGCUCUACACUAAAGUUUUAAAAAUUUUGCCUUAUAUUAUCACUAAUAGUCGUAGCAAUUUAAAGAAAAUGAAUAUUUUUUAAAAUUUUCCCUAAUAUUAAUUAUAAAAACUAUAAAAAAUAAAAUAAUACAUUUUAAUUAAUACAAACAAUCAACCCGAGCAUCACAUGUAUAAAGAAAACAAGAUGCAUAAUAAAACAUUUAAUUUACCACUCAACUAAAGUUUUAUCUUGAUAACUCUAAACAUUUUAAUUUUAUUAUACACACCUACCUCCAUCAAUUGUAUAUAUCUAUAUAUUAUAAUUUAAGCUCCUGAUUGAGUUGAGCAACAAUUUAGCUAAAAAAAUUAUAAAAAUAUCAUUCUGUAAUUAAAUAAGUUAUCGAGAAUAUUUUAAUCUUUUUAUUUAAAAAUAAUAAAAAUAUGCAUAAAAUAAUUUUUUAAAGUGAGCUUCCUUUCCAAAAUAUAAAUGAGACCUAUCAGUUAUUAUUAUGUAAAUAACACUAUAUUUGAAUUCAUUAUUUAAAUAUCAAUAAUUGAUAUUUAAAUAAUGAUUAAUAUACAAUAUUCGUCAUUGUUGACGUUAAACACCAAUAGUACAUGUAAUUAAGAAAUUAACAUAUGAAGGACUUCGGACAACCAUGCUUUAUAUUGUAAUAAAAAUAGAAAGGUUAUGCAUGUGACCACCUUUCUAUUUAAAUUGGAGCGAAACUUUUGAUGAGCUGUUCAUAUCAGAAUUAAAUAUGUCAAAAUAAUCCAAUAAGGUUAAAUAAAAAUUAAAUCUUUUUGAAUACCGUAUAUAAAAUUAUAUUUUUAUCAAUUAAAUUUUAAUUUUUAAAUAAAAUCUUUAAAUAUUAUUAUGCCACGUAUUCAAAUAUAAUAAAAAUUUAUUAAUAAUGUAAAUUGAGUUAAGAGAUAAAAGAAUAUAGAGAUUGUGCUGGAAAUGAAAACCCAAAUUACAUAAUGAGAAGGAAAGAUGGAACUAUCAAAUUCCUUAUUAUUUAUAGGAAAUUAGGGAGAAUAAGGAAAAGAAAUUGAUUCAUGAAGAGAUAAGGAGAUUGGCGUGGCAUUGGUGACUUACAUGCAUGUCCCUAUUGCCUAUUCAACAUUAGAUUCCUUUAGCUACUAUUCUCCUAAUGCAAACAAUGAAGUCCCCAGCGAUAACAGACAAUUCUACAUCAAUGCAUGCGCCCGUUUUCUUCCCCUUCGCCUAAUUUCCCCUUCCAAUUUCCAUCGCAUGCAUGCUCUUUCAUUUUAUCUUCAAACUUCUUAUCUCCUUAUCUCUUCAUGAAUCAAACUUUUUAUUAUAUUUGAAUACGUGGCAUUAUAAUAUUUAAAGAUUUUAUUUGAAAAUUAAAAUUUAAUUGAUAAAAACAUAAUUUUAUAUAGGGUAUUUAAAAAGAUUUAAUUUUUAUUUAACCUUAUUUGAUUAUUUUGACAUAUUUAAUUCUGAUAUGAACAACUCAUCAAAAAUUUCGCUCUAAUUUAAAUAUUUAUCUAAAGAUUAUUUACAAUAUAAAACAUACAUCAACUACUUUUUUAUUCGAUUAAGCUUUUUAAUUUGUUAUGCAUGUGACCACCUUUCUAUUUUUAUUACAAUAUAAAACAUUAUAAAAAUCUUAAAAUAAAAAGGAAAAACCCUAUUAUACAAAACCCUAUUACUCGAUUCGGAAGGCUUUAAAAUAUAUUCCUAAAUGACAUUGGCAUGAACAGCCACAGUAUGCUACUUAUGAUGCUUAAAUAUAUAUACAAAACCCUAUUACUCGAUUCGGAAGGCUUUAAAAUUUUAUUUAAUUUUACAAUCAUAAUUUUUAAAGAAAAACCCGAUACUUUUCCACUUCACCUACCGCGAGAAACAAAUGUUUCUGUAAUUGUUAUUGAAGGAACGGUGUUUCUCUCGGCUGUCAACUCAUUAGGAGCGCCCACUUCAUUUGAUACUGCUGGGAAUUCUCGAACUUUGAUAACAGAGCUGAUGUCAUCGGGCAAUGAAGCAACACCGUCCAAAUACGAUAUAACGCUGGACAUGCUAGGCCUAGCCGCUGUCACCGGGUGUGAGCAAAGCAACCCAAGCUUCAACACCAACUCCGCUUGUUGUCCCACAAAUGAUCUCUUCCCCAACCUCUUAUCAAUAGUCGCCAAAAUGUCUCCUUUAUCCCAGCAAUCCUUUAUCCAGUCAGCAAGAAAUGCUUCCUCUGGUGCCGUUUGUGGUUCGAUCGGCUUUCUACCACAGGCAACUUCAAGCAUGAAUAUUCCAAAAGCAUAUAUAUCAGUGCUUGUGUUUGCUUGCCCGGUUCUUGCGAGCUCAGGAGCCAUGUAACCGAGCGUGCCUGCUACAUGAGAGGUUUGAGGAUCAUUUCCAAGGUCGCAUAGCUUUGCCAUCCCGAAAUCUCCUAGUCGGGCGUUCAUUUCACUGUCUAUCAGCACAUUGGCAGGCUUGAUAUCUCUGUGAAUGAUGACUUGCACCCAUUGCUGGUGCAGAUACAACAACGCGGAAGCUACGUCCUUGAUGAUCUUAAACCUUUGUGUCCAAUUAAGGCUGCUAUUAGGUUGGUAGUAAAGAAACUUGUCAAGGCUUCCAUUAGGCAUGUAGUCAUAAACCAAAAGCAACUCGUGCUUGCGCUUGCAAUAACCGAGAAGUCGAACCAAAUUCGGAUGCCUGAGGUGACCGAUGGUUGCAAUCUCAGCCACGAAUUCUCUCAUACCUUGCCUUGAAUCAUGAGAGAUCCUUUUAACGGCAAUUUGUAUGUUGGAAGAGGGUAAAACACCCUUAUGCACCUUACCAAAUCCACCUCUCCCUAGAACUUCCUUUUCUUUAAACCCCUUUGUUGCUUUGAAUAGAUCUUUAUAUGAGAAUCUAUGAGGCCGUACUGAACCUCCCAAUCCUCGAGAAUCUCCAUGAAUCUCUUCUUCCUUGAGAUCAACACAAACCCGAAAAUCAAUACGAGGACUAAAGUGAGACCUGUGAAAGAAAGGGUGAUAGCCAAAAUCUUCUUUAAUUGCUUGAUUCCUCCGUUAUCAUGUCGUGGAAUCUUUGGAAGGCGAGACAAGUCUAGCUCAUCAGGUGAGCCAUUCAUCUUGAAACUCCAAGCCAAUAUGUAGUGUGAGGAUGAAGUAGCUGAAACAGAACCGGUGGACGACGAGAAGCCGACAUACAUAGAGUCAUACAUAUAAGGAGACAGAUCCUUUUUGUAGGAUAUAAGUGGGGUUUUUGGCCUUGGUAGAUUGAUGGGAUACAACGUAACAUUGAGUCGCUUCUCAACCCCGUUGUAUUCUAUCCAUAUUUGCAUUGGGUCUCCGCUUACAAGGCUGACAUUGAUGAACUCACCUUCAUCAGUGUAAUACCCCGCAGAAGCAGAUUUCACCGAGUUUACGCUAUUGAUAUCGAUGCCAACAUGGUUGUCAUCACUGUCAUUGAGGUCAAAGCUUUGAACUGUAUCCAGCUCAACCGCAACAAUAUGAUUUGAGCUGUCACCGUUAUUUGUUUCAUUGAAAAGACCAAGAUACUGGACGGCAGAAGCUGCGGGAAUUUCAUUGUUUGGCGAGAUUACAAAGGCCAUUCCAUGGCCGCCGUAUUCCGGUCUAAUUGCAAAAAUGAAUGUGGUAGAAAAGGAGAAAACACUACCAUUUUUGGAGUUCUUGAAUUGGAUUGGAUUCUCGUAGAAUUUGUGACCUUUUAUUAGGCUUGUAGAGUUAGUCAGUUGAAGCAGCCCAUAGCAACUAAACUGACCCUGGUUGAUAUCUGACGAUGCAAGGUUCAGAAGGAAAAGCAGGAGCACAAGCAUGAUCAAACAAGACAUUAUUACACACAAAAUUACAGCAAUAGUGAUUAAGGGCUGUAGUAAGUUUUGUUGUGUAAGCAAGUUAUUCUGCACCAUCAGUCCAAUAUAAAUAAAAAGAAACCAAAACACCAUUGUCUUAAUCGAUUUGAUUAAGACCUCAAAGAAAUUUCCGGAAUUUUACCUGUCAGUAGUAAGGAAAUUGCUCUCCUUUAAAGACGAUAAGAUGAGAUUAUUUGGUAAAGGUGAUGAUAUCUUCUGAUAAUGAAACACUUGACAAUUCUUUACCUCUAAUAUAUGUAUUUAAAAAAUUAAUGAUUAUAAUUCUUGCUUUCCUUUCCUUUCAAUAAAAAACUUGAAACGCAAUGAAAUUUACCAUUUCAGUAAAAAAAAUCAUUUAAUUCUUGCUUUCCUUCACCCUAUUUAGAUAAUUAACUGUUUUUCUACAAUUUUAGUUAAAACAAUAAAAAAUUACUUACAAACAAUGUUUAAGAUACUAAGCGUGCAAAGAAUUUGUCAUAUAUGAUAGUAACAUAUUUGACUUUUACUUGCAAACCAUUACACUAGUAUUUAGUAAACACACUGUCAAUCAUGAGCCCAGGAUUUCCACACUUAUAUUAAUUUAUUAAUUGAUAAUUCUGUAAUUUCAUUUAAUUUAAACCAUAAUUACUAAAAGGUGAUUAAAAAUAUACUGGCUUGUAUAUCAGAUCAUAAUAUAAAAACUUAAAUGAAUCUCAAGACUAUUUACACUCAAUCACUUCAUUAUUGUACACAUUACUAAUUAACAUUACCUCCUUUUAAUUAAAUUCUGACCAAACUAUUUCACCCAAUUACUUGCAUUUGAUUUAACGUAACGUCGUGGAACCAAAUUCAACUCAUAAUUGAAAAGGGUAUUGAUCAAGAAUCAAUUUUAAGGUGAAAGUAUUGACCUCAAUAUUACUAGUAAAAAAAUUAACACAUGUAAUAAUUGGAUCAACAUUGUUAAAUAAUUAUAUAUCGCCUUAAAAUUAUACACUAAAUUGGAGUAUUGUUAUUUAAAAAUAAAUUUAAAAUACUCAAAAAAAAUAAUGUUGGCCAUAAAUCCAUUUAAAAAUUUAACAGUCAAAUAGACAAAAUAUUUCGCUUCAUAACUUGUAUCUUAAUUAACUUGUCACGUCCGGUUAACAUUAUUAAAUCAAAGAAAUACAAGGAUUUAUUAACAUAAAUUAUAAGGUUAAAUUAAAGUUUAAAGGUUCACUUAAAAUAUGAAAGGGAUUAGAUAAUACCAUAAGGCUCCAAAAUGAGUUUGCAAAUAUUAGAACCAUUUAAAAUAUGGACCAAGUUUGAACUCCAAUAUUUAAAGUCAAAGCUUAGCUCAACCCGCAUUAUACUUUUUGUAAUAUAUUUUUAUUUUAAUUUUCACAUAUUAUGCAAUUUAUAUCACAUAAAAUAGAAUAUAUAGUAAUAUAAAUACUAUGUAAAUAUUAAAAAUAUAUAUUAAAUUGUUUAUAUUUUAAUUUUAAUAAAAAACUAAAAUAUUAAUUUAAUUUAAAACAUUUUAAUAUAUAUAUACACACUAAUCUAAACGAAUUUAAAUUAAUUAGUUACAAAUAUAAAUAAAUUUAGAUAAAACUAUAGUUCUAUAUUUAAGUCAAAUUGAGGUACGGCGGACAAAAUAUAUUAAUAUUAUGUAUAAAUUUCAUCUGAACCAAUUUCACUAGGUCUAUAAGCACUAAAUUGAAUAAAUAUUAUUCCAAAAAGGUUAUUUAAUAAUUACUGGGCUUCUAGUUACUGAAAAGCGAGUUCAAUAGUAGGUAAUGGUAUUUCUAUUUCACUUUGGAAGUAGAUUUUUAUAAAAAUAAUCUUAAAAAUUAAUUAAUUAUAAAAAUGAGUUAGGAAAACAAAUAUAUACGAAUAUGAGUUAUAGUAUUUCUCAGUACAACUUGACACACCAAUGAAACUACUCGCAUUUUUCCCCUAAUCAUCAGUGUUUAAAAAAAAGAUUUUUUUUUUGUGUCAACAUUGUGUCAGGCAAUAUCGUAUAUAUUUUUUAAAAUAUUAGUGAAAAAUAUGAGUAUUCACAAUGAAGAAAAAAUACUUUUAUAAUGUAUGUCACCGUUAAUUAGACAGUACCAGUUAAAACUUUUUUUAAAAGAUCUAUAUUUUCAAAUAUGCACAAAAAAAAAAGAGAAAUAUUUUUUUAUUGAUGUUGGACAUCAUCUUAAUUUUAAAAAGUUGACAAAAUAAAUAAAAAAAUCUGCUAUAAAAAGAAAAUUUUAUUGUCUUGUCCAAGAGAAUGGUUCCAAAGCAUGCCUAGUUGCUUAGUUCUAACGGUUAUUUUACUCAAAUGACCCUAAAAAAUAAUUAUUUACGUAAAUGAUUUUAAUUAAAAAAUAAUCAUUUAAAUGACUUAAAAUAAAUAGUAAAAUUGGGUUAGGGGUAAUAAAUUGUCGAGAUCACCUAUUUUUAUGACACAAUCAUUACCGAAUGAUUGUGUCAAGUGUUAAAAAAGAUUUAAAUACUGAAGACUAGAUGAUUGACACCCUUAUAUUUUUUUCAUUUCGCAUCAUACUGGUAUACGUUUAUACCAAUAUUUAAAAAAAGAAUUAUUUUUUUAAAUAUUGGCACACUGAUGGUCGGCACACCUCUUUAUCAGAUUAAAAAAAUAUUUUUAUUGAGUGUUGGCACAUUGAUGACCAGCAUCCCAUUUAUCUGAUUAAAAAGAAAUUUAUGUUUAUCCCUAGACCAAUAGAAGCAUGAAAGUCUACUCAAAGGAUCAUGCAAGUGAGGGACCAACAAAAGUCAUCAAGUUGAAAUGGAAGGGGACGCUUUAGCAAUUAUAGGCUCGGAUGAAUUUAGGGAAUUAGGAUUUUGAGAAAGAAAUUAUGUUAUUAUAUAAUUAGUUGUUUUUUACAUGUAACAUAAAUUAGGCAAGGUUCUUAGCGUUUAUAAAAUUUGACAAUUUAAUCCUUAUUUUCUUUACAGUGAGAAUGUUAUAACCUUAAAAAAAAUCUGAAAUAUUGAGAUUCAAAUAAUUGAUAGGUUUAAAUGUUUUUAAAGACGAUUGGACGAAAUAAUUAGAUCUCAAAUUAUAUUUCGAAUUGAAAUUGUUCAUUUAAUACAUAAUAAUAGAAUGAAUUGUAAUUAAAGUAUUCCUCUACUAGGAAUGUAUAAAAGUCUAUUCAAGCCAAUUUAUGUGUCCGAAACUGAUGUACUCCCUUUAUAAGGUGUUCAAGCCAACGUAAGUGUUAAAUAUAGGUACUUAGGGAAAAUGGAUAGAGGUGAUCAUGGCCGGGCCAGGCCCAGAUAAAAUUUUAGGCCAAUUUUCUAGGCCCAACCCAAAAUAUGAGCCUAAAAAUUUGUCCAAGCCCUGCCUAAAAGAAAAUUAUUAAGCCCGAGCCCAGCCCGGCCCAUAUUAAAUUUUACAACACCAAAAUAGCAUCAAAAACCUGAAAAAUAUAAUCAAUCAACCAGAAUUAGAGGUAUAUUUGAUUAAAAAUAAAAAAUAUAUAUUUAAUAUACUUUGGGCCGGGCCGGGCCUGGGCCAAAAAAGUUUUGCCCGAGCCCGGUCCGUUUUUUAUACGGGACUAUUUUUUUGCCCAAACCCAUAUUUCGGGCCUAUAUUUUUACCCGAACCCUCCCUUUUUCAGGAGGGCCAUCAGGCCGAGCCGGAUAACUCAACCCAUGAUCACCUCUAAAAAUGAAUGAGUUGGUGUAAUAUAGGCUAUGAUAUAAUAGGCUAUGAUAUAACCAACAUUCAUGCAAAAUCGAGAAAGAAAUGAAUAAGAUUAUCGUAUGAAAAAUAAAAUAGAAAGGCUAAAAUCACAUGCAAAAUUUUUUCAAGCUCAAGUGUUCUAGCAUAAAAAAACAAUAUAUAAAAUAGAUGCCUAAACAAAGUAGAACACGGGUGAUUACAUCACAAUCUGCAAACAUUGAAUCAACGGGCAUUACCGAGCUUAGUGGAAGAAAAUGUUGGGAAAAUGAAAUACAGAUGCGAUCCUAAGCAACAAAUACAGCUUUGCAUUGCAUGAGAACCUAAUCCCAUCACCAAACUAUUUUAAAUGCGAUUUUCUACACGCAACACAGUGCAGGCAGCAUAUUUGAGAGCAAAAAACCUGACAAAAAGAAGUCAACAAUUUUAAUUUAUAAAAGAAUCAGAGGUUAAUUUUCGAUGUAAAAGAGAACAGACCUGAGCCAGAAAUAUUUGUAAAUAGCGACUUACUUAGUGACAUGCUUUUAACUGGAUCAUAAUGAAAGAUCACUUUUUUCUUCAUUUUCCUUGGAGGAUAAAUGUGAACCCAAGAAUUUAGUAACAGCAGAUUGCUCGGAUGAAGAAUGCGAUGAGCUUGAGAUAUAUUUUCUAGGUAACUUUAGUUUUAAGACGAAGAAGUGUGGUGUUAGAAUAGUGUAUGUGAAAGAUUUGGAAGAAAUAAAAGAGAUGCAUAGCCAUGCCACUCAUUAUUAUGCUAAUUUCGAAGAUAUCUAUCAACACUCUGCUGAUAGCGAUGGAUCAAUACAUAGUACUUCCCUUUCAGUACGAAAACAUAAUACCAACGAUUAAUUUUUACUCAAUUCGAAUAAUAAGAGUUCUCAACUUGAUUAAUUUUUUUUUACUCAAUUCGACUAGAUUCAAUUGAAUUCUCAUCCCUACGCAAGCAAAGGUUUUAUGAGCCGAGCAAUGUUAAGUCUAUAUGUGAUACUAGCACAUUUUAUAUUUACUCAAGCUAGGUUCAGUCCAAUACAAGCUUCAAAUUUUAUCAAGUCCAUCCAAAUUUGUAAAUGGUUAAUUUAAAUCCAUUUUAAGCUUGUUUAUAUAUUUUUUUUAAAAAUACUUAUUUAAUAUUUAAUAAUCUUAUUUUUUUUUUCUUUUACGAGAACUUUAAACAUCAACAACUGUUAAGACCAAGGCUGUCCAAGCAUUGAAGACUCAAUGUCUGAUCAGUCCAGAUGUUGGGACAGGUUUAGUGUUUUAUUGACUUAUUAGAAUUUUUUUGAACCUUGUACUUUUAUCCAAAUCUUCCCAUAUUUAGAUUGAGCCUUUAAGAUUAAACAAGUAAACUGACCCUUAAAUAAGUUUAUUUCCAAAUUAAUCAUAAUGUUGGAUUUUAACUUUGAGAUAUAACUCCACUGAGUAAAAAAAAAAGUGAACAAGUCACACAAAACUAUUGGUCAAAUGAUAAAAGAUUUGAUGCAAAGUCUUUAAUUAACACUAGUCUCGAGUAAAUGUACAAAAAAAUCAGGUCAGAUUUAAGCCUAUGUAAAGUAUUAGCAGAACUUAUGCUUGCUCAAAUAUUAAACACAAAAUAAUUCAAGUCACGUUUAUAUUUUAAAUGAGACUGUUUUUAUUUAAACCUUUUAAAAAAAAUUAAAUAUAUUUUAUAUGUAGAUCCAUAUAAUAUAUAAAAACAACUCCUAUAAAAGCAUUAGGGAAAUAAAUAGUACGAUAACAUAUUUUAUUCUGAGGCAUGUUUUAAAAACUAAAAAUUUUAUUAAGUGUUUUAAAAUUUGGCGAUUAAAUAUAACAUGGAAUGGUUGCAUUUUAAUUAAUCAAUAAAAAUAUGUAUAAAAUGAGAUUUGAAUCUUCGUCAAUUAGGUUAGUAAAACAUAAAAUUGAUCACUUCACCAAAGCUUUAUUUUAAUAUUUAUUACAUAUUUUAGUUUUAUUAUACACAUUUUAUUACUUUCAUCAAUCGUAUAUAUUUAUACUAUUAUUUAAUCUUCUAAUUAAGUUGGUGCCACAAGUAAAUUGGGCACCAACUCAAUUAGAAAAUUACAAAAAUGUCCUUUCAUAAUUAAAAUAAAUUAAAUUAUUUGAGAGUACUUUAGUCUUUUUACUUAAAAAAACAAUAAAAACAUGCUUAUGGUGGGAUUUGAUUUAAAGAUACGUUAAUUGCAUUAGUAAAAAUUUUAAUUUACCACUCAACUAAAAUUUUAUUUUGAUAUUCUUAUAUAUUUCAACUUUAUUAUCCAUACGUUAUUACUUCUAUCAAUUAUUUAAAUUUUUUAUUAAAAUUAUGUCAUGAAUCAAUCCAACAACCACACCAAGAAGCGAAAUGUGCUAAAGCAUAAUAGAAUUAUGGAUUUUGUUCAAAAGGAAUUUUAAUUAUUACAUUUGGGAUAUAAAAAAUUGAUAAUGAAUUUGCCAAGUACCCCAAAUUCAGUUUUCUUUUUCCAUUUGAUGCACAAACAAAAACUCUGAAUUUGCACAUAUAAAUCCAAAUUAUUUUAUUCAAAUUCAUGUUCAGAAAAGUCGUGAUAUUAUUGUGGAAUAUUCAAUGAACCUUAGCAACAAAAAUUGAAUUCCACAGUGACUUCGUUUUCAGUGGAAAAUUCAAACAUACUAUCUAUAAUGGCCUUUCCACAAUAUAAAUGAGAUUAGAUAGAAUUCAAAAUAUAAACUUAACCUUGUUUGCCAACAUGAUAUACUUCUCCAUUUCAAAGUCUUCCCAGUCUUCGUGAUAGAAAUUAUUAAUUAAAUUAUGGGUAAAUUUUUGCGUACGUUGUUAUUGAACAAAACCCCAUUCGAUACUUGUUAUAUCAAACGGUUCAUGAUCCAAUCUAAAUUUUAAAGUUGAAAUAUUAUUUCCAAUAAAAUUCGUAAAAACAUAAGAUUGGAGAAAAUAUUCAGAAAAUGAUUUUUGAAAUUGAAUUAUCUGUUGGUUACAGAUAGUUCUAUUGAUUUUGUUGAAUAUUUCUACUGGUAAAAUCUGUUUAGAUUUGUUAUAUAAACAAAUUCUAAAUAUUUUAUUCAUAAUAGGGGUAUUUUUCCCUUUGUAAAUAAAAUAUUGGAAAAUAUCAAGAAAAUUGUUUAUCUCCUUAAUUUCCAUGAAUUCCAUUUGGAAUUCAUCCCAUUCUCUGUAUAAAAUAGAAUUUAAUAAUAAAUCUUUAGCUUCAUUUUCCUUAGUUGUUUUUUCAACUAAAAAUAAUGAAAAUCUGGUAAGAGCUCUUCGGAAAUUAGCUCUCUGAUUUGAAAUAUGGGUUUUCCAUAUCUCGUUUAUAAAAUCAUAAAAUUCUGGUGAUAAACCAGGAUUAUAAAAAUCUUUUAUUUUUAAAAUUUCUUUUUCAUCUUCUAUUUGUUGUUCUUUCAACAAAUUUUCGGAUCUUUUGAUCAUAUCAGCAUAAUUGGUUUGUGAUGCUAAAUAUGGAUCUUGGGACAUUGGUGAUUGAUACACCAUGUUAGAAAAACUGCUUCCAAGUGGUUGGUUUACCAUUGGAUAUUUUAAAACAUUUGGUCCAAGUGGUUGAUUUACCAUUGGAUAAGACACAUAAUAUCCUUGGUUAGGAUAAAAUGGUAUUUGUGCAGGUACAAAUCCUUUUUUGGAGUUUGAUUCUGCUUUUCCUUUGUUGGGCUUUUUGCGAACGGUAGUCGAUUCACCUACAGUUUCUUGUAGAGGCUUUUUACCUCUAUCCAUUAAAAGGCCUGCUCAAAAAAUCAGCAAAUAUUAGUAAUAAAUUACAAAUAUUAACUGAUUAAUUUUAAUAGGUGUAAAUAUUUUAUUACACACAAUUUUAUUAUUUUCUUCAAGUGGAAUUUCCACAAAAUCUUCUUUUACUGAUAGCCAAAUAGAAUGUUUAUCAAUAGUAAAAGGUAAGUACUUACAAAUAAAAUUAUUACCUAAUAAUAUAUCUCCUUUCAUGUUAGGAAAACAUACUAUUUUAGGAAUCACAAAUCUAACAUUGUUUAUAUAGAUUGAUAUAUUUUUAGCUUUAUAUUUUAUAAUAGUUUUACUACCUUCUAUUCCCAUUAUUUUUAUGGGUUUCUUCAUUAAUUCGCAUUUUUCUACAGGAAUCGCAUUUUCUCUACAACUACAUAUUGUAGCUCCAGUAUCUAUCAAGGCAUUUAGAGAAUAUUUUUUAUAUUUUUUAAACUGAAAUGUAACUUUUAUAAUUAUUCCAAGUUUUGACUUUUUAUCAAUUGUUGAAGUUUGAAUUUCUUCCAUUCUAGUUUUUCUAGAAUUAUUACUAGGUUCAGUAGGAAAUAUAGGAAUUUGAACUGUAACAGGUUUCCACCCUGCAAUUAAAGACAUUUCAAAGUCUUCCCAGUCUACGUGAUAGAAAUUAUUAAUUAAAUUAUGGGUAAAUUUUUGCCUACAUUGUUAUUGAACUAUAAAUUAAUUUUUAUUCAAGGUAUUAGAUUGUUAAGUUUUUCCUUUUUAAAGUUCCACCAAUAAGUUUCAAGUGACAAUUCGAUAAUCGGUAUGAUAGAUGAACACUCAUCAACGAGUAAAAUAACACACCUUAUAUUUAAAUCGGUCUAAUAGUCAGUGUCGAAGAUCGAAGAAAAAAUUUUGUUUGAAUUUUGGUUUACAGAUUCAUGUCCAAAGUUGUUUCAUAAAAAAAAAUUGAAUUAUGUAAGAGAAGGGGAAAGAAAACUUUCGAUUGGUGUUAAUAGUGUGAAUAGAGAAAGUCAUAUAGCAUUGAUUUUAAUACCAAUGAAUUAAAAGAGAACUUUUAAAUAGUUCAAUGACCAAAUUGUAAUUUUUUUAGUUAAGUGACCAAAAAGAAAACUUACCCAUAAUUUAGUGACUAAUGAUAUAGUUUACCUAAAAUUUUCAUGGUAGGAAAUACGAAAAUUUUCAAAAUUUCUCCACUUUUAUUUCAUUUAGAACACAUGGUCUCUCUCACUAUAAGAUAAGAAACCUAAACUUCAAAAAAAAAUUUAUUUAAUUCUAAUAUGUAUUUUAAAAUUUAUUUUAUUAAAACCAUUAAUAGUUUUUUUUCUAAAAAUACAAUGAUAUUCAUAAUUAAUAUUUUAUAUUAUUUAUUUUUAAUAUAAUUAUUCUUUUUUAUAAUUAAUUUUUUAAACUAUAAAAUGCUAGCAACUAACUUUUUUUCUAAAUAAAUUAUUUAUCCAAACAAAAUAUUUACGAAUACUACCAUUUUGAAUUUAUAUGAAUUCUAAAAUGCUAGCAUUUUAAAUAUAUAAAAAAUUUAAUAUUCUUCAUCCAAAUACACUUUAAAUAUUUUAAUAAAAAAACACAAGUUCAUCUUGACCUAUUGGAUUUUAAAAAUAAAACUAAAUAUUAUAUAAAACUUGAAAUAUAAAAAUUAAUAAAUUCAAAAAAUUAAUUAUCCAUUUCAAAAAAUAUAUAAAAAAUGAAAAUUAUUACAAAAUUUAAAUGUUUCAGAAAAAUACAAUAAAUUAUAAAUAUUUGAAAAAUUAUUAAAAGUUUAAAAAUGUUAAAAUAAAAAUACAUGCAAUAGUAAUAAAAUGCUCUAAAAAAUUAAAACAAUUAUAAAAAGUAAAUAAAAAUUUCAAAAUUUUGAAAAUCACAAAAAAACUGUAUAAAACCCUAUUAGCAUGGUCGGCCACACUAUGCUACUUAUGAUGCUUAAAUAUAUACAAAAUCCUAGUAGCAUUAACUUAUUGUAAACAGUGGGGUACAAACCCUACUACUCUAUUUGGAAGCCUUUAAAACUUUAUUUAAUUUUACAAUCAUAAUUCUUAAUGAAAAACCCUAUAUUUUUCCACUUCACCUACCGUGAGAAACAAAUGCUUAUGUAAUUGUUAAUGAAGGAACGAUGUUUCUCUUCGGCUAGUGUCAACUCAUUAGGAGUGUCCACUUCAUUUGAUCCUGCUGGGAAUUCUCCGGCUUUGAUAACAGAGCUCAAGUCAUCGGGCAAUGAAGCAACACCGUCCAAAUACGAUAUAACGCUGGACAUGCUAGGCCUAGCCGCUGCCACCGGGUAUGAGCAAAGCAACCCAAGCUUCAACACCAACUCCGCUUGUUGUUCCACAAAUCUCUUCUCCAAACUCUUAUCAAUAGUCGCCAAAAUGUCUCCUUUAUCCCAGCAAUCCUUUAUCCAGUCAGCAAGAAAUGCUUCCUCUGGUGGCGCUCGUGGUUCGAUCGGCUUUCCACCACAUGCAACUUCAAGCAUGAAUGCUCCAAAUGCAUAUAUAUAUAUAUAUAUAUAUAUAUAUAUAUAUAUAUAUAUAUAUAUAUANNNNNNNNNNNNNNNNNNNNNNNNNNNNNNNNNNNNNNNNNNNNNNNNNNNNNNNNNNNNNNNNNNNNNNNNNNNNNNNNNNNNNNNNNNNNNNNNNNNNCCUGCUACGUACAUGCGAGCCAUGAACAUUCAUCAUGUUCUCUUGGCUUGCAUAUUGAAAUGCAAAAUUUAGAAACGUCUGUACUCCAUUUCGAUAACCGUUGCUUACCCUUGACAAAUUCAUCCAAGACCGGUCCAUUUCUUAAUUAUUGAAGUCUGACCUUGACAAUAAUUUGCACGGGUAAGUUAAAACGCCAGAUAUAACUAUAAAUGAGUUAUGUAAGUUAUGAUAUGAUAUAUUUUUAUGUAUUAUGUACUAAGUUAUGUAAGUUGUGUAUUAUGUGAGUUAUGUGAGUUAUGUAAGUUAUUUAAUAUAUGUAAGUUAUGUAAGUUAUGUAGGCUAUGUAUUAUCUAAAUAAUGUAAGUUAGGGAGGUUAUGUAUUAUGUAAGUUAUUUAAGUUAUGUAAGUUAUUUAAUUUAUGUAAGUUAUGUAAGUUAUGUAAGUUAUGUAAGUUAUUUAAUUUAUGUAAGUUAUUUAGAAAAAAUUAUGUAAGUUAUGUACUAAGUUAUGUAUUAUGUAAAUAAUGUAAGUUAGGAAGGUUAUUUAAGUUAUGUAUUAUGUAAGUUUAUAUAUAAGUUAUGAUAUAUAUUAUUGAUAAAUUUAAGUUAUAUAUUGUAUGUUAUUUAAGUUAUGUAUUAUGUAAGUUUAUAUAUAAGUUAUGAUAUAUAUUAUUGAUAAAUUUGAGUUAUGUAAGUUUUGAUAUGAUCGAUAAAUUUUGAAAAAAUUAUAGAUUUUAAAAAUAUAUAUAUUAAAAAUGUACAUACCAAUAUUUAUAAGUUAUGUAGGUUAUAUAUUUAAAAAUUUGGUUAUAUAAAUAUUUAUAAUUGUUUUUAAAAUUUAAAAAUUGUUUACUAAUAAAUUUGAAAUAUAGGUUAUAUAUCCAAUUUACAUUUAUUCGAUAAAUUAUAAUAUUUAUUAUUAAUAAAAUUGGAAUAUAGGUUAUAUGUUAUAUAUUAAUAUAUAUUAAUAAAAUUAUAUGUCCAUAUUAAUAUAUGUUAUAUAUUAAAAAGAUUUUGUCUUAUAAUAUAUGAGUAAUAUUUGUGUCCCAAAUUGAUUGUGUUUUCUGCACGAAAGGUUGCGUACAUGGUUCAAAUUCAAGUAAAGGAAAAUAUUUUCAGCAAAGAAAACCGAACACAUGAAGUACAAUUUGAGAUUUAAGCAAAGACUAAAUUCAGUAUCCGUACAUGGUUGAUUUAGCAGCAAAAAACAAUAAAAUGUACCAUCUUAGCAGCAAAAACAGAUGAGACAUUUAAAUUAUGUUUUGUAAACUUAUGAAUUAUUUAAUCAUUUGAAAUAUAUAAUUACAACGAACAAAAAUCAAAUCUGAACAUGAAACAAAUUUACAUGAACUAAAAACUUUAAAUCAAUUCAGUUCACAAUUGCAAUUAUAUUUGAUUUCAAUUUGGAUCUUUACAAACCAUGAGAAUACUGUAUAAUAUUUGCAAUUAUAUUCCAUAACCGAAAUUAAUUCAAACACUUAGGAGAAAGAUGGAGCAAAAAACAUCUUGAAGACCAGAACAAUAACCAGAAAUAAAUACAAUAAGCAACAACAUUAACCACAACGUGCAGCAAAAAAAGAACUUGCAACAACAUUAACCCCUAACAUUAACCAGCAACAUUAAGCAGAACUUCCAGCAAAAAAGAACUUGCAGCAGCAUUAACCAAAUACCAAAUUAAAACAGUCCCAACUACAAAUAUAUCAAAUAUAAAAACAGGCCAAAAUCACAUGUAAAUUUAUAAAACGAAAAAACAAAUAAAAUAAAGGAUAAACUAACCUUCUGGUUGUAACAACCCUAUACCAGUCUAAUCGUACAGAUCCAGUAUAAGGCUAUUACAUUUGGUGCCAAAACAGUCAUAGCUAGAUAUUGUUUAAUUAAAUCAAUUAUACAUAGUACUUUAACUUACCAACCAUAUUUGCAAACAUACGUAUAGUUUCACUAAUCCAUUUCAUAUAUAUAUACCAAAAUAUUUCAAGUACCUCAAAUUAGAUAGAAAUUCAAGAGUUUACAUUUUAGUUCCUAAUAUGUGGAAAUAUAACUGACUGCCUAUGUACAUGCCAUUUUAAUUCAAAAUAUGGUACCUACUUUUGAAACUCUUGAGGAUGUGAUGAGAUGAGAGAUCUUCUAUCCUGACUUUAUCUCUUCAAGUCAAACUGUACCUACGCGUUAAAAUUAAACGCGUUAAGCCGGUGAAGACUUAGUAAGCACUACAAGAAUAAACAAAUAAAUAAAUGUAAAUAAAAUAUUUCGAACUCAUUCUGUUGUUGCGUAUUUACGUACGUAUAAGCUUCAUAAAACUUACCUUAGCAUAUUAAUGAUUCGCUUUUAUCCACAAAUCAUAAUCUUAGCCCAAAAUAGAUUUUCAUAGAACACACCGGAUAUACGGAACAAAUACAGAGGUGCAUUAUUAUGCACUAAUGAACAGAGAGCACUAAAGUGCUAUACAGAGAGCACAGAUGUGCUAAACAGAGAGCACUGACGUGCUAAAUAUCAGAGAGCACCAACGUGCUAAUAGUCAGAGAGCACUAACGUGCUAAUAAUCAGAGAGCACUAACGUGCUAAUAAUCAGAGAGCGCGCUAAAGUUCCUUAAUGGCAUGCCACUAAUAUCCUGGUAGUUCUAAAUUCCAUCUACUUGGGCACUAAAACUGAAUCUCAUUCAUUUAAAUACUUUAUAGAAUUAUUUUGAAAAAGAUUUCUCAUUUCUCCAUCAUUACAAUUCAAUGCUUAUUUCACAAUUCACAAUUAUCACACCAUUUUCACACACACACACACAUAUAUAUACACUUUUGUCACAACAUUACUUAUUGUUCAAACAUUAUACCAUCUUAUAUUUUCCAUAUAUAAUUUUUCUUUACAAAUUUCAUAGUUCCAUAAUCUUUUAUUUUACUUUAUUUUAUUUUAUUUCUAAAUAGUUCUAUACUAUAAUAUAGGCAUUUAAAAUAAAUAAUUUCUAAAAAAAAUAAUCUUGUAGUACUUACAACAAAAAGGUUGAGAUGAUGUCUUCCUUCACUCCUUAGCCUUCUCUUUUCCUUUUUCUUCAAUAAGGUCCUUUCCUUUCCUUUCUUUCUCUUCAAUUUCAUAUAAAACACAUAAUAUUUAUAUAUUAGAAAAACAAUCAAAUAACUUUCCUAUAUCAUUUAAUAAAAAUAAACAUAUAUGAUAUAAUAAUUUCAUAAUUUCUUACCUUAGCUAAUAUUUCAAUUUAAUUCAUAACUAAAAUUAUUUCUAUUUCUAUCACAACCUAUACCUUAUUUCUACUUAAAUUCAACUUACACCUUAACUUAACUCUCAAAUUUUCACUAAUAAACCUUAAUUUCGAAUUUCUUACAAUUUUACAUUAAACUUAUAACUUAUUUCUCAAUUUCAUCCUUUUCCCAAUCCUAGUUUGAAUUUCCAUCAAUUCAACCUCUAAUUCAUCCACUAAUUCAAUAUAAACUACAUAAAAAAAUUCUACUAACUUUCAAAAUUUCAACAUAUACCUACUAGUAUUUUGAUCUAGAAUCAUAAAAACUCAAAAAUUUCAAGAAAAUGACUUAAUUUGACUUACCGAUUUGAAAUUGAACCUUAAAACCCUAAAUUCCUUCUUUACUUUUUCUUUCUUUCUUUCUCCCCUGUUUCUCCCCUGUUUCGUUUCAAAUGCUAUUCUGUUUCUUUCUCUUUAUUUCUUUUCUUUUGUUUUAUAUAUAUUUAUAUAAUAAUAUAAUAUUAUAAUAAUAUAAUAUAAUAACUUACUUAUUAAUUAAAUAACAUAAUAUAUAAUAUAUAUAUUUAAAUAAAAAAAAUAUCUUAGAUAUUUCAUUUGUUAUGCCGCCUCAAUUUUAGAAAAAGGCAUAAUUGCCUAUUUGGUCCUUUUAACUUUCUUUAAUUUAUAAUUAAACUUUCACACUUAUUUCAAUCUAAUCCCUUUUUCCUAAUUACUUCUAAUUAAAUCAAUUUCACCUAGUCAAAACAUAAUUAGACACACAACUAACUUCGUAAAUAUUUAUAAUAAAUAUUUACGAAUCCGAUUUACCGGAACGGAGUCCCGGAAAUGCAUUUUUUUAUUUAAUCUAUUUAAAUAAAUUUUACCAUAUAAUCAAUAAAAUUUUAUUAUCAAAAUUUUCAUGCAACCUUCCUAUCAUAAUAUAGACCAUACCACAAUAUUAAAAUAAAUUUUCUUUCUAGCUCGGAUUUGUGGUUACGAAACCACUAUUCCGAUUUACUGAAAAUGGGUCAUUACACUAGUUAUCUACCCUUUCUAUGUAUUGCUUCAAACCAGUGACAGGUAGCAAAUUUGCAGACUAGAUUGCUAAAACUAAAUUGCUGCAACCAAAGGAAAGAAAAAAUUAACUAAGAAAAAACUAAACUUGUUCAACUUCAUCACUAAAACAAAUUUACAUGAACUUAAGUGAAUAAUCAAUUGUCAAAUUAUCUAAAUCAAAAUAUUAAAAUAGCGUAUUUUAUAUAUAAAAUUUUCUUAAAUUUUAUACUGAUUAAACCUAAAUAGAAAGACAAAACAAACGUCCUGACUCCUUUAAACAAAAAUAAUUAGAAAUAAAAAACAAGGUUUAGAAUAUGCUGCAAAAUUGUUUUUAAUUUCGAAAUUAACUUUAACCACAAACAAAUUAAAAAUAUAUAUCAAUACAAAAAUUACUUAGGAAUUCGAAAGCAUACAAGUUAUUGUCAAAAUGUAAGACAGUUACUGCCUAAAACCCUAAACAAAAUAAAUUGGUAAAGCUAAAAUUAAGAGAAAAGAAUUUCAUACCUUUACGAAGACGGAGAGAAAGUAAAUCGGACAGGAUGUGAUUCCACAAUACUCAAAAAUGAGAUUGUUUUAUGAGCUUCGGAAACCCUUAAACCAUGGACGAAAUGGAAUGUUAACAAUAUUGAACCCUAAACAUGAAAAAUAAGAGGGAAAUCAAACCGGUUCGUGCUUACCCAAAAAACUAUUCCACUGUUCGUCUUCCUCUAAAUGCUGUGAAGAAUUAAACGCACUAAACCGACUAAAUGAAGAACCGAAUAAAGUAAAAGACUCCAUGAAUGUCUGGAAUUAGGGAAGUGGAGGAGAUUUCGAAAGGAAAAUAGGGAUUUGGAAGGGGAAGGGGAAGGAAACCGAGUUUAGGGGCUGCGUACGGGUUUUAGGGUUCGAAAGGGGAAAUAUGUGACGCCAAGCAGAGCGACGACGUUCAGAAUAUCUGAACUGUUCCUCAAAUGAAACGGCGACGUUCUGAACAUUUUGUAAUACACAGUUGCGGCGUUUUCAGAAAAAAUGCCGCUAAAGCUUACAAUUUGCGGCGUUUUAAAUAAAAACGCCACUAAAGAGUUAAAACCAUUUAAGAAAACGACGCCGUUUUCAUACACACAAUAAUUUAUGGAUUUGCGAUGUUUUUAUAAAAAACGCCACUAUCGUAUACCUACAGUGGCGUUUUUCAUAAAAACACCACUAAAAAUCAAAUUCAUGUAUCCAAACAGCACCAUUUUACAUAAUUUUAAACACAUUUUUGCGGCGUUUCUGGCCCAAACGCCACUACUGUAAAAAAUUUCCAAGUAUUUAAUAAUUUAAAAAAUUUAAAAUAUCAUACAACAAUAUGACAAUAUUAUUUUUAAUUCUAUUAAAUGGGAAAUUUGAUUUUUAGUGAUGGUAUUUUUCUUAAAAUUUAAGGUAGGAACUUAAUCCGUAUAUAGUGUUUGUAUUUUUCUAAAACUUCAAUUUAAAAAUUUAAUUCGGUGAAGUCAGGUUGUAUUUUUCAAAAAUACUAAAUAACCUAAACCCUAAAUCACAACCCCUAUAUAUCCUGAAAACCAUCAACCGUAAACUUUUUACCCUAAACCCUUAAACCCUAAACCCUUAACCCUUAACCCUUAAUCCUAAACCCUUAACCCUAAAUUGAUAUAGACCCUCUUAUCCCUUAAACCCUAAAUCUUAAACCUAUAAAUCAUAAACCAUGACCCUUAACCCCUAACACCUACACCCUAAGCCCCAACCUCAAAUGAUAAACCACAAACCAUAAUACGUAACCCUUAACCAUAUCCCCUAAACCUUCAAUCAUAUAACAUUAACUAUAAACCCCUAACCCUUAACCCUAAACACUUCAACCUUAGACCCCAACUAUUGCACCAUAAUCCCUAAACCCCUAACUCAACCAUAUUCCUUAAACCCUGAAUCAUAGAACAUAUAUAAACCCUAAAUCUUAAACCCUAAAUCAUAAAACAUUUAUAAACUAUAAACCUUAAACCUCAACCCUUAAAUAAUAAACAAUAAACAAUAAACCGUAAGGCCUAAAUCCAUAAUCCCUAAACCGCCAAUGUGUUGAAAGCUCAACAAAAAAAAAUAUUGUUUUGCUUAACGAUUUUGCGGCGUUUUUCUAAACGCGCCACUAAUGUCUCUAAACCUCCACAAGAAAACGACAACGUUUUGCUUAAAUAUUUUUGAGGCGCUUAACAUAAAGCGCCACUAAUGCUUGACUUCUACGGCGUUUUUAAAGCUGCGCCGCUAGUGUACCUAAACCUUAACAACAAAACGGUGCCGUUUGCAUAGCAAUUCUUGCGGCGUUAGCGUAAAACCGCCGCUAAUUAUUGAAUUUUGCGGCGUUUUAGCAAGGCGCCACUAAUAUCUCUAAAAGUAAACGUUGCGUUUUGGAUAAGAUCUUCGUGGCAUUUUCGCGUAAGCGCCACUAAUUCUAGUAUACAUCAAGACCAAACUCUGUGUUUUGGUUAAGAUACUUUGCGGCGCUUUUCACCAAAUGCCGCUAAUACUAUGCUUUAGCGGCAUUUCCCUUAAGCGCCACUAAUGCUAGUAUACAUAAAGACUAACACGCUGCGUUUUGGUUAAGAUACUUUGCGGUGCUUUACAAUAAGCGCCACUAAUUCUAGUGUACCUCAAGACCGAACUCCGCGUAUUGGUUAAGAUAUGUUGCGGCGCUUUUCAAAGCACGCCGCUAAUACUGUACUUUAGUGGCGUUUUGUCGUCGACGCCACUAAUUCUAGUAUACAUCAAGACUAAAACGCUGCGUUUUGGUUAAGGUAUUUUGCGGCGCUUCCCACUACACGCCGCUAAGACUAUGCUUUAGCGGCGUUUUGUCAUAAACGCCACUAAUUCUAAUAUACAUCAAGAUUAAAACGAUGCGUUUUCGUUAAGAUUGUUUGCGGCGCUUUUCACCGAGCGCCGCUAAUACUUGCUUUAGUGGCGUUUUGUCAUAAACGCCACUAAUUCUAAUAUACAUCAAGAUCAAAACGAUGCGUUUUCGUUAAGAUUGUUUGCGGCGCUUUUAACCGAGCACCGCUAAUACUUGCUUUAGUGGCGUAUUCCAAUAAUCGCCACUAAUUUUGGUAUACAUCAAGACCAAAACGCUGUGUUUUGGUUAAGAGAUUUUGCGGCGCUUGAAGGUAACGGUCAAAAAAAUGAUUGUUGCACUGUUCACGCACGGGGCAAAUCGCGUCCCCAAGAGCGCGCUACACAUCAGCAAAUCGUGUCCACGUCAGCGCGCUUUGCUUACGUGGAUGCGAUUUGCUGAUACGUUUCCUGACUUCGCGCUGACGUGGACGCGAUUUAGGGGAAAGGGCCCAUUCUGGUAAAUAAUGGAAUACCGUGCCCAUUUCGGUAAAUUUAAAAAAAUUAGGCUUUUAAUGGUAAAUUGUCCUAACAUAUCAUCAUUUAAUUAAUUUUUUAAAAUUUAAAAAAAUAAAAAAAUAUUUAAAAAUUAAUUAAAUACUGACAUGUUAUUCACAUGGGAAUCUACAUAUAUACUACAUCAGCAAAGUGAAUAAAUAUUAAUUUUCCUAUUUAUUUUAAAGUGAUUUGACAAAAAAUUUAAAGUAAAACACAAACUUAAGAACAGUUGCAAUUAUUGUAGGCUCCAUUUUAUCAACACCCACCUUGUUGGAUUCAUAUGCAUCACUCAUUUAUGGCCCCCCAAUUUCCACAACUACGCGCAUUCAUUUGGAAAGUGAAAAGGUUAUAGAGAAAUUGCUUAGAAACCACCUUUAUUCUUCCCUGGAAAUUUGAUCUGUUUCUAGUUUCUUUCAGACGUAUUGAGCUAUCAGUUUUCUGAUUUUCAACACUACAUCCACAUUUUUUUUUUCUCGCACAUCGUCAUGUCGUCAUUACCUUCAACUUCUUCGUCCAAUUCUAGAAAGAAAUAUGAUGUUUUCUUGAGUUUUAGAGGUGAAGAUACCCGCACCAACUUUACCGAUCAUCUCUAUGAUGCUUUAAGUAGGAGUGGGAUCGUCACUUUCAGGGAUGAUCCAAAGCUGGAGGCCGGCGAAGAGAUCGCGCCAGAACUCUUUACAGCAAUUCAGCAAUCAUGGUGUUCGGUAAUCGUUUUUUCACAAACUUAUGCCUUUUCAAGUUGGUGCUUGGAGGAGCUUGCUGAGAUUGUUAAACAACAUAACAACGACGGUCAUAAAGUGUUUCCAAUUUUUUACGAUGUUGAUCCAUCUGAUUUAAGAAAACGAAAAGAGAAAGUGGAAGAAGUCUUUGCUAGACAUAAAGAUAGUGAGAAGAUCCAAAGGUGGCGAAAUGCUUUAAUUCAAGUGGCUGGAAUCAAGGGAUGGUAUUUAAAUAACAGGUAACUCUUUCUUUUCUUCUCUCUAUUUUCUAUUUUUUGGGAUAUAUAUGUAUAACUUUGUUUUUUUCUUUCUAAUCCUAUGUGUUUAAUUGAAAAAUGUCUUGGUUCUUGUUUGCUUCCAAACUAUAUUAUGUUUCAUGAUUCAUUGAAAAAGAAAGUGCAUUUGAUAAUAUGAAAAAAAAAAAUUAUUCAAAAGAUUAAAAUUUAUUUUCUUGUAGGCAUGAAUCAGAAUUUAUUAGAGAGAUUAUUAAGAAGAUAUCAGCAAAACUAUGUCACCCAGUUACUCAUAGUGACUUGGUUGGAAUGACUGAACGCUUGGAGGAUUUAUAUUUGAAAAUAAACAUUGGGGAAAAUGAUGUCCGCAUUAUAGGGAUUUGCGGAAUGGGUGGUAUCGGUAAAACAACACUCGCAAGACUUGCUUAUAAUCAAAUGUCACGUCAUUUUGAAAGUAAAAGCUUUAUUGCUGAUAUUCGAGAAGUUUCAGACAGAUGUGGAUUAGUUUCUUUACAGAAACAACUUCUUUCUGAGAUUUUUCAUGAUGAAUGCUUCAAAUUUUUCAAUGUUCAUGAAGGGAACGAUAUAAUUAGUCAUAUGUUGUCUCGCAAAAAGGUUCUUGUUGUUCUUGAUGAUGUUGAUAACAUACAACACUUAAAAUGCUUGGUUGGAAGGCACGAUUGGUUCGGAUUAGGGAGUAGAAUCAUUGUAACAACAAGAGAAGAACAUUUGCUUCGAUCUUGGCCAGUUAAUGAUAUGUAUGAGCCCACAACAUUGAAUCCCAAAGAUGCGCUUCAGCUUUUCAGUCUGAAAGCUUUUCAUAGUGAUACAGUGCCGAAAGAUGAUUUCAUUGAGCUUUCUUACCAUGUUGUAAAAUAUGCUGGUGGGCUGCCGUUAGCUCUUGAAAUUUUGGGUUGCUUUUUAUGCGGUAGAGAUGCUACUCAAUGGAGAAGUGCAAUUGAAAGACUUAAAAGAGAUUCUAACAAAGAAAUUCUUGAUAAACUUCGAAUCAGUUUUGAUGGAUUGGAAGAAAGGGAGAAGAAUAUAUUUCUAGAUAUAGCAUGCUUCUUCAAUGGGGAGGAGAAAGAUUGUGUAAAGAAAGUAUUGGAUGGUUGUGAGUUNNNNNNNNNNNNNNNNNNNNNNNNNNNNNNNNNNNNNNNNNNNNNNNNNNNNNNNNNNNNNNNNNNNNNNNNNNNNNNNNNNNNNNNNNNNNNNNNNNNNUGUUCUCAUUAAAAAAUCUCUCAUAAAAGUCGAUGAACACAAAUAUUUGUGGAUGCAUAACUUGUUGCAAGAAAUGGGAAGAAAAAUUGUUAGAGAAAAAUGUGUUGAUAAACCUGGAAAACGUUGCAGAUUAUGGGAGGAAAGAGACGUCUAUCAUGUCCUAACAAAAAACACUGUAAGUCAUUUAACAAAAGUUACAUACUAUUUCUAUUUUGUUAUAUAAUAUCAAAUCAAUAUAUGAUAUAAACCCAAAGCUUAGUCUAAUUGGUUGAUACAACUAUUCUUAAAAAGUGAUCUUUAGUAAUUUUGAGAUUACAAAUAUUAAAAAGGAUUUGUAGAAAUAAAUAUUUAAUUUCAUUGCAUUACCCUCUUUAGAGCAUAAUAUUUGUAGAAAUUGUUUUAUUUAAAUUUAAAAUGCUUUAUUUAUUAUAAUUAGAAUAUAAUAAUGCUAAAAAAAAGUAAGUUUUUAAAAGUUUUAUCCUACAUUAUACACCAUUUAAUUUAAUUUAUUUUCUAUUUUUGAUUUUUCUUAGGGUACAAAAAUAAUUGAAGGUAUAAUCAUCGAUAAUAAAAGGUAAGAAAACAUAAACUUAUAUUUACGUGUAAUAUGAUAAAAAAAUAUAGCAAAACCUUUGACACCCAAUAUUUCAAUGUUUAAUUAAAAAAUUUAUCUACUAGCGUAUUACUCUUCCAAAAGAUUCAAUAGAGAAAUGUAUGUCUUUUUGAAAUAUUAAUAGUAUAUCAAUGAAAUAGACUAUAACAUAACUUUUAGAUAUUGAAUGUUUUAGUAUAUUUUGAAGCUCAUUUUUGCUUUGCUCACUUAUAUUAGGGAAUCGGGCAAGAUGCUCAACUUGAGUGUCGAUGCCUUCUCAAAAAUGAAAAAAUUGAGAUUGCUCAAAGUGCUUUGCCUAUUAAAUUGUGAUGAUCUCAAAUUUCUUUCUAAUGAGCUACGGCUUUUAGAUUGGAAAGGAUGCCCUUUAAGAUCGUUACCUUCAAGCUUUCAACCGGACAACCUUGUUGCACUUCUUUUAUCAUAUAGUCGCAUUCAACAACUAUGGAAGGGAAACAGAGUAAGAAUUAACUCAUGUCAUCCUUGAAUUUUAGCUUAUUUUAAUAUAAAUGAUUAAACUUUGAUUAAGAUAAAAAAAACAAAAAUAAGCAUUAUUAUGUUUUCUCAUUUGUUUCUAAUUUAUUGUGAUCUUCAACAGCCCUUGUGUAAGCUGAAAAUGAUGAACCUUGAAGGGUCCCAAAACCUGAUCAAGACACCAGAUUUCACAACGGCAUCAAAUCUUGAAGUUCUAAUAUUGAAAGGUUGUACCAAAUUAGUGGAUAUUCAUCCAUCAAUCGCAGUACUUAAGAGCCUUCAAGUUUUGAAUUUAAGAGAUUGCAAAAGUCUUAGUAGUCUUCCGACCAUAACUGGAAUGGAAUCUCUUGAAACAUUAAUUCUUUCGGGUUGCUCAAGUCUUGUAAGGUUUCCGGAGAUUGAUGGGAAAAUGGAACGUCUAAAAACUCUAGAUCUUUCCGGUUGUUAUAGAGUUGAAAAUUUAUCAGAGAAUUUGCAGCAUGCAAAGUUUUUGGAAGAGCUCGACUUGAGAGAAACAGCCAUAACAGAACUACCAUCCUUCAUUUUUCAAUUUAAAAAUCUUAAAGUUCUGUCUUUCAAUGGAUUCAAAAGAGGAAGAAAAAAUUCCAUGGCUCCGAUGUUACCUUCAUUGUCAGGUUUGAGUUCAUUAAGAGAGUUGAAUCUAAGGGACUGCAAUCUUUGUGAAGGAGAUAUUCCACGUGAUAUUUCUGGUCUAUCCUCUUUGGAAGAACUUAAUCUUAGUGGUAACAAUUUCACCAGCAUACCUGCAUCUCUUACUCGACUCUCCAAGCUUGAAGAGCUUAUAUUGUCAAAUUGCAACAUGUGCACUCUUGGUGAAGUAGAUAUUCAUGGUCUAUCCUCUUUGGAACGGCUUUUUCUUAACGGUAACAAUUUCAUCACCGUUCCUUUGGCUCUGGCUCAACUUUCCAAGCUUAAAUUGCUUGGAUUAUCAAAUUGCAUGAAGCUUAACUCGUUGCCUGAGCUACCAACAAGUAUAGAAGAAGUGUGGCUAGAUGGUUGUUCUUCACUUGAAGUAGUUGCAAGUCCAUCAAAAGUAUGCAAGUUAGUGGAUUCGGCUGCUAUUAUAGCCUUUAACUGCUUCAAAUUGGCUGAGAAUAUCAACGCAUUAACACUGCUGAGAAAACAUCUUAAGGUCGAUUAAUCUCUCUUUUUCUCCCUUACAAAAUCUCAUACUUGAGAAUUUAUGGUUUUAGUUAUCAAACGACUUAUGUUUUAUUUUGCAGGCAUUUGCAAAUUCAAGAAAAAUGUUUGAUAUUAUCAUGCCAGGAAGUGAAAUCGCAGAAUGGUUUAGCCAACAAAAAGGUGACUUCUUUAUUAAGAUUCCCUUACCUAUCAACCUUCAAGAGGAUAGUGAAUGGAUUGGAGUUGCUUGUUGCUGCAUUUUUGUCAAUAGUGAUGCUUCAAGGGAUGCGGGCUUUAUCGACUGUCGAGCGUUAAUGUAUGGUAGAAAUCAUCGACGGAUUGAGGGUGGAGGCUAUUUGGUGGGUAAACGAUUCAACAUGCCCAUAAUGAAAGAUCACAUUUUUCUUCGUUAUUGGUCGCGUGAUAAAUUAUAUCCAUUUUCCUUGAAGGAUAAAUAUGGUGGCUGUGAAACCAAUAAUUUACGGGCAACAGGCUUAGAUCAUAAAUGUGAUGGGCUUUGUGUGUUUUUCAAUGGUCAUAGCCUUAAGGUGAAGAAGUGUGGUGUUAGAAUAGUGUAUGAGAAAGAUUUGGAAGAAAUAGAAGAGUUGCAGUGCCAUAUCACUCAAUCUUCACCAGAUUUUGAACACAUCCACCAACACUCUGCUCAAAACGAUGGAUCAGUAGGUAGCACUUCUGACAUAAAACAAAAACGAAAUAUCUCCGAGGAAGCGGAGGAAGAGGGGCUGCAACCAAAAUUGAUGCAAAAAUUUUUCAAAUUUAUAAUGGGCCAAUCAGGGAAGAAGCAUUAACUGUGGUAAACUACUUAACCAAUCUUUUAUUUAAAGUGAUCAAUCUAGACUUAUUUACGAUCCUUCUUACAUACCAAAAACUUAUAAAUCUUUUACUUAUAUUCAACAGGAGCUCAUAUCAUAGUUUAUAUAUAUCAUUUAAAAUUUUAGUGGCUUAAUUCAUUCCGUUUUACAUAACUGAAAUGUGAAAAUUUUUAUUGGUUUCAAUUUUUAUUAAAUUUUAUUUUCAUUAUAUAUACACUUAUAUCUAUAUUUUAUUUGUAGGUUGAAAUAAAUAUAAUCAACUUGACAUAGAAAUGUAGAGAAAAAUGGAUAGCUUCCGUGACAAAACAGGUAACAAUAAGGUGAAAUCCUUUAAUAAAGAUCAGAUUAUAAUUUGGACCGAGUUAAAAACUAUUUUUUUUAUUUGAGACUAACUUAUGUGUUCAAUUUAAUCACUCAAAAUUGUUUUUAUAUAUUUAGAAGAUUAAAAAUAAGUCCUUUACUAAUACUUGAAUAGGUUUAAUUACUCCUAAUAAAAAUAAGUCCAAAUUAUGUGUCAUUGUUUGGUUCAUUAACUUGUAAAUUAUGCAUUGUUCGCGAACCAAACAUAAAUCAACAUAUUAAUUCAAUUUUUUAGGAUUAGGUAAUUUAACAUUGGGUGUGAUUGUUAGAUAUAAGUAUCUCUUUAAUAUGGGUAUAUUCAAAAAAAAAUUUAAAAACUGUUUUUUUUCACGUAAUUAAAAAGUUAUUAAAGGAUCAUAUCUUAAUUAAUACCCAUAUACGAAUGUGUAUUAGAUAUAAGUAUUGGAUACGAGUACUUUAAAAAAUAAAUUGAUGCAACAUUUCUUUUAAAUAUUGAAUGUUUUAGUAUAUUUUGAAGCUCAUUUUUGCUUUGCUCAUUGAUAUUAGGGAAUCAGGCAAGAUGCUCAACUUGAGUGUCGAUGCCUUCUCAAAAAUGAAAAAUUUGAGAUUGCUCAAAGUGCUUUGCCUAUUAAAUUGUGAUGAUCUCAAAUUUCUUUCUAAUGAGCUACGGCUUUUAGAUUGGAAAGGAUGCCCUUUAAGAUCAUUACCUUCAAGCUUCCAACCGGACAACCUUGUUGCACUUCUUUUACCAUAUAGUCGCAUUCAACAACUAUAGAAGGGGAACAGAGUAAGAAUUAACUCAUGUCAUCCUUGUAUUUUAGCUUAUUUUAAUAUAAAUGAUUAAACUUUGCUUAAGGUAAAAAAACAAAAAUAAGCAUUAUUAUUAUUAUGUUUUCUCAUUUGUUUCUAAUUUAUUAUGAUCUUCAACAGCCCUUGUGUAAGUUGAAAAUGAUAAGCCUUGGAGGGUCCCAAAACCUGAUCAAGACACGAAACUUCACAACGGCAUCAAAUCUUGAAGUUUUAGUGUUGAAAGGUUGUACCAAAUUAGUGGAUAUUCAUCCAUCAAUCGCAGUACUUAAAAGCCUUAAAGUUUUGAAUUUAAGAGAUUGCAAAAGUCUUAGGACUCUUCCAACCAAAAUUGGAAUGGAAUCUCUUGAAGCAUUAAUUCUUUGGGGUUGCUCAAGUCUUGUAAGGUUUUCAGAGAUUGAUAGGAAAAUGGAACGUCUAAAAACUCUUGAUCUUUCAGGUUGUUAUAGAGUGGAAACUUUAUUGGAGAAUUUACAGCAAGCAAAGUUUUUGGAAGAGCUCGACUUGAGAGAAACAGCCAUAACAGAACUACCAUCCUUCAUUUUUCAAUUUAAAAAUCUUAAAGUUCUGUCUUUCAAUGAGUGCAAGGGACCAUCAUAUAAGUUACUACCAAAUUUGCCUUCUUUUUUCAAGGUAAUCCAAGGAAGAAGGACAAAUCCCAUGGCUCGGAUGUUGCCUUUGUUGUCAGGUUUGAGUUCUUUAAGAGUGCUAAGAGUGCUAAAACUAAAGGACUGCAAUCUUUGUGAAGGAGAUAUUCCACCAUAUAUUUUUGGUCUAUCCUUUUUGGAAUAACUUAAUGUUAGUGGUAACAAUUUCAUCAGCAUACCAGCAUCUCUUACUCGACUCUCCAAGCUUGCAAAUCUUAUAUUGUCAAAUUGCAAUAUGUGCACUUUUGGUGAAGCAGAUAUUCAUUAUGAUAUUUCUGGUCUAUCCUCUUUGAGUUAUCUUGAUUUUAGUGGUAACAAUUUAAUCAGCAUACUUGCAUCUUUUACUCGACUCUCAAAACUUCAUGUUCUUGACUUGUCAAAUUGCAACGUGUGCACUCUUGGUGAAGCACUCUUUGAUAUGUCUUGAUCUUAGUGGUAAGAAUUUCAUCACCAUUCUUUUGGAUCUUAUUGAAAAAUAGAAUGUCGGUAAUGACAAUAUAUCAUAAAGAAAAAAGAGAAAUAAAAAUAAAUAACAUAUAGAUUUUACGUGGAAAUCUUUUUUGUGAAAAAAACCACGGGUAAAUGAGAAGAAAAUUCAUUAUGUCGAAUUCGAAUAAUUACAAGAGAAGUAGACUAUGUCUAUUUAUAGGCUUGUAAAACCAUCUUCUAGUAAGAUUGAAACAUCUUAUUUUAAUUAAUUUCAAAUAGAUGGAGUUUAAUAAGGUUUAAAAAACCUUAUUCUAAAAAUAAAAUAAAUGAAGAAUAAUUCUAUAGGGAUUUUACUUUUUAUUUUAUUUUAGCACUAUAUUUGAUUUAAAUAAGGAUUCAGUCACUUAAUUCUAACAAUUUCUAUCUUGACACGAAUUCUUAAUGAACAAGUUCUUCAUCGUGAACUCUUAACGAAUAAGUUCUACACCUCUUCCAUAAAACCCCUUAAGGGUUUAAUUUCAACAAUGAACAUCAACUAAGUCUAAGCAAUGCUCAAACUUGGUUAUAGGAAGUGACUUAGUCAUUAUAUCUAUAGGAUUUUCAUGAGUACUAAUUUUGCUCACAACAAUAUCGCCACGAGUAAUAAUAUCACGAACAAAAUGAUACUGAACAUCAAUUUGUUUUGUUCUCUCAUGAAACAUUUGAUAUUUUGUAAGGAAGAUGGUACUCUGACUAUCACAAAAUACUGUAUUUAUUUGAAAGUUUUAAUUGAGUUCACUUAAGAAUCCCUUUAACCAAAUAGCUUAUUUACAAGCUUUAGUAAUCGCCAUAUACUUAACUUCAGUGGUAGACAAAGCGACUACAGUUUGUAAAGUGGCUUUCUAACUGAUUGCAAAACCCCCGAUUGUAAAGAAAUAACCUGUGAGAGAUCUUCUUAUAUCGAGGACUUCAGCAAAAUCAGCAUAAAAAAACCCAAUGACUCUAUCUCUAGUUCUUCCAAACUGUAAGCAAACAUCAGUAGUACCUUGCAAGUAUCUUAAAACCUACUGAACUGCUUUCCAAUGUUAUUUACCAGGAUUCAACAUGUAUCUGCUAACUGCACUGACUGCAUAUGAUAAAUCUGGACGUGAAUAAACCAUAGCAUACAUGAGAGAUCUCACUGCACUAGACUAUGGAACAUGUGACAUGUACUCAAUCUUAUCAUCUAAUUGUGGAGAUAAAGCCAAUUAAAGUUUGAAAUGGGCUACUAAAUGAGUACUAACAAGCUUAGCAUUCUACAUAUUGAAUCUGCAAAGAAUUAAUGUACCCCUUCUAACUUAGGUAUAAUUUACUUGCUUUUCUAUUUCUAAGAAUCUCUAUACUAAGUAUCUUAUUUGCUGGUAUCAAAUCUUUCAUCUCAAAUUCUUCACUUAGUUGGACUUUAACCUUUCUUAUCUCUCAUUUAUCUUUCGCUGCUAUCAACAUGUUAUCAACAUAAAGGAGUAGAUACACAAAAAGAGUAUCACAGUUUUUCUUAAAGUAAACACAACUUUUAAAACCAUGAGAAGUUAUAAAAGAAUCAAACCUCUUAUACCACUGUAUUGGUGACUGUUUCAAACCGUAAAGGGACUUUUUUAGCAAGCAAACAUAGUUUUCUUUUUCUAAGACUGUAAAACCCUCUGGUUGUUACAUGUAAAUAUCCUCCUCAAGUUCUUUAUGCAAAAAUUCAGUUUUUUCAUCUAACUGCUUAAGUUUUAAAUCAUGCAUUACCACAAUACCAAGCAAAGCUCGAAUCGAACUAUGCUUCACAACUGGAGAGAACACAUCUGUGAAGUCCACUUUUGGAAUUUGACUGUAACCCUUUGCAACAAGUCUUGCUUUAUAUCUUGGUUAUUCAACUCUUGGAGUCCCCUCUUUCUUCUUAAACACCCAUUUACAACGAACAACUUUUUUACCUUUAGGAAGUUUUAUAAGAUCUCAUGUUUUAUUUUUGUGUAGUGAUUUAAUCUCCUCUUACAUAGCAAACAUCCAAUUUUCUAAGUCUUCACAACAAACCGCCUCAAAAUAAUUAGAUAGUUCUUGAUUUUCAUCUAUAUCUUCAGCCUUAUUUAAAGCAUAAAUAAUUAGAUUAGCUUUCCUGUCUAUUUUUCAAUCAUGGUUUUUCAAGACUUAAAUGCGAAAAACACAUUGCUUUUUUGCUUCAAGAAGAACGCCCACACUUUUCUAGAAAAAUCAUAAAUAAAGGUUAGUAUAUAAUUAGCUCCACCUCUCAAAGACACUCUAGAUGGCCCCCACAGAUCAGAAUGAAUAUACUCUAACGUUCCCUUCGUGUUAUGAAUUCCUCUGGUGAAUCAACUCUCUUUUGAUUCCCAAAAAUGCAAUGCUCGUAGAACUUCAGUUUGCAAAUUUCUUACCCAUCAAAAAGUAAUCUUUUGUUCAAUUCUUCCAUGCCAUUCUCACUUAUAUGCCUUAGGCGUAUAUGCCAAAAUUUAGUAAUAUCAUCAUUAGUCAAGGAAGAGGAUGCGACAGCUGGAUCACCAGUAACUGUAGAACCCUACAAAACAUAUAACUUGACAGUCUUUCUCUGCCCUUUCAUCACAAUGAGGGAACCUUUGGAAAUAUUAAAAACCCCACUUUCAGUUGUGUAUUUGUACCCUUUUGAAUUAAGAAGACUUAACGAAAUUAAAUUUCUCUUCAAUUCUGGAACAUGUCGUACGUCACUAAGUGUUCUGACAACUCCGUCAAACAUCUUAACUUUAAUUGUUCCAACAUCUGUAAUUCUAUAUGAAGAAUUAUUUCCCAUCAAUACAACACCUUCAGACACUUUUUCGUAAGCUGUAAACCAAUCUCAACUAGAACUCAAGUAAAGAAAGCUGCCCGAAUCAAGGAUCCAUUCCUCGCUCACUUUAGAAUUGUUGACAGAAGCAAAAAGAAGUUCACCAUCGUUGUAGUCUUCUACAAUAUCAACGUUACCAAUUUUUUUUUAUUUUUUCCAUUUUGAUUCGCAAUCUUCCUUUUGAUCUUGUUCUAUAGCUUAUAACACUCAGAUUUAAUGUGUCCUUUCUUCUUACAGAAGUUACAAGUUUUACCUUUAUUUGAAGACUUCGAUCUACCCUUUGAUUUACCAUGAAGAUUUCGUUCCUGUGUCCUUCCACGAUCAUCAUUAACAUUCUGAUAUUGUCUUCCACAAACAAUAAGACCCUCUCUCUGAAUUCAGUUUUAACCAUAAAAUGCUUUAUCUUAUAAUACGAGGUUAAAGAAUCAUAAAUCUCAUCAAGUGUGAAAGACUCGCGACUAUAUAAAAUCGUAUCUCUAAAGGUUGAAUAAGAUGGGGGCAACGAAUAAAUUAGAAUUAACCCUAGUUCUUUCUUGUCAUAUUGAACCUUAAUGGCCUCUAAGUUUAAGAGAAUUUCUUUAAACAAUAUUAAGAGUUCGUGCACAGAUGCACCUUCCUCCAAACGAUGAGCAUAAAGAUGCUACUUCAUAUGCAACUUGCUAGUUACAGUUUUCGACAUAUAUAUUUGUUUCAACCUCUUCCAUAAUCCAGUAGCGAUCUUCUCUUUCAUCAUAUCUUGCAAAUUUUUUGUUAGAAAAAUGUAAAUGUAAUUGUGUUAACGCCUUUCGAUCCUUAUGCUUCUUCUUUUGCUCCGUCAAUGUUGAAGGCAUCUUAUCUACCCCUAGUAGGGCUUCCUCUAAGUCUAUUUAUGCAAGAAUUGCCUACAUCUUUAUUUGCCACAACGCAAAUCUGAUGUUGCGAUCCAACAAUGAAAUUUCAUACUUUAAAGACAUUAUUAUCGUGAUUGAGAUGAAAACUUAAAAGCUCAGAUACCAAUUUGAAAAAUAGAUUGUCGAUAAUGACAAUAUAUCUCAAAGAAAAAAGAGAAAUAAAAAUAAAUAACACACAGAUUUUACGUGAAAAUCCUUUCAGGAAAAAAAACCACAGGCAGAGAAGAAGAAAAUUCACUAUGUCGAAUUCAAUAAUUACAAGAGGAGUAGAUUAUGUCUAUUUAUAAGCUUGUAAAACCAUCUUCUAGUAAGAUUGAAACACCUUAUUCUAAUCAAUUUCAAAUAGAUAGAGUUUAAUAAGGUUUAAAAAACUUAUUCUAAAAAUAAAAUAAAUGAAGUAUAAUUCUAUAGGGAUUUUACUUUUAUUUUAUUUUACCACUAUAUUUGAUUUAAAUAAUGAUUCGGGUCACUUAAUUCUAACACUUACUCAACUUUCCAGGCUCAAAUUGCUUAAAUUGUCAGGUUGCAAGAUGCUUAAAUCGUUGCCUGAGCUACUAAGAAGUAUAACAGUUGUGAGUAUAGAUAGUUGUUCUUCACUUGAAGUAGUUGCAAGUCCAUCAAUAGUUUGCAAUUUAAUGCAUUCAGGUGCCGUUAAAGCCAUUAACUGCUUCAAAUUGGCUGAGAAUAUCAAUGCAUUAACACUGCUGAAAAACAUCUUAAGGUUGAUUAUCUCUUUUUUCUCCCUUACAAAAUCUCAUACAUUUUACCAAACGACUUGUGUUCUAUUUUGCAAGCAUUGGCAAAUUCAAAAGAAAAGUUUGAUAUUAUGAUGCCCGGAAGUGAAAUCCCAGAAUGGUUUAGCCAACAAAAAAGUGACUCUUCAAUUAAGAUACCCCUACCUAUCAACCUUCGGAAAGAUAGUCAAUGGAUUGGAGUUGCUUGUUGCUGCAUUUUUGUCAAUAAUGAUCCUUCAAUGGAUGACGAGAUUUUACGUUGUGUAGCAUUUACCUGUUGUAGAAAUUCUUGAAAACCUUCUAUGAAAGAUAAGUAGAGAGACCAACAUGCUAAGAAAGCACAAGUGUCUGGUUGUCCCUAAUGAAAAUUGACAGGUUUCGGCCGUCAAAACAAAUAUGCACCCUUAAAUCCUGACCUCCGGCUGAAAUGUUAACAUCGUAGUUGCUUAAAGAAACUUGCUUGGUUGAUUGGAUCCUGUUUAUGUUUAACCCAAUAUGGUUGUCAUCCAUAUCUUGCUCGUUGCUCUUUCUGACAUCAAAUUCCACCGCCACCACACUGGCUUGAUUGAGAAGAACCAUUUGUGUUCUCAUUUACCAUCCCCAGCCACUGUCCUUGGCUGUUGUCCAGUAGGCUGGAGUUGUUUAUUAAAAAGGCAACACCUUCGCCACCACAAGAGGUUUGAUUGAGGCUAUUGAGGACGAACUCACAUGGAAAGAAGCAAUAGUGGUGUGGUUGCCUUUCUAAAGCUGAAAUGGUUUCUUAUACAGAGCUCGUCUAGACAAAUUUUCCAUGGAACCUCCAUAACAUCUCCAGUAGCUUGGAUGGUUCCAAGAACUAUGUAAGAAUUCCUACUCAAGAUAAGUUGGCUUUAACCAUAUUUCUGGAAAGUUGAAAAUUUGAACUGAAAAGGCCUUCUAUUAUAUAUCAAAAAAUUUAAAAUUUUUUAUUCAUAUAACAUAGUUUUUAAAACAUUUAAAAUUUUAGUCACUCAUUUUUACAAAAUGUGUACGUUUUAAUUGGGUUUACAUUUUUUUUAAUUUUAUUUUCAUUAUAUGUAUUCACUUACAUCUAUAUUUUAUUGUAGGUUGAAGUAAAUUUAAUUAAAUUAAUACCGAAAUGUGGAAUAAAAUGAAUAUAUUUUGUGACGAAACAGGUAAUAAUAAAGUGAAUCCUUUAAUAAGGAUUGAUCAUAAUUUCAGCUGUGAAAUGGUAAAAUUAACAUAUUUUAAUCUCAUUCUUAAUGCGUUUUUGGAUGAAUAUUUAUGCAAAUUGGUGAAUUUGAUGCUCCUAAUCCUUUGAAUUAAUGUUUUUAUAUUUAGGUGAACAUUAGGGAGCAGAAGAAGCGAAAAACGAGUGAAAAUCAGAGAAAAAGAGUAAAUUUCAGGAGCCACACGGGUUGGGCACACGCCCUUAUGAGCCACACUGGCUGGACACACGCCUAUGUGCCAGCCCGUGUCGAUUUCGCACUUUGCUUCCCAAACACACGGAAAAACAUAAUUUUUAGGCUUUCUAAACAUUCUAAAGUCUAUAAAUACCAAAUAGAAGAAGAAAUAGGGGAGCCAUUAGAGAAGGUCAAAGAAAACCCUCAAGGAACACCAUUGGAGUUAAUUCCCUAGAUACCUAGGGAGGAUGAAACCUAUGACGAAUUCUAUUAUCUAAUAUCUAAUUUACAUGAUAAAUACUUUAUUCUUAUUUUCAAUUAUGCGUGUUUAUUUCUUAUUUUAAUAUUUUCGGGAUAUUAAUUCAUGUUUAAUGUGCUUAAUUCAAUGGAGCAAAAGUCCCUGUGUAAGAGUAAAUUUAGCAUAACUGAGUGGACUUGCAUGCAAUCCUAUAAAUAGGACGACAGAAAUCUACCUGAUUAGAGUCAAAUCUAAUGGGGGAAUCCAUAGAUCGAGUUACUGUGACAAUAGGAGUUUUAAUUAGAAAGAGAUUUCAAUUAAUUAACCUCAAGUCCGUUGUUCUUACUCUCGAAAUAGAUAUUAACAUAAUUUAAGAAUUUCUACGAAUCAAGACACCAAGUGAAUAAAUCGUUUAAAUCAAAUUAAUAAAAUUAAUAAUACUAGAAGGAAUCUAGAUAGAUUGCGCAUUUUUACUUGUAAGGUUAUUAUAUAAUUUAUUAUAUAAUUAUGUUAUUAUACUAUUUUAAAUAGGGUUUUUGAAUUUUUUUUUGUAAAAUAUAAAUUUACAUAGUAAUUUAAUUGUAAUGUAAAUAAAUCCUUUUAAAUAAGGUAUAAUGAUAAAAAAAAUUUUCUUAUUGUUUAUAAAAUUUUAUUUUGAGUCAAAUUAUAAAUUUUUUUAAUGCAAAAUGCUGAUUAAACCAUUGACGUGAUAUGAAUAGUGAACUAUUAAACUUUUCAAGGGUAGUCUUAAUUGGAUCAUCUUUCCACAAUAGCCUUAUUUAAGUUUAUUAUGUUUUCUCAUUUGCUUCUCAUUUAUGAUGGUCUUCAACAGCUCUUGUAUAAGGUGAAAUGCGGCUGAGAUGGGAUUGCAUGUGGGAUUCUCGAGGGUGGAGAUCGAAGGAGACUCCUUAUCUGUGAUUCGGAAGCUGCAAACAAAGGGAGUUGAAAGGUCAGUGAUAGGAGCCUAUAUCUCAAAUACAGGGGUAUCAAAUCUGUGUCUUUAAACAUGUGCCAAAACAAGCAAACGGAGUUGCACAUCUAUUGGGUACAGAGGGAUUAAAGAGAGAUGAAGAAACUUAUCUUGUUGGCGCGGUUCCUUCAUACGCGAAAGUGGCAGCGGAAGAGGACCGUCAACAGUUGGGCUCACUUUGUCCCGCAGGUUGAAGAUCCACUGCUUAGAAAGAAGAUAAAAUGGGAUUUUACUGUGGGCAAACAGAUCGGAGAAUAGAUGGACUACUGGGUUUCUAAGUUUCGACGGAAGAUUGGUGUUUUGAAGUGAUGAAAUGCAGAGUUUAGCCAGACCUGAAGGGUUUCUUCCAGUUGCAUCGGAAAGAUCUAGAGCAGACAUUUUGGUGGUUAUCAACGAAACAAAGAAGGCAUCUGAAGGGUUUCGCUUUCUCAGAUGUUUAGGGAAAAGGAAAGUCUGCCUGGGUGGUUGGAUUAUCCUACUUUAUAAUGUCUGUGCUCUAAAUGAUUUGGAAUUUGUUUUAUUGAUAUAACUGCUACAGAUUGACUGAGAACAUCAAUCUAUUCACAUUGCUGAUAAAACAUCUUAUGGUCAACUAAAUCCCAGAAUGGUUUAGCGAACAAGGAUGAUUCUUCAAUCAGGAUAACUUCACCUCUCACUAUUCAGAUAGAUAAUGAAUGGAUUGGAGUUGCUUCACGUCGCAUUUUUGACAUUGAUGAUGCUUCCAAGGAUAUGGAGGCUAUCCUUUUUACAGCCAAUAUCCAUUGUAGAAAUGUUGGAGAAGCUGGUUGUAAUAUGCUUGAGCUGUCUUUCACAACCCAAUUGGUCACAGUCUUAAAGGUGAAGAAAUGUGGUGGUAGAAUAGUGUAUAAGAAAGAUUUGGAAGAAAUAAAAGAGUUGCAAUGCCAUAGCACUCAAUCUUCUCCAAAUUUUGAACAUAUCCCCCACCACUCUUCUCACAACGAUGGAUCAGUAGGUAGCACUUCCCUUAUAAAACCCGAACGUAAUAAGGAGAGGGAGGAAGAAGGGCUACAACCAAAACGGAUGCAAAAAUUCUUCAAUUUUAUAAUUGCCGAUCGAAGAACAAGCAUUAAUUGUGAUAAACUGCUUCACUAACUUUGUCCUGUUAAUUCCUUUUCAGACAUUUUUAGCUAUGUUAUUUACAAUUUUUUAUUUGAUUUAAAGUAUUCAUUCCUUUUCACAUAAUUGGAAACUUAGUAUAUAUAAACUGAAAAACGACAUGGGACAUAAGGUAUUUCCAAUUUUCUACAAUGUGGAUCCAUCCGAUUUAAGAAAACAGAAAGAGAAAGUUGAGGAGGUGUAAUAGCCCGAUUUUAGGCCUAGUCGGAACAGUGGUUUCGGGACCACAAAUCCGACGAAAAAAAAAAUGUAAUGGCUUGAAUUUUCAGAGGUGUCGGAACGGUGAUUCGAGAUCACUAAAUUCGACAAAUGGGUAGAAAAUAUUAUUAAUUUAGUAAGUAUAAGUUAAAUGUGAAGUUAGGAAAAUUUUUGAAAUAGUGAAUAGUGCACUAGAAAUAAAUAUUAAAAUAAUUAGAAUCAAAAUGAGGUAUCAAGACCUCGGGGAUUUUAAACCGAGCCAUAAAUAUUUUUAUAAAUAUUUAUGGAGUGUUAAAAAGUUAGUAUUAAAGUUUCGUUAAGAAAUUUUAAAGUUCCGAUAAUUAAUUGAACAAAAAGGACUAAAUUGUAACAAAUGCAAAAUUAUAGGAAAUAAUUAAAUAGCUUAAAUGAUAAAAGGAAGAGGGCUUAAAAGGUAAAUAGACCCAAGGCCUAUUUGGGCUGGACGGCAGGGGCAUGAAAUCAGCAGAAAGUAAAGAGAAUUAAGGGUAAAAUUGGAAUAUUGCAAAAUUUGCUUAAUAAAGUUAGGACCAAAGUGGAAUUAUCUAGAUUUCUCUUCAUUUUUUUCUGAAUUCUCAUCAGCUAAAACACCAUGGAAGGGCUUCUUCAAGCUGGUUCUUCAUAUUUUUAUUACAAGUAAGUUCAAUUCUUGACUAUUUCUUGAAAUUUUUGUAUUUUUAUGACUUUUACAACUAGGCCCACUUGUUAAAUUCAUUAGUUUUUGAUUUUAUGAAAGAAGUUGAAAGUUGAUAUGAAUAUGUGCUGGAAGUAUAUGAUGAUUUAUCAUGAAAUUAGAGCUUUAAAUUGUUCAUAUGCUGAUUUUAUUGAAAGAAUUGAAUAGAAAGUGAAUGUUUGGGACCUAAUAGUAAAAGAGUUUGAAGAUAGAGUUAUAUGUGGAAAUUCUGAAUUUCAAUAGUUGUGUAACAACUUAUAAUGCCUAGUAAAGUAAUAAUAGAGAAAAUUAGAUUAAUUGAGGGGUUAAUUGAGAAAGGACCGAAUUGUAUAAACUGUGAAAUUUGGGGCAAAAUGGAAAUCGNNNNNNNNNNNNNNNNNNNNNNNNNNNNNNNNNNNNNNNNNNNNNNNNNNNNNNNNNNNNNNNNNNNNNNNNNNNNNNNNNNNNNNNNNNNNNNNNNNNNNNNNNNNNNNNNNNNNNNNNNNNNNNNNNNNNNNNNNNNNNNNNNNNNNNNNNNNNNNNNNNNNNNNNNNNNNNNNNNNNNNNNNNNNNNNNNNNNNNNNNNNNNNNNNNNNNNNNNNNNNNNNNNNNNNNNNNNNNNNNNNNNNNNNNNNNNNNNNNNNNNNNNNNNNNNNNNNNNNNNNNNNNNNNNNNNNNNNNNNNNNNNNNNNNNNNNNNNNNNNNNNNNNNNNNNNNNNNNNNNNNNNNNNNNNNNNNNNNNNNNNNNNNNNNNNNNNNNNNNNNNNNNNNNNNNNNNNNNNNNNNNNNNNNNNNNNNNNNNNNNNNNNNNNNNNNNNNNNNNNNNNNNNNNNNNNNNNNNNNNNNNNNNNNNNNNNNNNNNNNNNNNNNNNNNNNNNNNNNNNNNNNNNNNNNNNNNNNNNNNNNNNNNNNNNNNNNNNNNNNNNNNNNNNNNNNNNNNNNNNNNNNNNNNNNNNNNNNNNNNNNNNNNNNNNNNNNNNNNNNNNNNNNNNNNNNNNNNNNNNNNNNNNNNNNNNNNNNNNNNNNNNNNNNNNNNNNNNNNNNNNNNNNNNNNNNNNNNNNNNNNNNNNNNNNNNNNNNNNNNNNNNNNNNNNNNNNNNNNNNNNNNNNNNNNNNNNNNNNNNNNNNNNNNNNNNNNNNNNNNNNNNNNNNNNNNNNNNNNNNNNNNNNNNNNNNNNNNNNNNNNNNNNNNNNNNNNNNNNNNNNNNNNNNNNNNNNNNNNNNNNNNNNNNNNNNNNNNNNNNNNNNNNNNNNNNNNNNNNNNNNNNNNNNNNNNNNNNNNNNNNNNNNNNNNNNNNNNNNNNNNNNNNNNNNNNNNNNNNNNNNNNNNNNNNNNNNNNNNNNNNNNNNNNNNNNNNNNNNNNNNNNNNNNNNNNNNNNNNNNNNNNNNNNNNNNNNNNNNNNNNNNNNNNNNNNNNNNNNNNNNNNNNNNNNNNNNNNNNNNNNNNNNNNNNNNNNNNNNNNNNNNNNNNNNNNNNNNNNNNNNNNNNNNNNNNNNNNNNNNNNNNNNNNNNNNNNNNNNNNNNNNNNNNNNNNNNNNNNNNNNNNNNNNNNNNNNNNNNNNNNNNNNNNNNNNNNNNNNNNNNNNNNNNNNNNNNNNNNNNNNNNNNNNNNNNNNNNNNNNNNNNNNNNNNNNNNNNNNNNNNNNNNNNNNNNNNNNNNNNNNNNNNNNNNNNNNNNNNNNNNNNNNNNNNNNNNNNNNNNNNNNNNNNNNNNNNNNNNNNNNNNNNNNNNNNNNNNNNNNNNNNNNAUAUGAAUGAUUUGUGUAUAAUUGGUCAUAUGUUUGAUUAUAAUUGAUAGAUGAUGAAAUAGAAAUGAUGCUUAAAUUUGUGCAUUAUUGGACAUGGUUUAAGCUCAUGUGUGAAAAUAAAGUUUCAUAGCAUGUGUGUAUGGUAUAUUCGGUAUAUGAUUUGGCAUGAAAUAAUGUCAUGAAUGGUUUAUCAUGUGAUUAGUUCCAAAAAGAGUUAUGUUUCAAUACACUAGCUUGCAACUAUGGUUGAAUGAUAUGUUUAUAUCUUGUGUAAUGUGCAUAGGAAACAAGUGUGGAAGAUAAUGAAAUAGUAAGUUCAUAUGGCUGAAAUUUAAUGAUUAAAUGUUAAUUUCAUGAAUUAUAUAAUGUAUGAUGAAAUGUAUUUAUUGUUGAAAUGAGAAUAAAAUAAAAAUGUGAAAAGUUAUAGAAACAUGUUAAUUAUUUUGAAAGUUUUUAUUUAGAUGAAAUUUUAUAACUCGGUUAAAUACGUUUACAAGUGUAUGUGUUUUGGUAAUGCCUCGUACCUUAUUCCGGUGUUGGAUACGGGUAAGGGGUGUUACAGGAGGCCUUUGCCAAACACGAAGAGAGAUACAAGGAAGAUAGAGACAAGAUCCAAAGGUGGCGAAACGCUUUGAUUCAAGUGGCUAACAUUAAGGGAUGGCAUUUAAAUAACAGGUAAUUCUUUCUUUUCUUCUCUACUUUCUAGUUUAUUUGAAAAGUGUCAUAUUUCAAUAAAAGAGCAAAUUUUGUAUUCUGGUUCCGCAACAGAUCUUGCUUUCUUAUUCUUGGUUUUUGUUUGCUUCCAUUAUGAUUCAAUGAGAUACAAAAUGCAUUUGAAAGAUAUCAACAAAAUUUUAUUCAAAAAAAUUAAAAUUUCUUUCUUCACAGGCACGAAUCAGAAUUUAUUAGAGACAUUGUUAUGAAGAUAUCAGCAAAACUAUGUCAAACAUAUCCAGUUACUCAUAGCGACUUAGUUGGAAUUAGUGAACGCUUGGAGGAUUUGUAUUUGAAAAUAAAUAUUGGGGAAAUGAUGUCCGCAUUAUAGGAAUUUGCGGAAUGGGUGGCAUCUGUAAAACGACACUCGCAAGAGUUGCUGACACUCAAAUGUCACCUCAUUUUGACGGUAAAAGCUUUAUUGCUGAAAUUCGAGAAGUUUCAGACAAAUGAGGACUAGUUUUCUUUACAAAAACAACUUCUUUCACAGAUCUUUCAUGAUGAAUGCUUCAACUUUUUCAAUGUUCACGAAGGGAAUGCCAUAAUUAACCAUAGCUUGUCUCACAAAAAGGUUCUUGUUGUUCUUGAUAAUGUUGAUAACAUACAACACUUAAAAUGCUUGGUUGGAAGGUGUGAUUGGUUCGGAUUAGGGAGUAGAAUCAUUGUAACAACAAGAGACGAACAUUUGCUUCGAUGUUGCUAAGUUGAUGAUGUGUAUAUGCCCACAACACUGAAUCCCAAAGAUGCACUUCAACUUUUCAAUUUGAAAGCUUUCCAUAGUGAUACAGUGUCGAAAGAUGAUUUCAUUGAACUUUCUAAACAUCUUGUAAAUUAUGCCGGUGGGCUCCCUCUAGCUCUUGAAGUUUUGGGUUCCUUUUUGUGCGGUAGAGAUGCUGCUCAAUGGAGAAGUGCGAUUGAAAGACUAAAAAGAGAUUCUAAAAAAGAAAUCCUCGAUAAACUUUGAAUCAGUUUUGAUGGAUUGGAAGAAAGAGGGAAGAAUAUAUUUCUAGAUAUAGCAUGCUUAUUCAAUGGGGAGAAGAAAGAUUUUGUAAUGAAAGUAUUGAAUGGUUGUGAGUUUUUUCCCGAUAUUGGAAUUGAUGUUCUCAUUAAGAAAUCUUUAAUAAAAGUCGAUGAUGGCAACCAAUAUUUGUGGAUGCAUAGCUUGUUGCAAGAAAUGAGAAGAAAAAAUGUUACAGAAAAAUGUGUUGAUGAACUUGAAAAACGUUCCAGAUUGUGAGAGGAAACGAAUGUCCAUCAUAUCCUAACAAAAAAUACUGUAAGCCAUUCAACAAAAUUUACAUACUAUUUCUUUUCCUUUUUAUAGAAUAUCUAAUCAAUAUAUAAUAUAAAUUCAAAGCUUAGUCUAAUUGGUAGAUAUGACGAUCUUAAAAAGUGAUAUUUGGUACUUUUGAGAUGAAUUAUGUUUGAUGUUUACAAAUAUUAAAAAGAAUUUGUAGAAAUAAAUAUUUAAUUUCAUUGCAUUAAAAUUUCAAUAGUUUUAUCUUACAGGAUGCACCAUUUAUUUUGUUUUUUUAAUUUUUGUUCUUGAAUUUUUUAGGCUACAGAAAUGAUUGAAGGCAUAAUCAUUGAUAAUAAAAGGUAAUACAUAUAACAUGAUAUCUUUGUGUACUGUAAAUAAUAAUUUUUUUAAACUCCAUAUUUCAAUGUUUAAUUAUGAAAUUUAGCUAGCAACAUAGUACUCUUUCAAAAGAAUCAAUAGAGAAAUAUGUAUUUUUUAAAUAUUAAUGGUAUAUAUUUAAUUAGAGGUGUUUAUGAGCUGGAUCAGGCCUAUGCAAGAUAUUUAGAUUAUUUUUCUAAACUAGGGCUUGAAUCGAAAAAUGGGCUUAUUUUUUACCCAAUCCCGACCCGAUUUAAGAAAAGUAAACUCAAGCCCAAUCUAGACCAUCCAUAUUUGAUUUUUUUUAGAUUAAUUUUAUUUAAAAUUAUUUUUAAAAUAUAUUAUAUUGAAUACACUAAAAAAGUUCAAAAUAAAUGUUUCUAACACAUUAAAAAGUAUUUAUAUUAAAAAAUACUACCGUAAAUAUAAUAAAUAUUUUAUUAAAUUAAAGAAUUAUGCAUUGUUUUGAUUUUGGAAGGUUGUACCAAAUUAGUGGAUGUUCAUCCAUCAAUCGGAGUGGUUAAGAGCCUUAAACUUUUGAAUUUAAGAGACUGCAAAAGUAUUGGGAGUCUUCCGACCAAAAUUGGAAAUUUUUUCGGGUUGCUCAAGUCUUGUAAGGUUUCCGGAGAUUGAUGGAAAAAUGGAACGUCUAAAAACUCUUGAUCUUUCAGGUUGUUAUAGAGUGGAAAAUUUAUCGGAGAAUUUGCAGCAAGCAAAGUUUUUUGAAGAGCUCGACUUGAGUGAAACAGCCAUAACAGAACCACCAUCCUUCAUUUUUCAAUUUAAAAAUCUUAAAGUUCUGUCUUUCAAUGGGCGCAAGGGACCAUCAUAUAAGUUACUACCAAAUUUGCCUUCUCUUUUCAAGGUAACCCAAGGAAGAAGGACGAAUCCCGUGCCUCGGAUGUUGCCUUUGUUGUCAGGUUUGAGUUCUUUAAGAGAGCUAAAACUAAGGGACUGCAAUCUUUGUGAAGGAGAUAUUACACGUGAUAUUUCUGGUCUAUCCUGUUUGGAUAAACUAGAUCUUAGUGGUAACAAUUUCAUCAGCGUACCUGCAUCUCUUACUCGACUCUCGAAGCUUGCAAAUCUUAUAUUGUCAAAUUGCAACAUGUGCACUCUUGGUGAAGCAGAUAUUCAUAGUGAUAUUUCUUGUCUAUCCUCUUUGAAAAGUCUUAAUCUUAGUGGUAACAAUUUCAUCACCAUUCCUUUGGCUCUUACUCAACAUUCCGGGCUGCAAUCGCUUGUAUUGUCAGAUUGCAAGAUGCUUAAAUUGUUGCCUGCGCUAUCAACAAAUAAACAAGUGCAGAUAGAUGGUUGUUCUUCACUUGAAGUAGUUGCAAGUGCAUCAAAAUUAUGCAAUUUAACGGGUCGUGGUUACAUCAGUGCCAUUAACUGCUUCAAAUUGGCUGAGAAUAUCAAUGCAUUAGCACUGCUGAAAAAACAUAUUAAGGUCGAUUAAUCUCUUUUUUCUCCCUUACAAAAUCUCCUACUUGAGAAAUUAUGGUUUCAGUUACCAAAAGACUUGUGUUGAAGCUUGGGUUGCGUUGCUCACACCCGGUGGCAGCGGCUAGGCCUAGCAUGUCCAGCAUUAUAUCGUAUUUGGACGGUGUUGCUUCAUUGCCCGAUCACUUGAGCCCUGUUAUCAAAGCUUGAAAAUACCCUGCAGGAUAAAAAAAAGUGACUCUUCGAUUAAGAUACAGGUUGAUUGGUGGGGCUAUAUUUUGUUGACAGGUAGGAAUCAGCCCAUAACAAAAGAUCACCUUUUUCUUCGUUAUUGGUCGCGUGAUAAAUUAUUUCCAUUUUCCUUGAAGGAUAAAUAUGGUGACUGUGAGCUUGAGGUGUCUUUCUUACAUCCAUGUAAACCCAAUGCUAAGGUGAAGACGUGUGGUGUCAGAAUAAUGUAUGAGAAAGAUUUGGAAGAAAUAAAAGAGUUGCAGUGCCAUACCACUCAAUCUUCUCCAAAUUUUGAACACAUCCUCCAACACUCUGCUCACAACCAUAGAUCAGUAGGUAGCACUUCUCACAUCAUACAGAAAAUGUAAGAUCUACGAGGAAGCAGAGGAAGAAGGGCCGCAACCAAAAUGGAUGCAAAAAAUUUUCAAUUUUAUGAUGGGCCAAUCGGGGAAGAAGCAUUAAUUUUGGUAAAGUACUUAACCAACCAUGUACUAUUACUUCUAUUUCAUUUAAAAUAAUCAAUUUAAAUUUAUUUAUGUAUAAGAUAUGAUCUCUUUAAUAUAUAUUAAAAAAUUUUAAAAUUUUUAGCCAUACAAUCGUAUUGAAUAUGUACAUAUCUCAAAUGUUGAUAAUAUAAUUUUUUAUACCACUUAAAAUUUGUCACUUAAUUUAUAUUUUUUUUACUAUUUAAAAUUUUAGUCAUCAAUUCAUUCCUUUUUACAUAAUUGAAAUGUGUACAUUUUAAUUGGUUUUACUUAUUUAUUAAAAUUUUAUUUUCAUUAUAUAUAUUCGCUUACAUUUAUAUUUUAUUUAUAGGUUGAAGUAAAUAUAAUCAAUUUGAGAUAGAGAUGUGAAGAAAAAUGGAUAGUUUCAGGACAAAGCAGGUAAUAAUAAAGUGAAAAAUCCUAUAACGAGGAUAAAAUCAAAUUUUUGGGACGGUCAUAGUACAUUUACAAAUGACUAAAUUUAAAAAAAAAAAAAUUUGAAGGGCUAUGGCCCAUGGGCCUCUACAUGGCUCCGUCGUUGCAUCCAUGCAAAAUCGAGAAAAAAAAUGAAUAAGACGAUCUUCUAACUCCCUACCCCAAGCCCUAAUAUAGGCAGGGGCGAAGUCAAGAAAUUUUUGAGGGGGUCGAAAUUAAAUUGUAUUUUUUAUGAUAGUAAAAAUAUAAUUUUACCAUUUUAAUAGUUUGUAUAUUUAUAAUUUUAAUAGUUUAUAACAAAUAGAAAAUACCUACUCCUAGAUCAAUAUAAAAGCAUAGGUUAUAAGAUUAACCAAUCUCAAACAUAUGUUGAUUAUAUUUAGGUAAUAGUUGGUAGGUUUAGCUAACAUGAAUAUAAAUUAGAAAUCAUCAACUGAAAUAUUAUAUAGAUAUAUAUAUAUAUAUAUAUUUACCAACUUUCGAAGGAAAUAUGAAACAUAAAUCAAUGGGUGAACAAAUCAAUGAAGUAAAAUGCAGAUAGUAUUGAGAUGCAAUAUGAUUAAAUCUCUACUUGCUGCCUAUGGCAUGAGCAUCAAUGGUGGAACCUAAACAAUUAAGCUGAAUGAUGUUCACCACUGAUCCUAUGAAUCAAAACCAGCCAAUAACAAGUCAACUGUCAAAAAGAAUUCAAGUAUGAAUCUUAAUCUCUCCUCACUACAAUGCUCAAACAACAUGAGAGCAGUAACAUACAAAGAAAUUUCGGCCCAAACUGAUAUGAUAAUCAAAAUCCAAGAUAAGAAAAUAUCAACUCCAAUAGCUCUACCAUGAAACUAACCCAAUCUAGCUUGAGAAUGAAAACUGUCAAAGGUUGCCUCCAGCUCCAUGUGUUUAUCCCACAAGUUUUGAGAUCUGUUGCAAAUUCUGGAUUUAUAUAAUCCCAUUGAUAAAUAUGGGAAAAAUGGUGAGGAUGCUGAAAAUCAUUAUAUGAACCUAAAAUCAUGAUAAUAAGUCAAAGUCAAAGGUAACUUACUUCUCCACCAAGACUGAAUUGCCAGAACCCAAAAAGGGGCUCAAAAGAUUAUUUUGACUUUGUGUUGACAAAUCUGUUGACAAUUUGCAUUGUCACCAAAUAUCAGUUCAAACACUUGUAUAAAACAAGCAUUCAGUAAAUAAAAUUGAAGGUCUUACAGCUCAGGUGUUCCUCCUUGUAUGGCUAAAGCUCCAAUUCAGCAGUGGCAUUCCCAAAGAUUUGUCAUUCCCUAAUCAUACAUCAACACAGAAGCAAAGGAUAUAAGAAAAAACAAUCUCACAAAUAACCAAUCUUUCUAAUGAAUCAAGAUAUGAUUGAAGGAAAAUGGAGCAAGUACUGAGAUACCAGAUGAUACCAACGCUGGAACUAAACAAUGAAGCUGAACCGAGUCCACCAUUGGUCCUAUGAAUUAAAAAAAAAACAACCAAUAACAAGUCAACUGCCAAUAAGAAUUAAGUAUGAAUUUUAAUAUCUGAAUUUUGGUACCCACCAAAAUCCCCUACGGACAUUUUAUCAACUCCAAAGCAGAAUCAUUUUGCUACUGUAUUGAAAUCUCCAGUUACUGUUCAAUUUUCCUCCAAAUUAAUUAAUAUAUAUGGAGAAUUUCCUUCUUGGACAAUAUAUGCUAUAUCUACAACAGAACACAGACACGGCAGGGGAAUGAAGAUGAGAAAAAUAAUAGUAAGCAACAAUCACAACUGUUGAACAAAUUUCCAAUUUUAUGUUUCAUAAAUUAUGCUUUUAACAUUUACAAUGUGGAACUACAAGGUUUCAGUAUGGUAAAGCACCUUCUAGAAGACAAGUAAUUUAUAAAGCAGAGCAAGUUUAGAUUCAUCCUGGUUGGUUUUAAUUAAUUAAAGCACUUCAUUUUGUGUCACUAAUUUAUAAGUUGAAAAUUUACUAUUAACAAUUGUGGAAAACAGAAGUAUGACAAUAUGAAAAAUAAAUGAAAAAACUGAAAAAUUUAUGAUAAUAUGAAAAAAUGAGAUGAAAAUGAAACCCCUACCUAUGCGUUUGAUGACAUAAUUGAGAAGUUGAAAGUCCUCAAAAGCAGAGCCCAAGAUGGAAAGAAAUACAAACUAUUUCAAUCUUUUAACUCCUCCACCCCCUUCUUCACCAUCAUGGCUAAAGCUUCUUUUGUUCCCAGCAUGUCUCUUUUCAGUAGCAUCUGUAUCAUCUGUAGCAUCUGUAGCAUCUGUAUCAUCUGUAUCACCCUCUGCAUCCACGUAAAAUACAUGAACACCACAUCUCUCCACCUUGACAUACUCUUUUCCUCCGCUUCUUAAAUCCAAAAGUCUGAUGUAGCAUUUGAAUGAUGCCUCCUCAUAAUUCUGGUCUUCUUUAACCAUGUCGGCGGUAGAUAGAAUAAACACGUGAUAAUCCUUGUACUUCUCUGGCUCAGGAAACAAUAACAAAGAUAUUUUACUUCUUAGCUUUUUAUAACCACCACCACCACCAUCAUUGCCACCAUCGGCGGCUGUAAGUUGGUACUUACAAAUACAUUCAACAUCACUAAUGUAACGGCAGUGAGUGAGAUCAGCCACAAGGCAGAUAACAAAAACCAAAAAUCUGCUCCCACCACCCCCAUUUGGGGCUAUCUUCAAACUUAAGGAAGAAUUCAUGCUCUGACACUUGAACUUAUUUGCUGAAAUUUUGUUUCCUGGGAAACAACAAAUCAAACUUGACAAAUCAGGAAUCUUGCCACAGCAAUCAUAUCUCGCUGCCCAUUUCUUAGCUAGGGAUCGAAUUUUGAGCAUGGCAUUUGCCUCAAUGUUAUUAAUUGACUCUUGAUUCAAGUUGAAGCAAUUACGGAAUAGCAUGGUAAACUCAUAAAAACAAGCAUCACCAGCAUCUAAAUAAUCAAACUGAUAUAAAUUUUGAUCUGCAAAGGAAACUUUUUCCAAUGAUGUGCAGUCAAGUACAUUCAACUUGAGCAGAUAUGGUGGAAGCUCUGAGAGUAAUUUGAGGCUCUUGCAACGAUCCAUAUGCAUAUACUUAAGGCUUUUAAACCUCAAGCUUGGUGAGCGCACAUCAACAGUUGGAAAUUUAACGAUUGGACAACCACUAAGAUCUAGAGAAAAAAGGGAUUUCAACUUUGAAAUAUUGCUUGAUACAUCUUUUACCAUUGAGUUUGUCAAGGUCAACCAUUGAAGUCUGUCGAGAUGCUCAAUGAAAUCAGGUACUUCUUUUAUUCCGGUUUCUGAUAAAUCUAACUCAUAAAAGUAAUUUGGGAUCUCCGGAAACUUCUUGAGACUACGACAUCCCUCAAGGCGAAGGGUUUUAAGUGAUGUCAAACGGGCGAGGGAAGGAAGUUUAACCAGACUUUCGCAAUUUUCACAGUCAAGUCUUUCCAGGUUGAGGGCUCCUAAUAAAUUAGGGAUCUUCUUUAAAUUUUUGCAACUGAAAAGGUUAAUUUUCCGUAAAUGAACAAGAUCCUGCACAUGAUGAGAACAUAUAUAAAGUAGUUAGAGCAUCAUUUUACUUAGACUCUUAUCAAAAUAAAAAUUUAUAUUACCCACCAUCAAUACAUCAAAUUGUUUCGUUUAAAAAAUAGAAUAAAAUCUUUUAUAUUUAUUUUUCUAAAAAGUUAAUAAAAAUAUGUUAUUUAAAUGCUAUAUCAAUUAUAAAUUCUUUUUCUUAAAAAAAUUCUUGGAUGAAGAAAGUAUAAAAGUAUAUAUACCUGAUGAACUUCGUUCCAAAGUUGUUCCAUGUUUUCAUAUGGUAAUUCCAAUGCAACAAGGUUCUUUGGAUUAAAACUUGAUGAUAAAGAUUUGAAGGGGUAAUAACCCCAUCGGAGAUACCUUAGCUCAUCCGGAAGAGAUAUAAUAUCAUCUUGGUCUGUAUGUAGCUUCUUAUAAUCCUCAUGCUCUUUCCUCAACCAACUCGAAGGAAAAUAGAAGAAAAUACAUCUAAGAUUAAUCAUGCUUUCAAAAACAGAAGGUUGGAAUAAUAGGUUACCCAUACGUGACAUGUCUACCUUUAUUUCUUGAAUUCGAUCAGUUCCCUGAUAACAAAAACCAAUUUAUCAAAUAUUAGCAUGGAGAAAUUUAUGGACAUUCCAUUAAAUAACUCAUAAAAAAAAUAAUUAUAUUAGGAUAGACGUAGACUAAUUGAGCACUUUUAGAAACUUUUACAUACAAAAAGUGUUUUCUUUUCUUUUAUUUUUAUUUUUUCAAAUCAAUACAUUAAGUAUUUAAUUAAGUCAUAAACAUUGAGCCAUUAUGCGUCUAGUAUGAUGAUAAUUAUUUUAUUUUCUAAAUACUAAUUAAAAGGAUAACUCCCUACCCCAAGCCCUAACAUAGGCCAGGGCAAAGUCAAGACAUUUUUGAGGGGGUCGAAAUUAAAUUGUAUUUUUUAUGAUAGUAAAAAUGUAAUUUUAUCAUUUUAAUAGUUUAUAUAUUUAUAAUUUUUAAAGGAUUAAAUUAAAUUUUUAUCAUUUUUAGGAGAGCCAAACUGUAAUUUUGUCAUUAUAAAUUUAAAAUUUUAAGGGCCAUAAAUGGAAAUUUUCCAUUUUAGAGGUUGGUGCCAUAUAAAAAGAAAAUAAAAUAUAAAUAAAAAACAAAAAAACCAUGCAAGGCUUAGUCCUCAUUCAUUCUGUAGGUUAAUCUCUCCUUGCAGGACCUCAGGUCGAAUGAUUUAUUUAACCAUCAAAAUUUAUAAAAAAAUUUAUUUUAGCUUUUUUAAUUUAUUUAAUUUUUUGCUUUUUUAGCUUUUUUUACUUAUGUUUUCUAUCAAAUCGCCCUAAAAUUUAAUAGAAAGGUUAAUUUUUUUUUAAUUUUGCUGAUAUAGCAUACAUGUAGAUUAUCAUAUGAAUGGCAUAUCACCAUUUAAUUAAUUUUUUAAAAUUUAAAAAAAUAAAAAAUAUUUAAAAAUUAAUUAAAUACUGACAUAUUAUUCGCAUGGCAAUCUAUACUGCAUCAGUAAAAUGAAUAAAUAUUAAUUUUCUUAUUUAUUUUAAAGUGUUUUGACAAAAAAUUUAAAAGAAAACACAAACUUAAGAAAACUUGCAAUUAUUGUAGGCUCCAUUUUAUCAACACCCACCUUGUUGGAUUCAUAUGCAUCACUCAUUUAUGACCAAAUGAAAAGGUUAUAGAGAAAUUGCUUAGAAACCACCUUUAUUCUUCCCUGGAAAUUUGAUCUGUUUCUAGUUUCUUUCAGACGUAUUGAGCGAUCAAUUUUCUGAUUUUCAACACUACAUCCACAUAUUUUUUUCUCUCGCUCAUCUUCAUGUCGUCAUUACCUUCAACUUCUUCGUCCAAUUCUAGAAAGAAAUAUGAUGUUUUCUUGAGUUUUAGAGGUGAAGAUACCCGCACCAACUUUACCGAUCAUCUCUAUGAUGCUUUAAGUAGGAGUGGGAUCGUCACUUUCAGGGAUGAUCCAAAGCUGGAGGCCGGCGAAGAGAUCGCGCCUGAACUCUUUACAGCAAUUCAGCAAUCAUGGUGUUCGGUAAUCGUUUUUUCGCAAACUUAUGCCUUUUCAAGUUGGUGCUUGGAGGAGCUUGCUGAGAUUGUUAAACAACAUAACAACGACGGCCAUAUAGUGUUUCCAAUUUUUUACGAUGUUGAUCCAUCUGAUUUAAGAAAACAAAAAGAGAAAGUGGAAGAAGCCUUUGCUAGACAUGAAGAGAGAUACAAAGAAGAUAGGGAGAAGAUCCAAAGGUGGCGAAAUGCUUUAAUUCAAGUGGCUGGAAUCAAGGGAUGGCAUUUAAAUAACAGGUAACUCUUUCUUUUCUUCUCUAUUUUCUAUUUUUUGGGAUAUAUAUGUAUAAACUUUUUUCUUUCUUUCUAAUCCUAUGUGUUUAAUUGAAAAGUGUCUUGGUUCUUGUUUGCUUCCAAACUAUAUUAUGUUUCAUGAUUCAUUGAAAAAGAAAGUGCAUUUGGUAAUAUGAAAAAAUAAAUUAUUCAAAAAAUUAAAAUUUCUUUUAUUGUAGGCAUGAAUCGGAAUUUAUUAGAGAGGUUAUUAAGAAGAUAUCAGCAAAACUAUGUCACCCAGUUACUCAUAGUCACUUGGUUGGAAUGACUGAACGCUUGGAGGAUUUAUAUUUGAAAAUAAACAUUGGGGAAAAUGAUGUCCGCAUUAUAGGGAUUUGCGGAAUGGGUGGUAUCGGUAAAACAACACUCGCAAGACUUGCUUAUAAUCAAAUGUCACAUCAUUUUGAAAGUAAAAGCUUUAUUGCUGAUAUUCGAGAAGUUUCAGACAGAUGUGGAUUAGUUUCUUUACAGAAACAACUCCUUUCGGAGAUUUUUCAUGAUGAAUGCUUCAAAUUUUUCAAUGUUCAUGAAGGGAAUGAUAUAAUUAGUCAUAUGUUGUCUCGCAAAAAGGUUCUUAUUGUUCUUGAUGAUGUUGAUAACAUACAACACUUAAAAUGCUUGGUUGGAAGGCAUGAUUGGUUCGGAUUAGGGAGUAGAAUCAUUGUAACAACAAGAGAAGAACAUUUGCUUCGGUCUUGGCCAGUUGAUGAUAUGUAUGAGCCCACAACAUUGAAUCCCAAAGAAGCGCUUCAACUUUUCAGUCUGAAAGCUUUUCAUAGUGAUACAGUGCCGAAAGAUGAUUUCAUUGAGCUUUCUUACCAUGUUGUAAAAUAUGCUGGUGGGCUCCCGUUAGCUCUUGAAAUUUUGGGUUGCUUUUUAUGCGGUAGAGAUGCUACUCAAUGGAGAAGUGCAAUUGAAAGACUUAAAAGAGAUUCUAAUAAAAAAAUUCUCGAUAAACUUCGAAUCAGUUUUGAUGGACUGGAAGAAAGGGAGAAGAAUAUAUUUCUAGAUAUAGCAUGCUUCUUCAAUGGGGAGGAGAAAGAUUUUGUAAUGAAAGUAUUGGAUGGUUGUGAGUUUUUCCCAGAUAUUGGUAUUGAUGUUCUCAUUAAAAAAUCUCUCAUAAAAGUCGAUGAACACAAAUAUUUGUGGAUGCAUAACUUGUUGCAAGAAAUGGGAAGAAAAUUUGUUAGAGAAAAAUGUGUUGAUGAACCUGGAAAACGUUGCAGAUUGUGGGAGGAAAGAGACGUCCAUCAUGUCCUAACAAAAAAUACUGUAAGUCAUUUAACAAAAGUUACAUACUAUUUCUAUUUUGUUAUAUAAUAUCAAAUCAAUAUAUGAUAUAAAUCCAAAGCUUAGUCUAAUUGGUUGGUUGAUACAACUAUUCUUAAAAAGUGAUAUUUAGUAAUUUUGAGAUAAGUCAUGUUUGAUGUUUACAAAUAUUAAAAAGGAUUUGUAGAAAUAAAUAUUUAAUUUCAUUGCAUUACCCUCUUUAGAGCAUAAUAUUUGUAGAAAUUGUUUUACUUCAUUUAAAAUACUUUAUUUAUUAUAUUUAGAAUAUAAUAAUGCUAAAUAAAAAUGUAAGUUUUUAAAAUUUUGUUUUCUUAUUUUCUAUUCUUGAUUUUUCUUAGGGUACAAAAAUGAUUGAAGGUAUAAUCAUUGAUAAUAGAAGGUAAGAAGACACAUAAACUUAUAUUUAUGUGUACUGUAAAUAAUUAUUUUAUUUUUUAAAAUAUGAUAAGAAAUUAUAGCAAAACCUUUUACACUCAAUAUUUCAAUGUUUAAUUAUGAAAUUUAUCUAAUAGCGUAUUACUCUUUCAAAAGAAUCAAUAGAGAAAUGUAUGUCUUUUUGAAAUAUUAAUAGUAUAUCAGUGAAUCAGAUAAUUUUUAGAUAUUGAAUGUUUUUGUAUAUUAUGAAGCUCAUUUUCAUUUUGUUUUAUUCUUGAUUAUUAGGGAAUCGAGCAAGAUGCUCAACUUGAGUGUCGAUGCCUUCUCAAAAAUGAAAAAAUUGAGAUUGCUCAAAGUGCUUUGCCUAUCAAAUUGUGAUGAUCUCAAAUUUCUUUCUAAUGAGUUACGGCUUCUAGAUUGGAAAAGAUGCCCUUUAAGAUCGUUGCCUUCAAGCUUCCAACCGGACAACCUUGUUGCACUUCUUUUACCAUAUAGUCGCAUUCAACAACUGUGGAAGGGAAAUAGAGUAAGAAUUAACUCAUCUCAUCCUUGUAUUUUAGCUUAUUUUAAUAUAAAUGAUUAAACUUUGAUUAAGGUAAAAAAAAACAAUAAUAAGCAUUAUUAUAGUUUUCUCAUUUGUUUCUAAUUUAUUGUGAUCUUCAACAGCCGUUGUGUAAGUUGAAAAUGAUGAACCUUGNNNNNNNNNNNNNNNNNNNNNNNNNNNNNNNNNNNNNNNNNNNNNNNNNNNNNNNNNNNNNNNNNNNNNNNNNNNNNNNNNNNNNNNNNNNNNNNNNNNNACUUCACAACGGCAUCAAAUCUUGAAGUUCUAAUAUUGAAAGGUUGUACCAAAUUAGUGGAUGUUCAUCCAUCAAUCGCAGUACUUAAGAGCCUUAAAGUUUUGAAUUUAAGAGAUUGCAAAAGUCUUAGGAGUCUUCCGACCAUAAUUGGAAUGGAAUCUCUUGAAACAUUAAUUCUUUCGGGUUGCUCAAGUCUUGUAAGGUUUCCGGAGAUUGAUGGGAAAAUGGAACGUCUAAAAACUCUAGAUCUUUCCGGUUGUUAUAGAGUUGAAAAUUUAUCAGAGAAUUUGCAGCAUGCAAAGUUUUUGGAAGAGCUCGACUUGAGUGAAACAGCCAUAACAGAACUACCAUCCUUCAUUUUUCAAUUUAAAAAUCUUAAAGUUCUGUCUUUCAAUGGAUUCAAAAGAGUAAGGACAAAUUCCAUCGCUUCGAUGUUACCUUCAUUGUCAGGUUUGAGUUCAUUAAGAAGGCUAAGUCUAAUGGACUGCAAUCUUUGUGAAGGAGAUAUUCCACGUGAUAUUUCUGGUCUAUCCUCUUUGGAAGAACUUAAUCUUAGUGGUAACAAUUUCACCAGCAUACCUGCAUCUCUUACUCGACUCUCCAAGCUUGAAGAGCUUAUAUUGUCAAAUUGCAACAUGUGUACUCUUGGCGAAGCAGAUAUUCAUGGUCUAUCCUCUUUGAAACGGCUUUUUCUUAACGGUAACAAUUUCAUCACCGUUCCUUUGGCUCUGACUCAACUUUCCGAGCUUAAAUUGCUUGCAUUAUCAAAUUGCAUGAAGCUUAACUCGUUGCCUGAGCUACCAACAAGUAUAGUAGUUCUGAGUAUAGAUAGUUGUUCUUCACUUGAAGUAGUUGCAAGUCCAUCAACAGUAUGCAAGUUAGUGGAUUCGGCUGCUAUUAUAGCCUUUAACUGCUUCAAAUUGGCUGAGAAUAUCAACGCAUUAACACUGCUGAGAAAACAUCUUAAGGUCGAUUAUCUCUUUUUUCUGUCAUACUUGAGAAUUUAUGGUUUUAGUUACCAAACGACUUGUGUUCUAUUUUGCAGGCAUUUGCAAAUUCAAAAGAAAAGUUUGAUAUUAUUAUGCCCGGAACUGAAAUCCCAGGAUGGUUUAGCCAACAAAAAGGUGACUUCUUUAUUAAGAUUCCCUUACCUAUCAACCUUCAAGAGGAUUGUGAAUGGAUUGGAGUUGCUUGUUGCUGCAUUUUUGUCAAUAAUGAUGCUUCAAGGGAUGUGGGCUUUAUCGACUGUGGAGCGUUAAUGUAUGGUAGAAAUCGUCGACAGAUUGAGAGGAGAGGCUAUUUGGUGGAUAAACGAUUCGACAAGCCCAUAAUGAAAGAUCAUAUUUUUCUUCGUUAUUGGUCGCGUGAUAAGGUAUAUCCAUUUUCCUUGAAGGAUAAAUAUGGUGGCUGUGAAACCAAUAAUUUGCGGACAACAGAUUGCUUAGAUCAUAAACGUGAUGGGCUUCAUGUGUUUUUCAAUGGUCAUAGCCUUAAGGUGAAGAAGUGUGGUGUUAGAAUAGUGUAUGAGAAAGAUUUGGAAGAAAUAGAAGAGUUGCAGUGCCAUAUCACUCAAUCUUCACCAAAUUUUGAACACAUCCACCAACACACUGCUCAAAACAAUGGAUCAAUAGGUAGCACUUCUGACAUAAAACAAAAACGCAAUAUCUCCGAGGAAACGGAGGAAGAAGGGCUGCAACCAAAGCUGAUGCAAAAAAUUUUCAAUUUUAUAAUGGGCCAAUCAAGGAAGAAGCAUUAACUGUGGUAAACUACUUAACCAAUCUUUUAUUUAAAGUGAUCAAUCUAGACUUAUUUACGAUCCUUCUUACAUACCAAAAACUUAUAAAUCUUUUACUUAUAUUCAACAGGAGCUCAUAUCAUAGUUUAUAUAUAUCAUUUAAAAUUUUAGUUGCUUAUAAAUUCAUUCCUUUUUACAUAACUGAAAUGUGUAAAUUUUGAUUGGUUUCAUUUUUUAUUAAAAUUGUAUUUUCAUUAUAUAUACACUUACAUCUAUAUUUUAUUUAUAGGUUGAAAUAAAUAUAAUCAACUCGAGAUAGAAAUGUAGAGAAAAAUGGAUAGUUUCGGUGACAAAACAGGUAACAAUAAGGUGAAAUCCUUUAAUAAAGAUCAGAUCAUAAUUUGGACCGAGUUAAAAACCAUUUUAUUUUCAUUUGAGACUAACUUAUGUGUUGAAUUUAAUCAGUCAAAAUUGUUUUUAUAUACUUAAUAAUAUUACUGCAACUACUCCUAAUAAAAGUAUCAUUUUAAUUUCAUGGUUUGUAGUAGAAAUAAUAUUACUCCAACUCUUAAGUUUAUGUAUUUUUUUGUAAAGUAUUUAUGUUCAGACAUUUAUUUUUAAAACUUACUCAAGUAUGAAUAUAAAGUGUGCUAGAAAAUCUUUUACGUGUGAGAGACAUAUUCAUAUCAAAUAUAUUUUUUUUUAAAAUUCAAUAAAUUCAUUUUUUGUUCUUGUCUAAUUUUAGGGUUUAGAGAAAUAAAGAUAUGAUUUUUUACUGACAUGAGCAAGAUUUUCAACUGUAGUGUUUUUUGUGAUAUUAACAAAAUUUUCUUGAUUUGAGCUAAGUUAAUAUACUAGUGAUAGAGAAAGGAUUAUAUGAAACUGUAAUUCUACAUCAUUCCUAUACAUUUUCAAUAGGAGAAUGACAACUCAAAAUUUUAGUAUUUUUAGUUGAAUUUGAAUUUUUGGGGAGGAAAAAGCUGAAAAUCAAGAAAAAAAAUAUGUUUUGUUAUUCUCCUAUUAGAAGCUGGUAAGGAUGAUUUGGAAUCACAGUUUUAUAAAAUUUCUUCUCGCUAGUAAUAUAGAUGAUCUCAAUGCAACAAAAAUAACCUUGGUGUUUUAUGUUUGUCCCUAGGCUUAAUAGAAGUACGAAAGUUUGGUCAAAGGAUCAUGCAAGUGAGGGACCAACAAAAGUCUUCAAGUUGAAAUGAAAGCGGACACUUUAGCAAUAAUUAGUUGUUUUUUUACAUGUAAUGUAAAUUAUAGUAUUUUAAAUCAACUUUUUGAAUUUGUUGCUUGUACAAUGUAAAUUCAAAUAGUUAUUUAAUUGUAAUGUGAGUAAAACCUUUUAAAUUAGGCAUAAUGACAAAAAAGGUUCUUAGUGUUUAUAAAAUUUGACAAUUUAACCCUUAUUUUUUUAAGCAAUUAAGCUCUUAACAUUUUAUUUUGAGUCAAAUUAUGGAUUUUUUAAUGCAAAAUGCUUAUUGAACUGUUAAUAGUGUUGACUCGACAUGAAUAGUAAAUUCAUUCCUUUUUACAAAUUUUAGUCACUCAAUUCAUUCCUUUUUACAUAAAUGAAAUGUAUAUAUUUUGAUUGGUUUCACUUUUUUUUUUAAUUUUAAUUUUAUUGUAUAUAUAUAUAUAUUAACUUACAUCUAUAUUUUAUUGUAGGUUGAAGUAAAUCUAAUCAACUUAAUACUGAAAUAUGGAAAAAAAUGGAUAUCUUUUGUGAUGAAGCAUGCAAAAAUAAAGUGAAUCCUUUAAUAAGGAUUAAUCAUAAUUUCAUUUGAGUUAAAAAUCAUUUUAUUUUUAUUAGAGACUAAUUUAUGUGUUCAAUUUAAUCAGUCAAAAUUAUUUUUAUAUAUUGGGAAGAUUAAAUAUAAGUCUUUUAUAGUACUUAAUUAAAUAGGUUUAAUUCGUUCUAAUAAAAGUGACAUUUAAAUUUCAUGGCUUGAAGUACAAAUAAUAGUAUGCCAACUCUUUAGUUUAUAUUGUUUAUAAAGUAUUUAUAUUUAAACAUUUAUUUUUAACACUUAUUCAAACAUGAAAAUAAAGUAUGCUCUUUUAAUUAAUUGGAAAAUCCUUUUUGUGUGUGAGACUUAUUCAACCUUUUUUUUUUCUUUUAAUUCAAUAGAUUAAUUUUUUGUUCUUGUCUAAUUUCUUUUUUCUGUUCUUGUCAAUGGUUGUGUUUUCUGUAAUAUCAACAAAACUUUCUCAAUUUGAGGUAAUUAAGUUAAUAUACCAAUGAUAAUGAUGAUAUCAAUGCAACAAAAAUAAUCUUGGUGUUUUAUGUUUGUCCCCUAGACCGUUAGAAGCAUGGCUCAAAGGAUAAUGCAAGUAAGGAAUCGACAAAAGUCAAGUUGAAAUGGAAGUCAACACUUUCGCAUUUGGAUGAAUUUAGAAAAUUACGAUUUAAAAAAAUAGAAUAUGUUAUUAUAUAAUUUGUUAUUUUUUACUUGGAAUGUAAUGUAAAUUAUACUAUUUUAAAUGGGGUUUUUGAAAUUUUUUUUUGUAAAAUAUAAAUUUAAUUGUAAUGUUAAUAAAACCUUUUAAAUAGUAUACUGACAAAAAAAUGUUCUUAACAUUUAUAAGAUUUUAUUUUGAGUUAAAUUAUAAAUUUUUUUAAUGCAAAAUGCUUAUUAAACCGUUGACGUGAUAUGAAUAGUGAACUCUUUUCAAGGUUGGUCUCAAUUGGAUCAUCUUUCACAAUAGCCUUAUUUUAGUUUAUUAUGUUUUCUCAUUUGUUUCUAAUUUAUGAUGGUCUUCAAUUGCCCUUGUAUAAGUUGAAAUGCGGCCGAGAUGGGAUUGCAUGUGGGAUUCUCUGAUAGACUUUUUCAAUAGUCCUGGUCUACAAGCAAUGGUUGUUUUGAAUAAGUUGUUAUGCUUUCCAUUAUUUUAGGAGUUAGUUUUGCUUUUUACGUUAGUUGUAUAGCAUAUUUAAAGAGGCUAUUUGCUCCCUAAAGAAAAAUAAAUUUCCCAAAGUUAUUUUCUUUGAUCUGUUGCUCACACAACAGUGGUCAUAGAGCCAGGUUAAUUAACGAUAAACAAUAGUUUUUCCCCUCCUUUAUUCAACAGAAAUGGCCUCUGAUAGUUCUGUGCAACCAUCAAUUCCUCGCUUCGAUGGUCACUACGAUCAUCGGAGUAUGUUGAUGGAAAAUUUUCUCAAAUCCAAGGAGUAUUGGCAAGUUGUCUCUAUGGGAAUUUCGGAGUUGGCAGCAGACUAGAAAUUGACGCCUUGAAAUUGAAAGAUCUUAAGGCAAAAAAUUAUCUCUUUCAAGCGAUUGAACGUUCAACCUUGGGGACCAUCCUUUGCAAAGAUACGUCAAAGGAUAUUUGAGAUUCGAUGAAAAAGAAAUUCCAUGGAUCAACUAGAGCAAGGAGGCAGCAGCUUCAGGCACUUCGCUCAGAGUUUGAACUUCAUCGGAUGUAAUCUAGGGAGACCAUUUCAAACUUCUUCUUAAGAACGAUGGUUAUUAUCAGCAAGAUGAGAACAUUUGGAGAGAAAUUAGAUGAUGUGGUUGUAGUCGAAAAAAUUCUUCGCUCAUUGACACCAAAGUUCAACUAAGUGGUAUGUUCCAUUGAGGAAUCAAAAGAUAUUGAUUUUUCAUCCAUUGAUGAAUUGCAAGGUUCUUUGCUGGUUCAUGAAAGAAAAUUGCAGCAGCAAGAUAAUGUAGAAUCAGCAUUAAAAAUUUCAUCAGAUCAUUUGGUUAAAGGCAAUGGAGGACGCAGAUCGAAUAGCCACAAUGACAAAAGUCAAGGCAGAGGUCAUAGCAGAGGUCGUGGUAGAGGAAACUAUGGCUAUCGACAGAAUUCAAGAAACCAAUCUUAGGAAAGAGGGAGAAGACAUGGCAGUUACCGAACAUAGUCAACAGACAAAUCAAAUGUUGAGUGCUAUCGUUGUCACAAGUAUGGUCACUACAAAUCAGAAUGCCGGACCACUUUCUUAGAUACAUAUGGGGAAGAAUCCAAUUUUAUUGGAAAAGAAGGUGAGCAAGAUGAAGAGAUAUCAUUGUUGAUGGUAUGUCAUGCAAAAGAACCUACCAACAAGCAUUUGUGGUAUUUAGACACCGGAUGCAGUAAUCACAUGAGUAGAGAUAAGUCAAUUUUUUUAACUUUUGAUGAAUCAUUCAAAGAUGAUGUGAAGUUUGGCAAUGAUAUGAAGAUCUCUGUGAUGGGUAAAAGACAGGUAACUAUUCUAAAUAAAAGGAAUGUUACUCAAAUCAUUUCUAAUGUUCUUUAUGUCCCAGAUUUAAAAACCAAUUUGUUAAGUAUUGGUUAGUUGCAAGAGAGGGGUUACGAAAUUAAAAUUAAAAAUGGGAUGUGUCGAGUUCAAGAUGGAAAAUCAGGAUUAAUUGCUCAAGUUGCAAUGACAGCAAAUCGGAUGUUUCUGAUCUACCUCAAUCAUUUUACUCAGUCAUGUUUUGCAGCAAACUUAUCUGAUCCAAUGCAGCUAUGGCAUUUUCGUUACAGUCAUCUCGGUUUUGGAGGCUUACAAACGCUUCAGCGAAAAAACACGGUAGCUGGCCUCCCACAAUUUUCUUGUCCUGCAUAUGUAUGCGAGGAAUGUGUGCUCAGUAAGCAACAUCGAGAACCAUUUCUAAAAGGAAAGAUUGAAAGAGCGAGAAACCUAUUGGAGAUAGUGCAUUCUGAUAUUUGUGGGCCAAUUAAUCCCAUUUCUAAUGGAGGUAAACGCUAUCUUAUCACCUUUAUAGAUGAUAUGAGUAGAAAAACAUGGGAUGAUUUUUUACAGGAAAAAUCUGAAGCUUUAAUUACUUUUAAAAGAUAUAAAGCAUUUGUGGAAAAAGAAGCAGGUCAUUCUAUACAAGUAUUGCGGACUGAUCAUGGAGGAGAAUAUAAUUUGCAUGAAUUCACCCAAUUUUGUGAAGAGCAUGGAAUUAAAAGAAAAUUGACAGCAGCCUAUACACCUCAACAGAAUGGUGUAUCCGAAAGAAAGAAUCGAACCUUUUUCAACAUGGUGUGAAGUUUAUUACAGUGAAGCAGAGUUCCUAGGACAUUUUGGCCAGAAGCAGUCAACUAGAGCAUUCACAUUCUGAAUAGGAGUCCAACUUUUACUGUUCACAAUAUGAGACCGAAAGAAGCAUGGAGCGAAAGAAGACCCGAUGUCAGUCAUUUCAGAAUCUUUGGGUGUAUUGCUUAUGCACAUGUCCCUGAUAAAAAAAGAACAAAGUUAGAAGACAAAGAAGAAACACCAACAGUUCAAAAGAAUGUUCCAGCAGAUUUUGAUGAAGAGCUACAUGUUGAGGAUAAUUUGAAGCCAUCACAUGAGCGAGAAACAAUUCAAAAACCUGAAACUGUAACAGAGCUAACGCCAUCAUGUAUAAGAAGAAGGCCUACUUGGAUGAGGGAUUAUGAAGUCCCAAGAAUUGAUUAAUUUGAGGAUCCACUCACCUAUUUUAUUUUUUUUCAAAUUGUGAUCCUGUGUUUUUUGAAGAGGCGGUUAAACAAUCAAAAUGGAAGAGAGCAAUGGAUGAUGAAAUUGUAGCUAUUGAAAGAAAACAAAACUUGGGAGUUAAUUGAGCUUCCAAAGGGACAUAAAACCAUUGAUGUAAAGUGGGUUUAUAAAACGAAACUGAAGGAAACUGGUGAAGUUGACAAAUGCAAAGCAUGCUUGGUAACGUAAGGUUAUAGUCAGGAGUUUGGCAUCGAUUACAAGGAGAUAUUCGCUCCAGUUGCUAGGCAUGACACAAUCAGAUUGGUGAUUACAUUGGCUGCUCAAAAUUCUUGGUCGGUUUUCUAACUAGAUGUCAAGUCGGCAUUCUUGCAUGGAGACUUGAAUGAACAGGUAUUUGUUAAACAACUUCCUGGCUAUAUUAAGAUUGGAGAAGAGCAUAAAGUAUAUAAAUUAAAAAAGGCUUUGUACGGACUCAAACAAGCCCCUCGACCAUGGUAUAGUUGUAUUGCGGCUUAUUUUCUCCAAAACGGUUUUAAGAAGUGUCCUUAUAAGCAUACUUUUUUUGUGAAAAUAGAAAAUGACGGGAAACAACUGUUGAUGGUUUGCUUAUAUGUCAAUGAUUUGAUAUUUACCGGGUAUGAUCAGGUUCUGUUUGAUAAGUUUAAAAAAUCCAUGAUGGUUGAAUUUGACAUGUCAGAUCUUGGAAGAUUGUAUUAUUUUUUGGGUAUAGAGGUUGCACAAUCAGAUAUAGGUAUUUUUAUUUCUCAAAGGAAGUAUGUGCAGGAGAUUCUAAAGAGGUUUCAAAUGGCGGACUGCAAUCCGGUUGGUACACCAGUAGAGACAAGUUUAAAGUUGGUGAAAGAUAAUAAUGGAAGAGAUGUCGAUAAUACUUUAUACAAAAAAAUCGUGGAAAGUCUAAUGUAUCUCACUGCGACCAGACUAAAUAUAACAUAUGCUGUAAAUCUUAUUUGCAGAUUCAUGGAAUGUCCAAAGGAAAUGCAUCUUCAAGCAAUAAAAAGAAUCUUUAGAUAUUUGUAGGGUAUAAUCGACUACGGGAUCUUGUACAAGAAGGGAGAAAAAUCAGCCUUGAUUGGGUUUACUGAUAGUGACUAUGCAAGAGACCAGGAUAAUAGGAAAAGUACAUCUAGUUACGUAUUUAUGUUCGGAACAGGAGCUGUUUCAUGGUCAUCACGAAAGCAACCAAUUGUCACUCUAUCAACAACUGAAGCAGAACUUGUAGCUGCAUCAACAUGUGUCUGCCAAGCCAUUGGGAUGAGAAAGCCUCUUGAGGAAGUUCAUUUCAAGCAAAAGCGGCCUACUCUUAUCUACUGUGAUAAUAGUUCAACCACAAAGCUAUCCAAGAAUCCUAUUUUACAUGGGAGAAGCAAGAAUAUUGAUGUCCGAUAUCAUUUCUUGAGAGAUCGUGUGAAUAAUGAAGAGAUCAAUAUGAUAUAUUGCAAAAGUGAAUAUCAAAUCACAGAUAUAUUUACAAAAGCCCUCAAACUUGCAACAUUUCAAAAGCUACGACAAAUGCAGGAAGUUAGCAAGAUUUUUUAGUUUAAACUGAUAUUAGAGAUUAAUAUUAGUUUAAGGAAGGGUUUGUUAGACUUUUUCAAUAGUCCUGGUCUACAAGCAGUAGUUGUUUUGAAUAAGUUGUUAUGCUUUCCAUUAUUUUAGGAGUUAGUUUUGCUUUUUACGUUAAUUGUAUAGCCUAUUUAAAGAGCCUAUUUGCUCCCUGAAUUGAAAAUAAUUUAUUUUUCUUCCUAAAGUUAUUUUUUUAUUUGUUGCUUACACAACAUUCUCUAGGGAGGAGAUCGAACGAGACUCAUUAUAUGUGAUUCGGAAGCUGCAAACAAAGGGAGUUGAAAGGUCAGUGAUAGGAGCCUAUAUCUCAAAUAGAGUGGUAUCAAAUCUGUGUCUUUAAACAUGUGCCAAAACAAGCAAACGGAGUUGCUCAUCUAUUGGCUACAGAGGGAUUAAAGAGAGAUGAAGAAACUUAUCUUGUUGGUGCGGUUCCUUCAUAAGCGAAAGUGGUAGUGGAAGAGGACCAUCAAUAGUUGGGCUCACUUUGUCCAGCAGGUUGAAGAUCCACUGCUUAGAAAGAAGAUAAAAUGGGAUUUUACUGUAGGCAAACAGAUGGAAGAAUAGAUGGACUAUUGGGUUUCUCAGUUUUAACGGAGAAUAGAUCGGAUAUAUUAUUAACUUUAAAUUUAAUUAUUGAAUUGAGUUCAAGCUUGAACACAUAUGAAUUUAAUCGAAUUCAAGUUGAAUGUUAAAUAUGAAAAUUUAUUUUUACUUAUCCAAAAAGUAGAAUACUAAAAUUUCAGAGGGUGAAAUGUUUACAAAUAUCUAUAGUAUACAUUUGUAAUUACCCAUGCUAUAAAAAGUUCUUGUUGACUUGAUCACUCAGACUCACAUUAACCUCUAUCAGCCUCAUUCCCACUACUCCUUUACUUUUCCCAAGUAAUAUAAAGUGUAAUAAAAAGUAGGUCUCUCAAUUGAGUGGGCUGAAUCUAUAUAGAUGUUAAUUCAAUUUAGAUUUGAGUUAUUUUCUAUUUGAGUUAAAUUUUUAUGUAAUAGUUCAAACUAAUUCGAAAUUAAAUCAUUUUAGAUAUGAAAUUUAAACAUUUUAGGUUUAAUUAUUAUGGGUUAUGAAAUUUAUAGAUGAUUAUGAAUUAUUUUGGGUUUGACGAAAAUAUUACAUAAAUGUCAUUCUUAGAAUUAACUUCAUGGUGAAUUGAAGGUCACAAUCUGGAUUUGUUCAUAUUUUAAGGUUACAUUGGUAUUCUCCUCACCUAAUAUACUAAACAACCUACAGUGUAAAGAGUGUAUUUGAUGGUCACUAAACUAACUAUAAAUACAAUGAAGGCAAGCGCACCUAUCGAACAAUAGUAUAGUUAUAGUGAGUAGGGAAUAUCGUAUCCAUGAGGACUAAAAGUACUAGUAAUUACCUUUUUUAUUAUUUAGCCGACUAAUUGGAGUGAUUGUUUUUAAUCUAAAAUUACUAAACUAAUCCAACUAAGAACGCAACAGAGAAUGAUAUAAGAAAAAUAAUCAAAGAUUACCAAUGAGAUAGACAGUACCCAGGAAAGAAUCCACCUAGACUUCACCUAUUAUUCUGAAUCUGAAUUAAAUAAUUUAUUCACUUGUGUCUUGAUCCAUAAAAAUCCCUAAAUUAUGUUAAUAUCUCUUUCAAGAGUAAGAACAACUGACUCUAGGUUGAUUAAUUGAAAUCUCUUUCUAAUUAAAACCCCUAUUGUCGCAUUAACUCGGUUUAUGGAUUCCACUAUUAGAUUUGACUCUAAUCUUGUAGAUUUAUGUCGUCCUAUUUCUAUGAUUGCAUGCAACUCCACUCAAUUAUGCUAAAUCUACUCUUAAACAUGAACUUUUUCUCCACUGAAAUAAGCACAUUAAACAUAAAUUAAUAUCCUAAAAAUAUUAAAACAUGAAAUAAUCAUACAUAAUUGAGAACAAGAAUCAAGUAUUUAUCGCGUAAAAACAGAAAUUAAAUAAUAAGAUUCAUCAUAGGUUUCAUCCUCCCUAGGUAUCUAGGGAAUUUAGUUUAUAAUCCUGAAUAAAAACAUCUCAGAGUUAGGAUAACAACAAGACAUAAAGCAACUCAAUAAAACUUUGAGGGAAAUUAAAUGGAGAUCUUCAAUCUUGAGGAAGAUCCGCUUCUGAGUUGAUUUCGAUGGCGUUCUUCGAGUCUUUUCUUCAAUCUUCUCUGAGUGCCCCCUUAAGUCUUCUUCUAAUUGGUAUUUAUAGACUUUAGAAUGCUCAAAAUGCCUAAAAACUGGGUUUUUCUGUGUAUUUGGGAAGUAGGGUGCGAUAUCGACACGGGCUGGAACAUGGGCGUGUGGUUAGCCCGUGUGGCUCACACGGGCAUGUGGCCAGCCCAUGUGGAAAUUCCCAGGCCAUGUGGAUCCUGGAAACAACUCUAUUUGUCUGAUUUUUUACUCCCAAAUGCUUUCCUAAGUAUAGAAACAUGAAUUUAAAAGAUUAGGAGCAUCAAAUUCACUAAUUUACAUAAUUAAUUAUCCAAAAACACAUUAAGAAUGAGAUUAAAAUAUGUUACUUUUAUAGCUUAUCAGUAUUCAAAAUUAUAUUCUAAUUAAGAUACCCUUACCUAUCAACAUUCAGAAAGAUAGUCAAUGGAUUGGAGUUGCUUCUUGCUGUAUUUUUGACAAUGAUGCUUCAGGACAUUCUAUCGGUUGUGGAGGAUUUAUUUUUCAAGGUAGAAAUUGUCGAUAGCUUGGUUUGAGAUGCUCGUUCUUGGGCAAAGGAAUAAUGAAAUGUCACAUUUUGCUUCAUUAUUGGUCGCGUGAUAAACUAUAUCCAAUUUCUUUAGAGGAUAAAUAUGGUGACUAUGAAUUCAAUAAUUUAUUGUCAAUAGAUUGCUUAGAUCAAAAUUGCGAUAAGCCUGGGAUGUGUUUCAUAUAUGCAUAUGAUUGCAAUUUUGACGUAAAUAAGUGUGGUGUUAGAAUAGUGUAUAAGUGUGUUGUUGAAAGCACUAAAAAUAAUCUAUCCCUAUAAUAAAAAGAAUAGUAUAAGGGAAGUAGGGUCAAAUCCUCAGGGACUGGAUUGCUAAAACUUCUUAUUCCUCGAAAUCCUAGGCACAGUCAUGCCCGAGAAAAAGCAGCGUACAUAAUCCUUCUCAUGACAGAAUAAGCCAGUUAGUUAUAGUGGAAGAGGAUGCCUAUGACCACCAGCUCCACUUAGAUUUUAGACUUAUGAUUUAAAGGAACCUGACUCUAGCCAACCGUCACUUUCGUGGGACCAUCUUACACUAGAUCAUCGUUUCUCAAUGGCGAAUGCCACGCCAUUUCGUCUCUUGGGCUCAACAACCUCUGACGCAGUAAGUUAACAAACCGACUGUGCAACCUUCCCAAAAUAUACAAAGCGGCUACCUUUGCACAAGAUAAAAAGAUCAAUUUUGGAAGGUCAUGGACGAAAGCGUCAGUCCCAUAAUACAGAGAAGCGAUGAAUACUCGUUGAGAAUGUUAAGUGCGGGUUCUAAGCCUCAUGAACCUUUUUUGAGGAAUCUCAACAACCUUUGGCUAGAUGAAUUUAGUGGCUCAUGCUUUUCGGGAAAAAGAAAUAAGUUUAAUGGAAUGGAAUUUUAUUGGGAAAUAAAAUAAAAGGAACAAAAAGGCUAGAACCUUAGGGGAAAUGAGUGUUUUACAAGAAUUGAUGAGUGAAUAAUUAUGUCACUCCAUUCCCUAUUUAUAGUAAAUAGAAAACCUAAUUUGUUCCUAUUUAAACUCUAAAAGAUAAAUAAAGAUAAAAGUUGAAUUUAGAUCUAAAUAAUAAUCCUAAAUUUUUAAUUUAGAUUUAGGUAGCACUUCUCACAUAAAACGAAAACGUAACAUCUAUGAGGAAGCGAAGGAAGAAGGGCCCCAACAAAACGGAUGCAAAAAAAAUUUAUUUUUAUAAUGAGCCAACUUUGUCCUAUUAGUUUUUUUACACAUCUAUGUAAACUUAUUUGCUUAUGAGAUAUAAUCCUUCUUAUAUAUAAAAAAUUUUUAAAUUUUUUAUUUAUACACAUAUUCAACAUGAGCUCAUAUUCUAUGCAUAUCCCAAAUGUUGAUAACAUAUGAUUUUUCUAUUUUUAAAAAAUUUAUGUAUUUUAAUAUUAUAUAAUUUUUUAAAUUAUGAUUGACUUUUUUUGGGUAAACUACAAAUAUAGUCACUUUUGUUUCACUCAGAUUACAUUUUAGUCACUUAUAUUUGAAAUGUUAUGUUUUAGUCACUUGCGUAUCGUUUUGUUACAAAGUGGUCACUCUACCAUUAAGCUCCGUUACCUCCCUAACGGCAAUCCUACGUGGCAGUCCAAAUGGGUUUUAAAUGCCAACUUGGAUGUCUAAUUGGUACGACAAUAGGUUUUUAAUUAAAUAAAUUUAAUUAAUUAAAAAUUUUAAAUUAAUUACAUGUUGAACUGGAAAAGAAAAAUCAUUCAUCUCUUUUUUCUUUUUAGUUUUCCCUUUCAUUUUAACUGAAAAAAUUAUUCUCAUCCUAGUUGGAAAUCCUAGUUGGAAAUCUAAGUUGUCAUUUAAAACCUAUUUGGGUUGCCACGUAGGAUUGUCACUAGGGAGAUAACGGAACUUAACUGAAGAGUGACUACUUCGUAACAAAACGAUAACGUAAGUGGCUAAAACGUAGCAUUUCAAACAUAAAUGACUAAAAUGUAAUUUGCGGCAAAUAAAAGUGACCAUUUUUAUAGUUUACUUUUUUUUGAAUUUUAGAGUUUAGGUUCAUUUUGUGAACUCUUUCUUGGAAUCUUCGUGGAGAGAACAUUUAUCAUCCCCCAAUUUCCACACCUACGAGCUUGAGGGCAAUGAGGUUGUUGUUUUGGGAGGUUCAAAGGUGAGGGGGAGCUGUUUGGGAUGGCGGUCGGUAAUGGAAGAUGAGAGUGAUGAAGCCCGGGUGUACUGGUGAUGUUGGUGGUGAAGAUGGGAGCCUCGAGUGAUAGAGAGAGAAUGGUGAAAAGGCCCCUGGGUUAGCUCAGAGAUGAAAUUUGCUGCUAUUGCUGCCUCUAAUUUCCACCCCUAUGCUCAUAUACUUGCUUUUCUAGUUUCUUUGUGGGUAUUGGACGAUAUAUUUUCUGAUUUUUAACACCAGAUUGAGAUAUUCUUCUCCUUUCAUACAUACUCAUGUUGUCCUUACCUUCAACUUCUUCCUCCAUUUCUAAAAAGAAAUAUGAUGUUUUCUUGAGUUUUAGUGGUGAAGAUACUCGCAACAACUUCACAGAUCAUGUUUAUGAUGCUACAACUAAUAGAAAAGUCAACAAUAUUAAUUAUAUGUCUAACUAAUAACAUUAUAAAAAUAUAUGAUUAAAUUAGGUUAGAAAUUAAAUCUUAAAUUUAGGCAUAAUUAAAAAAAAAAACUAAAAUUGAAAUUCUAACAUUUUCUUAUAAUGUAAAAGAAACAAUAUCCUAUACAUUAAAUUAAUAAAUUGUAUUCAUACAUAAAAUUUUAUGAUACUGAGUAGAUAUAAGUUAUUUUAGUCUGCACCUAAUGAACAUUUUAGAUGCUUCAAAUAGAACUUAAUCAUAUAAAAGGCAAAAUGUGAGGGACCGAAUUUAAAAUAACGCAUUGUCCUCCCUGACAGGUGUCUCCAAAUACUUCUUUAAUAUAUAGUUAUAUAGACAAUUAUAUGAUUAUGUAAAUGAAAGUAAAAGACAAACCGUCCAACACUCUACUUAUUACUUAGAAUUAUUGUAGGCUCCAUUUUGUCUACACCCACCUUCUUGGAUUCUUCCUGGAAAGAACAUGCAUCACCCAAUGUCCACACCUACUCGUAUUCAUUUCGAAAAUGAAAAGGUUAAAAAGAUUAAAAGAAAUUGCUUAGAAACUUCCUUUAUUCUUCCCUGAAAUUUUCAUCUGUUUUUCUCAAUCUUCACUUUCAUAUACUUACUGUUUCUAAUUUCUUUCUGGCGUAUUGAGCGAUCAAUUUUCUGAUUUUGAACACUACAUCCACAUAUGUAUUUUUCUUCUCAAACAUCGUCAUGUUGUCAUUACCUUCAUCUUCCUCAUACAUUUCUAGAAAGAAAUAUGAUGUUUUCUUGAGUUUUAGAGGUGAAGAUACUCGCAAAAACUUCACCGAUCAUCUCUAUGCUGCUCUAAAGAGGAGUGGGAUCGUCACUUUCAGGGAUGAUCCCAAGCUGGAGGCCGGUGAAGAGAUCGCGCCAGAACUCUUUAAAGCAAUUCAGCAAUCAUGGUGCUCGGUAAUUGUUUUUUCAGAAACUUAUGCCUUUUCAAGUUGGUGCUUGGAGGAGCUUGCUGAGAUUGUUCAACAACAUAACAACGACGGCCAUAAAGUGUUUCCAAUUUUUUACGAUGUUGAUCCAUCUGAUUUAAGAAAACAAAAAGGGAAAGUGGAAGAAGCCUUUGCCAGACAUGAAGAGAGAUACAAAGAAGAAAGUGAGAAGAUCCAAAGGUGGCGAAAUGCUUUAAUUCAAGUGGCUGCAAUCAAGGGAUGGCAUUUAAAUAACAGGUAAUUCUUUCUUUUCUUCUCUAUUUUCUAGUUUUUUGGAUAUAUAUAUAUAUAUAUAUAUAUGUAUGUGUAACUAUUUUUUUUUUCCUAAUCCUAUGUGUUUAAUUGAAAAGUGUCAUAUUUAGCAAAUUUUGUCUUCUGGCUCCGCAACAGAUCUUGCUUUCUUAUUCUUGGUUCUUGUUUGCUUCCAAACUAUAUUAUGUUUCAUGAUUCAUUGAAAAGAAAAGUGCAUUCGAAACAUAUCAACAAAAUUUUACUCAAAACAUUAAAAUUUCUUUUUUUUAGGCAUGAAUCAGAAAUUAUUAGAGACAUUGUUAAGAAGAUAUCAGCAAAACCAUGUCAGACAUAUCCAGUUACUCAUAGCGACUUGGUUGGUAUUAGUGAACGCUUGGAGGAUUUGUAUUUGAAAAUAAACAUUGGGGAAGAUGAUGUCCGCGUUAUAGGAAUUUGCGGAAUGGGUGGCAUCGGUAAAACGACACUCGCAAGAGUUGCUUACACUCAAAUGUCACCUCAUUUUGAAGGUAAAAGCUUUAUUUCUGAUAUUCGAGAAGUUUCAGACAAAUGCGGACUAGUUUCUUUACAGAAACAACUUCUUUCACAGAUCUUUCAUGGUGAAUGCUUCAACUUUUUCGAUGUUCAUGAAGGGAGUGACAUAAUUAGCCAUAGGUUGUCUCACAAAAAGGUUCUUGUUGUUCUUGAUAAUGUUGAUAACAUACAACACUUAAAAUGCUUGGUAGGAAGGCACGAUUGGUUCGGAUUAGGAAGUAGAAUCGUUGUAACAACAAGAGAAGAACAUUUGCUUCGGUCUUGGCCAGUUGAUGAUAUGUAUGAGCCCAAAACAUUGAAUCCCAAAGAUGCACUUCAACUUUUCAGUCUGAAAGCUUUUCAUAGUGAUACAGUGCAGAAAGAUGAUUUCAUUGAGCUUUCUGAACAUGUUGUAAAUUAUGCUGGUGGACUCCCUUUAGCUCUUGAAGUUUUGGGCUCCUUUUUGUGCGGUAGAGAUGCGACUCAAUGGAGAAGUGCGAUUGAAAGACUUAAAAGAGAUUCUGAUAAAGAAAUUCUCAAUAAACUUCGAAUCAGUUUUGAUGGACUGGAAGAAAGGGAGAAGGAUAUAUUUUUAGAUAUAGCAUGCUUCUUCAAUGGGGAGAGGAAAGAUUUUGUAAUAAAAGUAUUAGAUGGUUGUGAGUUUUUUCCUGAUAUCGGAAUUGAUGUUCUCAUUAAAAAAUCUCUCGUAAAAGUCGAUAAAUACAACAGAUAUUUGAAGAUGCAUGAAUUGUUGCAAGAAAUGGGAAGAACAAUUGUUAAAGAAAAAUGUGUUGAUGAACCUGGAAAACGUUGCAGAUUGUGGGAGGAAAGGGACGUCCAUCAUGUCCUAACAAAAUACACUGUAAGUCAUUCAAUAAAAGUUACAUACUAUUUCUUUUUUAUCCUACAUUAUUCACCAUUUAUUUUAUUUUCUUAUUGUCUGUUGUUGAUCUUUUUUAGGCUACAGAAAUGAUUAAAGGCAUAAUAUCGAUAAUAAAAGGUAAGAAGAUACACAUAAACUUAUAUCUAUGUGUACUGUAAAUAAUUAUUAUUUUUAAAUAUGAUAAAAAAAAUAUAGCAAAACUUUUGACAUUCAAUAUUUCAAUGUUUAAUUAUGAAAUUUAUCUAGCAACAUAUUUACUCUUUCAAAAGAAUCAAAAGAGAAAUGUAUGUAUUUUUGAAAUAUUAAUGGUAUAUUUUUUUGUGAAAAUUAAUGGUAUAUAUUUAAUGUACUAAAAGUGUAUAUCAACGAAUUAGAUUAUAACAUGUCAUCGAAAUUUUUUUAAUGAAAAUAGUUUCAUUUUUAAUUAUGUGUCAUUGUUUGGUUCAUUAACUUGUAAAUUAUGCUUUGUUUGCGGACCGAAUAUAAAUCAACAUAUUAAUUCAAUUUUUUAGGAUUAGGUAAUUUAACAUCGGAUGGGAUUAUUAGAUAUAAGUAUCUCUUUAAUAUGGCUAUGUUAAAAAAAUAUAUUUAAAAAUUGUUUUUAUUCACAUAUUUAAAAGGUUCUUAAAGGAUCAUAUCUUAAUACCCAUAUACGAAUAUGCAUUAGAUAUAAGUAUUGGAUACGAGUACUUAAAAAACAAUAUUGAUGUAACAUUUCUUUUAGAUAUUGAAUGUUUUUGUAUAUUUUGAAGCUCAUUUUUGUUUUGCUCAUGGAUAUUAGGGAAUCGAACAAGAUACUCAAUUUGAGUGUGGAUACCUUCUUGAAGAUGAAAAAAUUGAGAUUGCUUAAAGUGCUUUGCCUUUCAAAUUGUGAUGAUGAUCUCAAAUAUCUUUCUAAUGACCUACGACUUUUAGAUUGGACAGGAUACCCUUUAAGAAACUUGCCUUCAAGCUUUCAACCGGAUAACCUUGUCGCACUUCUUUUACCAUAUAGUCACAUUCAACAACUAUGGAAGGGAAAUAGAGUAAGAAUUAACUCAUCUUAUCCUUGUGUUUUAGCUUAUUUUAAUAUAAAUUAUUAAACUUUGAUUAAGGUAAAACAAAAAAACAAAAAUGAGCAUUAUUAUGUUUUCUCAUUUGUUUCUAAUUUAUUAUGGUCUUCAACAGCCCUUGUUUAACUUGAAAAUAAUGAACCUCAGAGGGUCUCAAAACCUGAUCAAGACACCAGACUUCACAACAGCAUCAAAUCUUGAGGUUUUGAUUUUGGAAGGUUGUACCAAAUUAGUGGAUGUUCAUCCAUCAAUCGGGGUGCUUAGGAGCCUUAAACUUUUGAAUUUAAGAGAUUGCAAAAGUCUUAGGACUCUUCCAACCAAAACUGGAAUGGAAUCUCUUGAAACAUUAAUUCUUUCGGGUUGCUCAAAUCUUGUAAGGUUUCCGGAUGUUGAAGGGAAAAUGGAACGCCUAAAAACUCUAGAUCUUUCCGGUUGUUAUAGAGUGGAAAAUUUAUCGGAGAAUUUGCAGCAAGCAAAGUUUUUGGAAGAGCUCGACUUGAGUGAAACAGCCAUAACAGAACCACCAUCCUUCAUUUUUCAAUUUAAAAAUCUUAAAGUUCUGUCUUUCAAUGGGCGCAAGGGACCAUCAUAUAAGUUACUACCAAAUUUGCCUUCUCUUGUCAAGGUAAUCCAAGGAAGAAGGACGAAUCCCAUGGCUCGGAUGUUGCCUUUGUUGUCAGGUUUGAGUUCAUUAAGAGAGUUGAAUCUAAGGGACUGCAAUCUUUGUGAAGGAGAUAUUCCACCUGAUAUUUCUGGUCUAUCCUGUUUGGAAGAACUUGAACUUAGCGGUAACAAUUUCAUCAGCAUACCUGCAUCUCUUACUCGACUCUCCAAGCUUAAAGAGCUUAUAUUGUCAAAUUGCAACAUGUGCACUCUUGGUGAAGCAGAUAUUCGUAGUGAUCUUUCUGGUCUAUACUCUUUGCUACGUCUUGAUCUUAGUGGUAAGAAUUUCAUCACCCUUCCUUUGGCUCUUACUCAACUUUCCAGGCUCAAAUUGCUUAAAUUGUCAGGUUGCAAGAUGCUUAAAUCAUUGCCUGAGCUACCAACAAGUAUAAGAUAUAUGAUAAUAGAUGAUUGUUCUUCACUUGAAGUAGUUGCAAGUCCAUCAAAAGUAUGCAAUUUAGCGGGUGGUGAUGAAAUUAGUGCCAUUAACUGCUUCAAAUUGGCUGAGAAAAUCAAUGCAUUAACACUGCUGAAAGAACAUAUUAAGGUCAAUUAAUCUAUUUUUUCUCCCUUAGAAAAUCUCAUACUUGAGAAUUUAUGGUUUUAGUUACCAAACGACUUGUGUUUAAUUUUGCAGGCGGUUCGAUAUCCAAGAGAUUGUUUUCAUAGUAGCAUCGUUGAUAUUAUGAUGCCCGGAAGUGAAAUCCCAGAAUGGUUUAGCCAACAAAAAAGUGACUCUUCAAUUAAGAUACCCCUACCUAUCAACCUUCGGAAAGAUAGUCAAUGGAUUGGAGUUGCUUGUUGCUGCAUUUUUGUCGAUAAUGGUGCUUCAAGGAAUAAGAUGCUUUACUGUGAUGGAUCUAUUUUUCGAGGUAGAAAUUGUCGACGAAUUUUUUGGAGCCUCGGGUGGGUAGGUCGAAGCUUUCACAAGCUCAUAAUGAAAGAUCACCUUUUUCUUCGUUAUUUUCUGCGUGAUGAAUUAUAUCCAAUUUCCUUGGAGGAUAAAUAUGGUGACUGUGAAACCAAUAAUUUAUGGACAGCAGAUUGCUUAGAUCAAACAGGCGAUAAGCUUCAGUUGUGUUUCAAUUCCAAAUUUGAACCAAAUGACCGUUGUGUUAAGGUGAAGAAGUGUGGUGUUAGAAUAGUGUAUGAGAAAGAUUUGGAAGAAAUGAAAGAGUUGCAGUGCCAUACCACUCAAUCUUCUCCAAAUUUUGAACACAUCCACCAACACUCUGCUCAAAACCAUGGAUCAGUAGGUAGCACUUCUCACAUGAAACGAAAAAUCAAGAGAGAAGCAUUAACUGUGGUAAACUACUUAACCAACUUUGUCCUAUUAAUUUUUUUUUUACACAUCUUGUAUUUCAUUUGAACAAUUAUUCUAGACUUGUUUUGCAUAUGCGAUAUGAUCCUUCCAUUAUAUGCCAAAACAUUUUAAAAUUUUAGCUACUUAUUUUUAUUGGAGAUCAACUUAUGUAUUCAAUUUAAUCAAUCAAAACUGUUUUUAUAUAUUUAGAAGAUUAAUUAUAAAUAGUUAAUAGUACUUAAAUAGAUUUAAUUCCUUCUAAUAAAGUAUCAUUUAAAUUUGAUGGCUUGAAGUACAAAUAACAUUAUUCCAACUCUUCAGUUUAUAUUUUUUUAGACAUCUAUGUAAACUUAUUUGCUUAUGAGAUAUAAUCCUUCUUAUAUAUAAAAAAUUUUUAAAUUUUUUAUUUAUACACAUAUUCAACAUGAGCUCAUAUUCUAUGCAUAUCCUAAAUGUUGAUAACAUAGUAUUUUUAGACCAUUUAAAAUUCUUCUUUAUGUUUAUGAUUUUUCUAUUUUUAAAAAAUUUAUGUAUUUUAAUAUUAUAUAAUUUUUUAAAUUAUGAUUGACUUUUUUUGGGUAAACUACAAAUAUAGUCACUUUUGUUUCACUCAGAUUACAUUUUAGUCACUUAUGUUUGAAAUGUUAUGUUUUAGUCACUUGCGUAUCGUUUUGUUACAAAGUGGUCACUCUACCAUUAAGCUUUGUUACCUCCCUAACGGCAAUCCUACGUGGCAGUCCAAAUGGGUUUUAAAUGCCAACUUGGAUGUCUAAUUGGUACAACAAUAGGUUUUUAAUUAAAUAAAUUUAAUUAAUUAAAAAUUUUAAAUUAAUUACAUGUUGAACUGGAAAAGAAAAAUCAUUCAUCUCUUUUUUCUUUUUAGUUUUCCUUUUCAUUUUAACUGAAAAAAUUAUUCUCAUCCUAGUUGGAAAUCCAAGUUGUCAUUUGAAACCCAUUUGGAUUGCCACGUAGGAUUGUCACUAGGGAGAUAACGGAACUUAACUGAAGAGUUCGUAACAAAACGAUAAUGUAAGUGGCUAAAACGUAGCAUUUCAAACAUAAAUGACUAAAAUAUAAUUUGCGGCAAAUAAAAGUGACUAUUUUUAUAGUUUACUUUUUUUUGAAUUUUAGAGUUUAGGUUCAUUUGUGAACUCUUUCUUGGAAUCUUCGUGGAGAGAACAUUUAUCAUCCCCCAAUUUCCACACCUACGAGCUUGAGGGCAAUGAGGUUGUUGUUUUGGGAGGUUCAAAGGUGAGGGGGAGCUGUUUGGGAUGGCGGUCGGUAAUGGAAGAUGAGAGUGAUGAAGCCCGGGUGUAUUGGUGAUGUUGGUGGUGAAGAUGGGAGCCUCGAGUGAUAGAGAGAGAAUGGUGAAAAGGCCCCUGGGUUAGCUCAGAGAUGAAAUUUGCUGCUAUUGUUGCCUCCAAACACAGAAUUGCUAACCUACCCGGCUUGAAUUUUGUAGAUUGAUUUUAUUAACAGAAAUCAGUGGAGCAUGUUGUGUGUGCUUGCAGUGCAACAAAAGGAAUUGGCAUUUUGUGCUGCGGAAGAUACCUGUAGGUGCUGAGGUAGGUGUACUGGUGCAGAAGGGUGGCCAUUGACUGGCUACCACCUGUCCCAAGAUAUUAGGAACACAUUAGGAUCUGUUUGUAAAGUUAAUAAAAAUUUGGGGACUUUUACUCAAAAUUUUAACUUUUGAAUUAUUACUUACAAUUAUUGUAGGCUCCACUUUGUGGACUCUUUCUUGGAUUCUUCAUGGAGACAACAUCUGUCAUCCCCCAAUUUCCACACGUGCCUGCUUUCAUUUGGAAACAAAGGAAAUGUAUAGAAAAAUUGCUUAGGGAAAUUGGAUCUAGUUCUCUCCUUCAUGCUCAUAUACUAUACUAUAUUGAAAAUAUAUUAAAGAGAUUUGACAAGGAUUGUACAUUAGGUGAUGCUUAUAUCAUUAAAAGGGACAAGUUUAAUGCUCAUCAAUGCCUCAAAAUUGGUUUUAAGAUUAAGGAAAUGGAAAAAAUCACUAUGCUUAUUACUUAAUAAUAAUUGGUUUUAUAUGUGUAAAAAUAUUGCAUAUAUAACCCCGAAUUUCCACACCACUCCCUUUCAUUUUGUCUACUCUCACCUUCUUGGAGUCUUUCCGGAAACAUCUAUAACCCCGAAUUUCCACACCUAGUCCCUUUCAUUUCGAAAAGUAAUGUUUUUAAUUAUUAUCUUUCAUUGUUAAGUUCAUAAAAUACAAACCGUCCAACAUUUUUAACUCUCACCUUCAUGAAAAGAACAUAUCACCCGGCCCUCUUCUAUUUUUCAUAUGUUUUUCCUCAUAUAUUCAUUAUUUUCUGAUUUUGAACACCAGAUUGAAAUAUCUUCUCCUUUCAUACAUCCUCAUGUUGUCGUUACCUUCAACUUCUUCCUCCAUUUCUAGAAAAAAAUACGAUGUUUUCUUGAGUUUCAGAGGUGAAGAUACCCGCAGCAACUUUACCGAUCAUCUCUAUGAUGCUCUAAGUAGGAGUGGGAUCGUCACUUUCAGAGAUGAUCCAAAGCUGGAGGCCGGCGAAGAGAUCGCACCUGAACUCUUUAAAGCAAUUCAGCAAUCAUGGUGCUCGGUAAUCGUUUUUUCACAAACUUAUGCCUUUUCAAGUUGGUGCUUGGAGGAGCUUGCUGAGAUUGUUAAACAACAUAACAACGACGGCCAUAAAGUGUUUCCAAUU